This 89458-nucleotide long non-coding RNA is filed under the name Gossypium raimondii (Peruvian cotton). RNAcentral's name for it is "long non-coding RNA (GRAI_LNC003407)". The record is from RNAcentral. Lineage: Eukaryota; Viridiplantae; Streptophyta; Magnoliopsida; Malvales; Malvaceae.
AGUUGGGAAAACUACUCUUGCCUGCUAAUAUAGAUAUUCUGCCUUUAAAUAUUGGACUUCACCGUGACCCUCACUUUUGGGGAGAUGAUGUGCAUCAUUUUAAACCCGAGAGAUUCGCUGAAGGGAUUGCCAAAGCUACCAAUUACACCACGGCUGCAUUUUUUCCCUUCGGGUUGGGACCUCGAUCUUGUGUUGGUAUGACAUUUGCAACAAUAGAAACAAAGGUUGCUCUCUCCAUGAUUCUACAACGUUACACAAUUACCCUCUCCCCUGCCUAUGUCCACUCUCCAAUACCUAUUCUCACCCUUCGACCACAACAUGGAAUUCAGGUAAUACUUGAGCCGAUACAUAGUAAUGCUUGAAGUACAUAGCUGCUAAGAAAUAAGGGUUUAACAUGGUUCAUGUAUUUUAGUUUUAAAAGAUGACAUUUAAUAUGUAUAAGGUUCUAGCAUUUGCAACCCCUUCCCUCCUAUGGUGUGCCCACCUUCAUACAUAAUGAAAUGCAAGUAGCUACUUAUUUCCAAGAUGCUAAAACACACAAUCAAUAAAGAAGAAUAUGUCGAGGCAAGUUUUGGGAGCAGUGACUCGAGAAAUGACAACUGCGUUUGGCACGCGCAGGUCACAUAACUUUUAGCAUGUUUGAAAAAAAAUAUUUUGAUUACUUGCUUGCAUCUUUUUUAGGAUUUUGUGCAUCCAAUCUUGUGUUUAUUAUUUAAUUAAUCUCAGAUUGAUUUUUCUUAAACUAGUGGUUAUACUAAGGCUUGUUAGCGGAUUAAACUUUGUGCAAAACACUAUAGAUGUAGAUGUGUUUCCCGUGAUGGGAUUUGUAUCUACUAAAAAUAAAUUCCUACACUUGAAACCAAAAUUAAAUUUGUAGUAUAUAGAGUAGGGUUGAUCCCACAAAGGUUGAUCUAUCCAAAUUUCUAUUUCUUUAUAACUAGAACGUGUCCCGAGCAGUUUUUAUGCCCAUGACUUGUGCCAACCUAUACGAAAAACUAAGGGGAAUUAAAUCUGAAAAAUAAAUAAACAACAAAAAUAAAUUAAUAAUUAAAAUGAAGUAGAAAUAAGUAAAAUGAAAUUAAAAUUGAAUAAACCGAUAAAACAAAAGCUUUAGCUUCAAGCUCGAUUUUGACUUAGUCUUCAAACUGAUCACGGAGAAUGAAUUUUUUUUCCUUUAAUUAAUAAGUCAAUUAUAGAUGCCAAGGAACGAACCUCAAAGCACCUAAUUCUUCCAUAGUGGUAAAUUAAUUGCGGGAACAGCUCGACGGCUAAGCCUUAUCAAGUGAAUAACCUUGAAAGUAGCAUUGGUGAUUUAAUUCAUUGGUAGCCUUGCAAACUAAAAGAACCUGACUCAAAUCAACGGCCUCAAUUGUAUGAGUCAUUUAAACUUAAUUAUUAACUUCUUUGAUGGAUCCAACCACUCACGCCAUUUGUCAUGUCAAUUUGUAAUUCAGUGGAUCUAAUACAACAAUUACGGAUAGCAUCGAUUCUCUAACUUUAUGUCGUUCAACACUAAACCAAGGGACUCUUCUUGAUUUUGAUGCUAAAAUAACAUUGAGAAGUGAUCAAGUUUAUCUUUUAAAUUGGAGAAUUAACGAAUACCGAAAUGGAGAAUAUAAAUACGAUUUUAAAAGUUCACUGUUCAAAUAUUGGAUCAAUUAUCAAUCUAAAACUAGGUUAAAUUUAACAUCUCAUAAAUUAAAAAACAAGAAAAGAAAAUAGUUGAAGGAGAAUAUUUAAUUGAAAUUAAAAAAACACUAAAAUAAAAUCAAAACAAUAGUUAAAUGAUGAAGUUGCUUUGAAACUGGAGUUACCAUUUUCGUUGGAGGAGAUAACAGAGGCAGUGUGGAGUUGCGAUGAGUCGAAAGCAUCUGGGUCGGAUGGCUUUAAUAUGUGCUUUUUUAGAAAAUGUUGAGAUGUUGUAAAAGAGGAACUUUUUAGAAUGAUGUUAGACUUUUUUAGAUCUAGAAAGCUUGAGAGGAGCAUAAAUUCUUCAUUUAUUGCACUCAUAUCCAAAAUCGAAAAUCCAAAUAAAAUAUUAGAAUUUAGACCAAUUUUUUUGGUGAGCUUGUUGUACAAGAUAGUGGAAACGGUGUUAUCUCGAAGAAUUAGGGAGGUUGUUGGAGAGGUAGUGAGUGAAACACAAUGUAAAUUUACCAGAGGUAGACAAAUAUUCGAUGGAACUUUAAUUGUAAAUGAAAUUAUCCAUUCGAUUAAAAAGAAAGAUGGUAUUGGGGGGCAAUCUGAUUUUUAAACUAGAUUUUUCUAAAGCAUAUAUAUGAUUGUGUUUGUUGGGAUUUUUUGGAGUUAGUUUUACUCAAGAUGGGAUUUGGCGAGAAAUGGAUAGAAUGGAUUAUGGAGUGUGUAUCUAUGGCGAGAGUAGCAGUAAUUAUCAAUGGGUCAACCAAAAAUGAAUUCAGAUUCCGCCGAGGUCUCCAUCAAGGAUAUCCGUUAUCCCUAUUUUUAUUUAUCCUAGUGACGGAAGUGCUACAUUUCUCGAUGGAUAAAGCAGUGGAGAUGGGACUAAUUUAGGGCAUUCAAGAUGUUAUUCCCGUGUAGAUUUUUUCUCAUUUACUAUUCGCGAACGAUACUAUACUAUUCUUGAGAGCAGAUGAAGAUGAGGUGAGAAAUUCGAAGUAUAUUUUAUGGUGUUUUGAGAUCUUUUCAAGUCUUAGUAUCAAUUUCAAAAAAUCAUGUUUAGUAGGAUUUGAUGUGAAUGAAGAACUCUUAUAUCAAAUGGCUACAAUAUGUAAGUGUAAGAUAAGGUUUUUGCCUUUUAAUUAUCCAGGGAUUCUAUCGGGAGCAAAUCUGAGGAGAGUAUCCACUUGGGACGCAAUUGUAGAGAGAUUCAAGAAGAAAUUAUCGGGAUGGAAAUGUCGUCCGCUCUCAUGGGCUGCAAGGAUUGUAUUGAUUAAUGUUGUUUUGUCUGCCUUGCUAAUUUAUUUCAUGUCUAUAUUCCAAGCUCCAGUGACAGUUAUUAAAAGGAUCGACAAGAUAAGGAUAAAUUUUCUUUAGAGGAGUAUAAAUGGUAAAAGGAAGAUGGCAAAGGUAAGCUGGAAACAUAUAUGUAAGCCAAAGGAGAAGGGAGGAGCAGGAGUGGUGAAUCUCAUAAUUAAAAAUAGAGCUUAUUAGCAAAAUAGAGUUGGAGAUUCGCGGUUGAAAAAGACGCGCUGUGGCGAAAACUCAUCCUAGCAAGGUAUGGUUAGCGCACGCAACAGUGGCGCUUUAGGACGACUAAUCUAAAAAAUAUGUCGAUUGUAUGGAGAGGUAUUGUAGAAAAUUCUAAAGACGCUAAUUGUAAUACCCCUAACCCUUAUCCAUCACCAGAAUAGGGUUAUAAAGCUUUACCAGACUUUUCAAAAUCAAACACGAUCAUUUCAUAACAUUUAGUAUACAUAUUAAAAACUAUUCAUAUAAUACUCAUAUUGUCCCUUAUAUAGGCCCUCAAGGCCCAAAAUACACUUUAGAAGUGAGUCGGGAUUAAACCGGACACUCUAGAAAUUUUUCGCGAAAUGUCAAAAUUUUCCUUAGAAAUAAGGAACACACGCCCGUGUGGCCAAGCCGUGUGGCUCACAUGGCCUGAAGACAUGCCCAUGUCCUAAGCCGUGUGGGCAUUCAAUGUGAGGCACACGGCCGAGUCCCAGCCCGUAUCCUUACCCGUGUAAUUCUCUGACUUGUGUCACAUGGCCAACCACACGCCCUUGUGCUAGGCUGUGUGCAAAGUACAGGGGUCACAUGUCUGUGUGCUAGGUCGUGUGUAAAAACCUAGGCAUUCUGUUUUGAAAUUUCAAGGUGCAGGGGACACACGGCCAGAUCACAUGCCCAUGUGCCAAGCCGUGUGUCACACACGGCUGAGACACACGCCCGUGUCUCUGCCCGUUUGGACGAAAAUAGGCCAUUUUAAGGCCACUUUUCUCACCUUUUUUGACAUCAACCUAUAGACAGCAAUUCAAUAUACCAAAUAUCCCUAAUCAAGCAAUAAACACAAGCCAAAAAUCAUGUUUUAAGCAUAAUAAGCUAUCACGAAAUUCAAUUGUCUAAAUUUGCCAAACUAACUUCAUUCAUUGAUUUACCAAAACCUACUCCUAGCUAUAUACAUACAAACACACGCAUAUAUAUAUAAUUGUCAUUCAUAAUUAUACUCCAAGUAUAGCCUUUUUCAAUCCAUCCCUAUACAUGCCGUAUAAACCAUAAAAUGUACAACAAAAUCUACCGGAGUAAUCUAGAUAGUGUGACCCGAUGUGUUGAUUCGAACUUCUUGAAAAUCUACAAAGAACAUUAAACAACACAAGUAAUCUUAAUGAAGCUUAGUAAGUUCGUUGGCUUAAUACAUAAAUCUUACCGAACAUACCAUGACAAUUCAUUUAAGUAAAUCGUUCAUUACACAUUUCCUGCCAACUACAACUUUAAUCGAUGAAUUCGCUUCUUUGAGCUCAAUAUCAAUAAUAACCUAAAUUCUUCCACAUUAAUUCCAUAUAGCACUUGCCACUUCUUGUCAAUCAAAGAACGAUUUACGGAUUUGAGUACAUCGUAAACAAAAGCCCAAAGGUUGCACGAAAGAACAUAAGUGCUAAACUGAAACCUAUAAGGGUUGAACGAAAGCUCAUAAGAGCUAAAUGGAAACCCAUGAGGGUUAAACUGAAGCUCAAAAGAGCUGAACUAAAACUCAAAAGGGUUAUACUAAAGCUCAAAGAGCUAAACGGAAACCCAUUAAGGUUAAACGGUAACUUGUAUAAGUUAACUAAAGCUCAUGAGAGCUAAACGGAAAGUACACACGAAAUUUUGCAACAAAUGCUGAACCUUGAUUUACUUGGGUAAUUUACCGUCAAUUCCUCAUUUACACAGAACGACCUUACUCAAUCCGGCAUUCUGUUUGCUUCAAACAUUCAAUUCAAUUUCAUAACUUUAACAAUAAUAUUAUUUUCAACAAAUGACAUGAAUAAAUACAUAAUGUCAUUCAUCAAUUUAACAGUUAACAUUUAAAUUUAACCAUACGAACUUACUUGGGCUAAAUUGUAGAAUUCGUAGUAAUUCGGGGACUACUCAGCUAAUUUAUCUUUUUCACGAUUUUCUUCAGGCUCUUGAUCUAUAAUAUAAAAUUGUUCAUUUCUCAGUAUCUAAAUCAAUUCUAAUUCAUUUCAGAACUUAUGCCCUUUAAUUUUUGAAAUUACACAUUUGCCCCAACUUUUACAUUUUUUACAAUCUAGUCCCUCAUCAAUUUACCCAUCAAUUAAGCUAAUUUUUCUCAAUUAACACUUUAUCUAAUUAUUUUAAGUUACCAUAUACCCUUGAUAUUUAGAAUUUUAACACCAAACCCUAAUUCUUAACCUUUUUACAAUUUGGUCCUAAUAUCAAUAUCUAUCAAAAUUACUUAUUAAAAUCAUUAUAUAACAAAAUUAAAGCUUAAAUUCCAUGAUAAUUCAUCAUAAAAAUCCAUCAAUCAUCAAUGGUAACUUUUGAAAUUACCCAUAGAAUCAAAAACUAAUGAAAUAAGUAGUCGGACCUAAUUGUAAAAGUCUCAAAAACACAAAAAUUUCAAGAAAAGAGCAAGAAUUAAACUUACAUGAAGAUAAAAUAUGAAAACCAGCCUUGAGAGCUUUUCAAUGGUGUUUUUGGCUAAAGAAAAGUGAAGAAAUGUCUAGAGAUUCAAUUUAGUCCAAUUUUAACUAUUUAAUUUUAUUUCUUUUCCAAUUUUGCCCCUUGUUCACACUUAUCCUUUGAUUUUUUUCUGCUUGUACCGUCCAAGCCUUUCACUUUGGGCUAAUUUUCCCUUUUAGUCCUCCCUUAUUAAACACUUAAGUUAUUUAAUCAUUUUAGCAAAUUUUGCACAUUUUUCAAUUUAGUUCUUUUUAAUUAAUUAACCAUCAAAACGUUAAAAUUUUCUAACAAACUUUUGAUAGUAACUCAAUGACACUCCGUAAAUAUUUCUAAAAUUAUUUACAGCUCAGUUUAUAAAUUUUAGGCCUCGAUACCUCGUUUUCAAAACCACUUUUCUUAAAAUUCUUCUAAAACACAAACCACCAAAUCAAAAAUCUUUCUAAAAUCACACUUGACUCGUAAAUAAUAAUUAAUAAAAUUUUCAAACUCACUCGUCAGAUUUAGUGAUCUCGAAUCACUAUUUUUGACACCACUAAAAGUUGGACUGUUACACUAAUGUUUCUAAAUGGGUGGGGAACAAAGCUUUUAGAUGGAUGGUUGGGAAUGGAAGGAUGGCGAUGUUUUGAGAGGAUAUUUGGUGUUGUAAUCAACCACAAAAAAAAAAGAAUUUCCUAGAGUUUUUCGCUUAGCAAGAAAAAAGAAAGGUAUGGUAACAGAUUACUCGAGCAACAAUGGUUUCAGCAAUAUGAAUUACGGUGAAUUCUAACGAAGCUUUUAGAUGGAUGGUUGGGAAUGGAAGGAUGCGAUGUUUUGAGAGGAUAUUUGGUGUUGUAAUCAACCACAAAAAAAAAAGAAUUUCCUAGAGUGUUCCGCUUAGCAAGAAAAAAGAAAGGUAUGGUAACAGAUUACUCGAGCAACAAUGGUUUUAGCAAUGUGAAUUAUGGUUAAUUCUUUACACGAACAUUAUUGGAUAGAGAGGUUGUGAUGCUUCGUAGAUUGGAGGAUAUGGUGAAAAGCAUGGAGUUAGUUCUAGAGGUGAAGGAUCAGCUAAAUUGGGUGCAUGAUAGUAAUGGGGAGUUCACGGUAAAGAAGUUAUCUAACUUAUUAAUUAAGGUUGGAGGGGAAGACAUAAGUUUUGCUUUUGAAAAAAAUUGGAAGUUAAAGGUACCACCGAGAGUGCGAAGUUUUCUAUGGAUGCUUGCUAUUGAUAGAUUCCUACAAAUGAAUUUCUUGUUAAAAGAGGGGUAUAGCUUCAACACAUUUCAAUCAAAUGUGCAUAGUAUGAAAGAGUACCAGAGAGAGCAGAUAAUCUAUUCUUCAAAUGCAAAUAUAUUGAAGGGUUUUCGUAUAAAUUUUUCAAAUGGUGGGAGGUUGAAUGGAAAUCGGUAGAACGAUUUGCUAAUUUUAUUCUUUGUGUUAUAAUGUGAAAUUGUUAGGAAUCCGAAGAAUGUUAUGGUUGCUAUCAAUUUCGGCAGCUUGCUGGUCAGUGUGGACAGAAAGAAAUGAAAUUGUCUUCGAAAGAAAGGUGAUGACUAUGGAAGCUUUGAUAUUUCAAUCCAAGAUGAGGGCAAUGUUGUGGAUAAGGGUUGUAUAUGAUGAGUUAAUGGUGCAGGAGAGCUCUUGGUGGAUUUGUCCGAACAAGUGCAACUUUAAUACAAUUAAACCAGAUCCUCUUCGUCGAUAUGGCGCCUUCCUCCACAAGGCUAUCUGAAUUUCAAUGUAUGCGGGAUAGUAAAUGAGAAAGUUGCAGGUUGUGGUGGAGUACUAAGAGAUAUGGAGGGUGUUGCAAGAGCUUUAUUUUCGGGUCCUAUUGCAGCUAAUGACGCAGAUUCAGUAGAGGUAGAGGCAGUGUUUAUAGCAUUGGAUUUGUUGUUAUCCAUGGGAUGGAAGAUUAAUAGCUCUCUUAUUGUAGAAAUUAGUUCAAAAAUGGUGUACAAUUGGUGUCUGAACAAGAAUAUGAGACUGUGGUCGUUACAAACAACAUUUUCAGAUAUUGAAAGGAAAAUUGAGCAGGUUGGUAGUGUAGUAUUCUUGAUGGCAGAUCAAAAGGUAAUGAAAUGGCUUCAACCUUGGCGAUAGUAGGUAUUAAUCGUGGUGACAUGUUUAAAGCUUGUUAGUGAGUAUUAGCUUUGAUUUCGAAUAAUAGUUUUCAAUUGUAGGAAAUGUUUCAUUGUGGUAUUUUGUAAGUUGUACCUUUGAAUGUUGUUCUUGUUGUAUUUACAAUAGAUUAGUUUGAAUGAAGCAAAAAAAAAGUUGGUGGGUACCGUGUGCCCCCUCUCUUCACGCCUUACUAUAUAAUAAUAAUAAUAAUAAUAAUAAUAAUAAUAAUAAUAAUAAUAAUAAUAGACAAGCUUAAGAAUAUAAAAAGCCUUUACUCAUUGCCUAAGAUAAAAUUUAAUCCUCAUUAAUAUCUUAAAGAGAAAUCUUUCUAAAUAAUAAUAAUAAAAUAAUCCUAAAUUUUAAAUGUCUUGUAUGUCAACUUCUCAAUCCAACGAUAAAUUUACUUUUUUAUAUUGUACUCUAACACUUCGAACAUGCGCUAUAUUUAUAUAGAAAAUAGUCAAUAAAAUACCAAAGUAGUAACAUCCAUGUCCAAAAUUAAUCAGAAUAAAUCAUUAAAAAAAUGUCUAUUAAGAACAUUAUCAAAUCCCCCCUUAAUCAAUACUUGCCCUUAAACAUUUUAUGCAUUCAUCAUCUAAACAUAUCACAAUCAUCAAAGCCAAUUCAAUUUUCACAGUCCUUAGUUCAAUAAAAAAAAUAAGCACUAUCAAAAUUUUAACCCUACAACCGUCUCGCUCAAGCAAGCACAUAGAUUAACAAUUUAUGAUAAGUGCUAAAAGUAACAUAUUUUAACCUCGUUCUAUAACAUCUCAAAAUUGGGGGUUAGAAGUUUUGAGGUUUGUAGUGAGGGUCAGCGAGUAGGUCGAACAAUUGGUUUUAUUUUCGCUUUUUAAUAUCAAAAUGAGCUUGUUGGUUUGAUGGUAGAGUAUGUUACUAGUUUCCCUUGGACGAGUGUUUGAAUCCCAAUGUGAGAAUAAAGGAAGUUUUGUUUUAAUUUUAUUUAUAUUUUUUAUUUGAAAAAAAUAGAAGAAAAUCCUAAAAAUUUCUCACGUUCUCCACUUUCUCUUUCACAUCAGUCUCCCUCUUUCGGUAAAGAAAAAUUAUAGAUUCUGAUUUUCUUUCUUUUCUUUAUUGGGUUUCAAUACUUUUGUAAACCGCUGCCUUAAAAUCCUGGUGGUGCUUUUGUUCUUCGUUUGAUCAGACGUCGAAUAGGUUUAUUCGGUUAAUACUUGGUAAUUUGAUAUAAAUUUUAGGUCGAAAUUGUUUAUAGCUUUAGUAUGUUUGCAGAACUGAGUUUCAGGUCGUUAGAGUAAAGGCGAAGUGGUCGGUUCUUGGUGCUCUGGAACAUCAAUCAGGUGUGUGUUCUGAAAAUGUUUAAUUUUGGUAUCGAAUUGCUAUUGGAUUCUAUGGAAUUCAGCAGUUUCUAGUGUGUUUAUGAAAUUGUGUGAAUUCGGUAACGAAUUGUUGUUGGAUUUUAGGGAAAUAUGCAAAAUUCUGAUGUGUCUUGAAUGGUUAGCGAUUUGGGGUUUGUUUUGCUGUUGUGAAAUUGCAAUUUUAGCUUGUUUCGGUGUGGUUUCUUUACCACAUGGGCGUGUGCCGCACACGAGUAGUCCACACGGUCGUGUGACAUUGGAAAUUUGGGAUUUUGGACUUUUUUUAGUGCCACACGGUCGUGUGGCAGCUAUUUAGGGAUUUUUGUGUGCCUUGGACACACGGUCGUGUCCCUUAGCCAUACGGGCAUGUGAGAUUCCCACACAGCCCUGUUUACUUUGCUCCUUAUUUUGACAUUUUUGGACAGUGAGUGACAUUAAUUAUUCACACGACCAUGUAACUCGGUCGCACGGGUAUGUGUCUCCUCCACACGAGAGUGUACAGCUUGCACACGGGCGUGUAGACCACCACACGACCUAGUAGACCUCCACACAACCUAGGCACUACCACACAGCCGUAUGGCCCUGUUUUGCAAAUUUUUGUUCAGUGUUGAAAUUUUGCUCGUUUUGUGUUUCUGUAUAUUUCAACCCUUGGUUAAGUCUUGGUAACUGUAUUUGGGACUCCGCUGCAAUAUGGAUUUAAGUGUGUAUGUAUGUGUUCAGUUUAGGUAAUCAGGAAAUGUAUUAAUGGAUUAUGAUGAAUGAGCUUGAAUUGCUUACUUGUUGUCGUAAUUCUGAAAUAUGUACAAACGCUAUUGAUUUUGAAAUUGUUCGGCUGAAUGUGAGUGACGGUCUCUGUGAGUCUAUUAGCGUAUGUUGUGCAUUCAUGCAUUUGCAUAAAAUCGAGGUUUUUAGUUGCGAAGAGAAGGAAGGCUGAUUGGGUAGUUCAACUGCAAUAUUUUUGUACAGCAGUUUACCGUAAUGAUUUAUACAUUUGUCAGCUAAGCUACAUAUUGUUAUUCGAGUGGCUUAGUUCCACAAUAUGUGGUGUGUAGGGUAGAUGGGCCUAUCAUGGUCCUAUGUCGUGUGCAGGGUGGACGGGCUUGAUAUAGCUCAUAGGUGGUGUGCAGGGUGGUCGAAGUGGUCUUCAGAUGGUUGGGGUGGGUUUUUGACUCGUUACAUUCGCUACGCAUCUAAAUAUAUGUUUGUUUAUGUGAGCAUUGAGGUGUUGGAGAUAUGACCAUUAUAACUUGAUGUGUUUUAUCUAAUAUGUGGUUUGGUAUGCUUUAAAAGCACCAUGUUAUUGAAUUACCCAUUGAGAUUUCCAUUUAUGAUUUGUGCUCAUAUACUGUUUUGGAAUACUCGAUGUGUUACUCCGUUUUGUUGAUUGCUUUUGAUUUCAGACUCACAUUGAGCUCAAGUAGCUCACCUCACCUUAGUGUUUCAUUCUUCGAGGUACUUUUCGUGUUCGAAAGCUGGACUCGGCAUGCCGGAGGUUUCAGACUAUCGAGUAAAUUGAUUUUGGUUCAAAUGAUGCUACUUAAAAAUUCAGUUGUUAUUUUCAAAUGGUUCGUAGGAAAGAUUAUAAAAAAUGUGGUAUGAGUUAAGUCUGGAUUUUCGAUCAACUAGUUGUUACGGUUUUAAACAAUUUAUAUGUUCCGUUAUAUCAAGGUUUCGAAAUUUUGGUUUGUGAAUGACAAAUUUAUGCUUUCAGAACUGUCAAAUGAUUCCAUAAGAAUUACUUCCGACUUGCGUCGAAUGCCAUUUAAAUGAUUCCAUAUGAAUUACUUCCGACUUGCGUCGAAUGCCAUUUAAACUUUGUUUCAAAAUUUAAUUAAGUGUUAUCUAACUUUCUAAAAUUACAUGCUUGUGACAGAGUUUUUAUCUCAACCACUUUAGGUGGUCAAUGUGACCUCCGAGAUUCGGUCUAAACUUUUAGGUCGGGUUUUAGGGUGUUACACAUUCUUAGUGUGUUUUUGGGUGAUUAUUCAAUGUUAAUGGUGAAUUUUAUGCUUCUAAUCCUUCAAAUUCUUAUUUUUAUGCUUAAAAGGGCAUUUGGGAGUAAAACAAGCAAAAAUUGGAGUAAGGUACAAGAGACACACGGGUUGACCCCUUCCACACUUCCUGAUAUUUAAAAUAAUCUAGAAAUAUAACCGAUUUUGAAAUAAAAUUUAAACAGAUUCUGAAAAAAAUUUUAACAGAUUCCCUAAAAAUCGUGGUUUUUCGCAUUUCAAAGUGCAAUUCUGCAAAAUUGACAUGACCUGCCACAUUGAAGCUGAUUUUGAAGUAGAUUUCUGUCAAGAUUGAAGACUCCCAGUUGAUUUCUUUGGAGAUUAUCAUUUCUUUAUUUCUUUCGGUUAUAUUAUAUCUUUGAUGUUUUUAUUUUCAAGCAUGAACUAAUUUUCUAAAUACAUAGGGAGAUGAACCCUAGGAUGGAUUCUGUCGUUUGAUUUUUAUUUUGCUCAAUAAAUACUUAGAUCUUAAUUCUUGAUAUAAUAUUUCUAGAUUAUUUAUCCAUGUUUGGUGUGCUUAAAUCAGAGGAGGAAUAGACCCUGUUUAAGAGUAGAUCUUGCGUAAUUGAGUGGAUUUGCAUGCAAUCCUAGACAUAAGACAACAUAAAUCUAUCGAAUUAGAGUCAAAUCUAAUAAGGGAAUUCAUAGCACAAGUUAAUGCGAUAAUAGGGGUUUUAAUUAGAAAGAAAUUUCAAUUAAUCAAUCUUGAGUUAGUUGCUCUUAUUCUCGAAAGAAAUAUUUGUAUAAUCUAGGGAUUUUUACAAAUCAAGUUGCUAAGUAAAGAAAUUGCGUAACUUAGAUUGAUAACGACAGAUGAAACCUAGAUGAGUAUUGUUUCGCUUCUUGGUUGUUAAUCGCUUAUUUUUCUGAUAUAUUUUUUGUCACAUUCUUUAGUUAGUUAAUUUAGUUAAUUUUAAUUUUAAUCAAUCACUCAAAUUUAUCGGUUAAAUAAUAAAAAGACAGUAUUUACUAGUACUUUUAGUCUUCGUGGAAACGAUAUCUUUAUUCACCGUAACUAUAUUGUUAAUUGAUACGUACACUUACCUUAGUCAAAUUUUUAGUUGUUCACGACACAUCAAUUCAAUUAAGCAUACAAUUAUUAAAUUAUCUCAUAAUUAAGCUGCACAACAUUAACUUACGUUAAAUUGUCAAGACACCAAAAUUAACAACCAUUUGUCCCAUAUUUUUGUGUUCAUUUUUUUUUCUUUUAAAAGUUUAUCUAGAGUGUCACGAGAUCUUUUUCCAUGAAAAAGGAUGACAAUCCAAACACUCCACUCCGAUUAAUCAAUUCACCACAUGUUGACUAACUUUAGUCAAAAUUGUUAAGAUCAAUAGAAUAGCUGAAUAGCUUAGAAUGUCACUAAAUCUUUUGACGUGAAGACAAAUGACAACCUAAGCACUUGACUCAAGUUACUCAAUCGAUCACAAUUCUAAGACUUUACUCAUAAUUUAGGCAAUUAAUGAGUAUUUAUUAAAUUAUUUUAUUGAUUAUUUUUUUCAAUUUUUUUUUGUUCGAAUGCAAGAUGAAACAUGUUUUAAGAGUAUUAAUCUCGUUAAAAAUUGCGUGAGCCUAAUUUUUUUUUUUUUGGUGAGUGCUUCAGCUAAGUAAUUAAUAAUUAUUAUUAUUUACUUUAAAAUAAAAUAAAAUUCAUGUAAAAGAGUAGCAUAUAUAGGCAGAGUAUUUAAACAUGCUUAAUAGAAAAUAUUCUAUCAAUUUUUGAAUCGCUUAAACAAUAAAAUGAUAUCUAAAUUAUAUUAAUUUUUUAAAAUUGGUAUUUAAAUUUUUCUUAAGUCAAAAUGGUACCUAAACAAUUAAUCUAUUAUCUAUUUAAUUCAGCCAAUCAAUUGCCACGUAAAUAUCUAUUUAUUUUUUUCAAAAUAUUACUAAAAUUUGAUAAAUAAAAUUAAAAAUAGUUAAAAAUAAAACAUCAUAAAUUUAAUAAAAUUUAAACCUUACGAAAAAAACAUUUUACUGAUUGAAAAAACAUCAUAAAUUAAUGCUACCAACAACUCCUAGAAAGAGUAUCCACUAAUAACAAUAAACUUACAUGAGUGAGGGAUUUAUUGAAACAAUCAGCAACCAAUUUUGACACUUUUUACCAAUUAUUUUAUAUAUUUAUUUUUUAUUAUUAUUAAAAAAAUUAAUUUAACUCUUUAAAAAUUACAAAGAUAUAGACUAUUAAAAUGAUGAAAUUAUUUAUUAUUAUUAUAAAAAUAUACAAUUUAAUUUCGACCUCCCAAUAAAUAUUUCAAAAUCCGCCACACGAAUGAUCCAAAUAAAAAGACGACAGUCAAUACAAUUAAAUUUAAAUUCUCACUUAAAUCCAAAUUCAAAGUAAAACAAAUGUGACAGAAUGAAUCAAAUAGUGGGAGAAUGUUUUUCAAGAAGUAGAAAUGCAAAAAUAGCUUCAAAAUCUACUCUUACUAAAAAAAAAGAAAAAUAAGAAAGAAUUUAUUAUCUUUUAUACUAUUAAUCUCUCACAUAUACGGCCAAGCUACUCUGAACGUACAACGCACCCAUUUGCGUCAUUGCAAACGCAAUUUUGGUCCUUAUGCUAUAAUAAAGGGGGAAAUGAUUCUGGUUUAGACAAGAAAAAUGAAUGCGUUGAUGAAGCUUCUAAUUCUUGCUCCAUGUUGUUUCUUCUUCAUAGCUUUAAUAAAGUUACUUUAUGAUUACCUAUGGAUACCUCUCCGUAUUCAGCAUAUGCUGAAUUCACAGGGGAUCAAAGGACCUCCUUACAGAUUCAUCCAUGGCAACAACAUGGAAGUUACCAAAAUGAAACAAAAUGCUUUAAGCAAAUCUGUGGCCUUGACAGAUGAUCUAUUUCCCAAAGUACAUCCACAUAUUUACACCUGAACCAACAGAUAUGGUAAGAUCCAUGCUUGUUUUUUUCACUAUGAUUUAUAACUUGUAGUUCUAAGAAAAGGUAGACCCUUUUUCUUUUCAUGUUAUUAGGGAAGAAUUUUGUUUAUUGGAACGGUGCUCGAGCUGAAUUGGUGAUUUCAGAGCCUGAAUUAAUCAAAGAGGUUCUGGAAAAUAGUGAACAAAUUUUUCAGAAAAAGAAACCUUCAGAUAUUGGUGGGAAGUUCUUGGGGAAUGGUCUUCUAUUCAUUGAGGGGGAAAAAUAGCCAAAGCAUCGAAAGCUGGCCAAUCACACUUUCCAUGGGGAAAGCCUAAAGGUAAGUCUUCCAAAUAUAUAAACCAGGUGCAAUUAAUUUACAAGAAUUAUACAUAGACCACAAUAUUUUGGUAAAAUUUUGUAUUGUUAGCUAAGGAUAAGUUUAUUAUGGACGUUGAAAAAGUGUAGUAAAAACAUACUUUCGAAGAUUUUAACACCAUUUACUACUUAGGAGGUCAAUUUUAAACUUGAUGCUGUAAAAUAAAAGAUUGAAUCAGAGAUUUAAAAAAAGUAAUUUCAUUAAAAAGCACUCUUUUAGCUUUUAGACUUGGAUUAAAAUCUAGUUUGAAAUAAGAUUUAGUUUGAAAAGGUGUUUAUUUGUCAAAUUUUUUAAUUUAAAAUCAUGAUUUUGUGUUAAAAAGUGUUUUUCAGACUCCAAUUAUAUAUGUCACUAUUACUUACAUGUUGGAGGAUUCUUUGGGCAGAACAUGACUCCAGCAAUAAUUGCUAGUGUUGAAACAAUGCUAGAAAAGUGGAAAGGCCAAGAAGGCAAGGAGAUUGAAGUGUACCAAGAAUUUAGGUUAUUAACUUCAGAAGUGAUUUCCAGAACAACAUUUGGUAGCAAUUACAUGGAAGGGGAGAAGAUAUUUGCCAUCUUGAGCAAGUUGGCAGUAAUUAUGAGUCGAAAUGUUUCCACGACUAGAAUUCCUUUGAUCAGGUAUCUUCCCUCUAAGCUUAAUUAAUCCCAACUUUUACCUUGAUUUCAUGUAGCCUUUGAAUGCAACUUUUAGACUUUCAUUCCCCGUGGAUUUGGUUUUCUCAUAUAUAGCUGACCCUGGUUUGCUUUUGCAGCAAGUUGUGGAAAUCUGCUGAUUUGCUAGAGUCUGAAAAACUUUCAAAAGAAAUGAAAGAUCGUGUGAUGAAGAUUGUUAAGAAAAGAGAAGACAAAGUUGUGAAUGGAGAAGUCAAUAGCUUCCGCAGUGAUUUUCUUGGAUUACUUCUAAAUGCCUAUUAUGAUUCGGAUGCGAAAAACAGGCUUUCAUUGGAAGACGUGGUAGCUGAAUGCAAAACACUCUAUUUUGCUGGACAAGAAACUGUUAAUUCCUUACUUGCAUGGAUAGUCUUGCAUUUGGCAAUCCUUGGAGAUUGGCAAGAAAAAGCGAGAAGAGAGUUGGUUGACAUAUUUGGUAACCAAAAUCCACAUCUCGAAGGCAUCGCCAAACUCAAAAUAGUAAGAAAACUAUAAAACUGGGAAUUCAAAUAGCCAUCGACAUGAUGUAAUCUGACAUAUUAUUCUAUUUUCCAAACAGAUGACCAUGAUCAUCAAUGAAGCUCUAAGAUUGUAUGGUCCAACAAAUGUCCUCCAAAGAACAGGUACAAGAGAAAUUCAGUUGGGAAAGCUAAUCUUGCCUGCUAAUAUAGAUAUUCUGCCUUUAAGUAUUGGACUUCACCGGGACCCUCACUUUUGGGGAAAUGAUGUGCAUCAUUUUAAACCUGAGAGAUUCGCUGAAGGGAUUGCCAAAGCUACCAAUUACACCGCGGCUGCCUUUUUCCCCUUCGGAUUAGGACCUCGAUCUUGUGUUGGUAUGACAUUUGCAAUGAUAGAAACCAAGAUUGCUCUCUCCAUGAUUCUACAACGCUACACCAUUACCCUUUCCCCUGCCUAUGUCCACUCUCCAGUACUUAUUCUUACCCUUCAACCCCAAAAUGGAAUUCAAGUAAUACUUGAGCCGAUACAUAGUAAUGCUUGAAGUACAUAGCCGUUAAGAACUAGAGGUUUAACAUGGUUCGUGAAUUCUACUUUUAAGAGAUGAUAUUUAAUAUGUUUAAAGGUUCUAGCAUUUAUCACAAAGACAAACGACUCGUGGUCAUGUUUACUUUUCAUCUAUCAUGCAAUGUCGAUGAGAAGAUACCAUUUACCAAUUAGUUGGGUUAUGAAUUCUACUAUUUUGAAUGAUGUUACAUACUAUAGAAGUUGUGUAUCCAGUGCACCAACUUUUAAUGGUUCUUUAUCUUAGCCUUUUACUUGCAUCAAAGUAUACGAGCCAUGCAUGCAUAGUCCAUCAUCCACUCAAGAUUAAGGUAUAUCACACUAUGAACAUCACAAGUAAAUAGAUCCAUAAAUGGAUUUAGAAUCGAUUCUCCUUGGGUCUUAUCUGAUGUACUGUCAGUCCAGUCAAUCACAUCUAUGUUUUUAUCUUUUAGGAGUCAUCUGUUCCAUUUGAGACAAAGCUUCUCCACAAUUGGGCUUGAUAGACGACAUAUUAGUUUCUCAAUCGAUUUGCUCAUUUUCAAUUAGACUAAGGACAUAUUUAGGUUUAUCUACUAAUACAAGCUAUCUUUUCAUAUCACGAUCUGACCACGUGAUACCGCUUAGUAUUAAUUUAAACAUUAGAUAACCAAUGAGUCAACAUUUGCUUCCAUUUUGCUUUGCAUGCAAAAACAUUGAGGACAAUAUCCAAAGGGUAUUACUUUAAUUAAUAGAUAUUAUUAAACCAAUUUGUUUGAAAAAUACAAUUAUAUAAAACGAACAUAGUACACUUAGUGUACCAGAUCCAACAGUGGCCACUACAGCUAGCAUUGCCAUUAUAAGCAACAUAACUUGACAUUUUUGGAGUUGAAAUCUUUUCAGCAAAAUCAGUUGGGCAACGACUUAGAUGAUUUUGUGGACAUGUGUUGGCUCAUAUUUGAAGAUCCAUUUUGUGGAAUCAAUCUUUGAAUAUUAAAUCAAUCUGAAUCAAGCAAAUUGGAUCACUUAUUUUGUGGAGAUUGGCUUGACUUAUUUGAAAAUUUAUUUUCGAAAUCUUUGAUUUAUUCUUGACUUUGAGGAUAUUUGUAAAGUUUUUUUUUACAAGGCUAUUUUUUGUGGGAUAUUGAUUCUAAUUGAUCUUUUAUCUUUGCAAACAUUAAAUUCUUAUAUAUUAGAGGCUUGUAUAAGUUAAAAAAAGAUAGAGUUUUUAUAGCACUUAUUUUUUUCAUUGAGGAACUUGUAUUUGAUAGUGCAUUAAGAGUGUAAAUUAAGUUUGUUGCUUGGUUUUACAACCAAAAUUCUCAAGGGAAUUUAGUGGUGAGUGAUUUAGAUCUUUAGAUACAAAAGUGAGGUUGCUAUACCGAGUUGUGAUAGGACUUCAAUAACUUGUUGUCUUGGGAUUAAAAAUAAUGAAUUUACUCACUAAGUUAGGUUUCAUAGACAUAGAAAAAUCGAUAUGCGUAAACAAUCAUUUGUGUUCCAUUUUUUGUUGUUGUGUUCAUCAUAGUGGCAUCAAAGGUUGCCACUACAGCCAUCACUUUGGUCAUCAAUUACGCACUUUAUUUUUUUAAGCAAUUAUCAACUUUAUGCUCCAAGAGAAUGCUUGUUUCUAGUACAAUUGAUCAAUUUUGUAGGAAGCAUAAUGACAAAAAAGAAAAUGGUUACAAUCAACCCCUUCUGUAACAACUCCAUUUGUAUCUUUGCAUGUUAUAAAAAGGUGGUUGUUAUAUACUAUAACAACAUGUUGUUAUAAAAAGAUAAUUAUUGUAAACCUAAAAUAGAAUUUAUAUCGUGAAUUACUAUCAAAUAAAGAAAUUGAGAAUUAUAUUAAAAAAAGGAAAGUAGAAAUCAAAUCAACAAAAUUAAAAGAUGUAUAAUAGGUGCAUGCAUUAUUACCUUUAUAUUUUAUUUUACAUUUUUCACAUGAUUAAUUAUAAAAUUCAUCAAUCUAACAAAUAAUUAAUCGAUAUGAGUUUAAAUUAAAUUAAAUUAGUUAAUUUAUCAUGUGUUAUUAAAUACAAGUAAUUAAUUUAUAAGAUUAUGAUGUUCUAAAUUCAUAGUAAAUUAAUAUUUAAUUAGAGAACUUAAUAGUUUAUUGAAUUGAUAUCUUUAAUUCCACGAAGAUUUUUCAUGUCAAAUUUAAACAUUUUAUUAAAAUAAUAUUUUAGUUAAGAUCAUUUUUAUUUAAUAAAUUAGAAUUCAUAUAAGCAAUAUAAUUAAUCAUAAUAAAUUAUAAUUAAUAGGCUUGUAUAUCGGUCCAGUGUAAUUAAUAGACUUGCUUAAAUGAGUUUUAAAAUAUAUUUUUAAAUUUAAAAUUUUAUUUCUUGAAUAAUGAAUUGUUACCUGCUUAAUUUAUGAAAUAUCUUUAUUGACUUAUUUGAUUGCAUUGGUGAAACAAUUAUUUUAGUAUUUUUAAAUUUUAUGUAUAUAAAAUUUUUAAAAAAAUAAUAAUAAAUCUAAAAUGACACAUCGAAACAGCUGAAUAUUGGCACAUGCGAAUACCAAUAAAAAAAUCAACAUCCACCAAUUUACCCGUUACUUUUUGGUAUUAGGUAGUGGGAGAUUUGGUUUUUGCUUUUGUUUUUGAGAUGUUGAUAUGUUUCACAUCAUCCAUAAGAUGGGCUCUACCUCACCUUUUGUUUGUCUGUUUCCCAUGCUUUCCAUACAAAUCACUAAAAGAAUGGGCUAAAAUGUCAAAUAAACUCUUCAAAAAUAAUUUUUAAAAAACUUAAUUAAGUCUCUUAUAAUAAAGUGCACCAAAUUGAGCUUUUUUAAAUCACAAUUUGCACUUAAUUAAUCCCCUUGAAUUCAUUUUCCCAUUGAAUCCCUUUACGUUCAGUUAACUGCUGACGGGGCAGGUGAUGUGGAAAAAUGAUGGUGUGUUAAUUAGUUUAUAUGGCAAGCUAACAUGGAGGGCUUAAAUGAUUUUUUAUUAUUUUACAAGGGUUUAAUUAAUUAUUUAAAUAAAAAUUAUUAAAAUUUUAAAAAAUCUAAUUUUAAAAUAUAAAUUAUAAAAAUCAUAAAAAAUAUUUUAAAAAUAUUAAAAAUGAUAGAAAAUUUUUAAAUGUUAUAAAUAGUUUAUAAAAACACAGGAAAUUUAUUAAAACAUCGUUAAAUAUAAAUACAUUAUCAUAAAAAUAGCAUAAAAUUUUAGAAAUUAUUAAAAAAUACAAAGAAAUACGAGUAAGUUAGAGAAAAUUAUUAAAAAUACAAAAAAUAUUAAAAAUUAGUAGUAACUUUUAUAAAAAUUAUUAAAUAGAUUUUUUUAUUGGUUUGGAGUGUUUGGCAUUUUCAAUUUUAUUUUUUUGGACAUUAGAGUCUUUGGUUUUAGUAAUAAGGAAAUGGGGAGAUUGAAGUGCGAUGAUCAAACUUGUGAGGGGUUUGAGUGACCAUGGGUUUAGUACUUGAUGGCUUAAAGUGAGCGAUCAAUAGAGGUGUUCAUGGACCGAUCCUGUUCAAAAAAUAAAAAAAAUGUUAAAGAAAGCUUUUCUAAAUAUUUUAUAUAUCUUAUAAUUAAGUUAAAAAUAUAUUUUUAUUAUUUUUAAAAUGGCGAAACGAAUCAUUUUGGCGAGCUAGGUCUAGUUGGGCUCAAGCCUAGAAAGUUUUAUGAAAUUAGGCUUAAGCUCCACCCAACUCAUGAAUACCUCUAGUGAUAUAUAAUGAUGUUGUAUUUGAGGAAAGAUGAUGCGAGGGACAUUAAUAAGGAAGGGUUGAUAUAUGAUGUAUGACAAUGCGUGAGAGAAAACAAAAAUGUGUAAUAAUUUUAAAUUUUUUAUAACUUUUUCUUUAAUUUUUAUAUUUCUUUAUAGUAUUUGAAUAGUUUUAAUAAAUUUUAUAUAUUUUUUCUAAAAAAAUUUAUAACAUUUUAUAUUUUUCUAUAUUUUAAUGUCUUAUAAUUGUUUAUAAAUUUAUAAUAAUUUUUAUGAAUUUUUAAUUUAUAUUUAAAAACUAGAUUUUUUUUUUAGAAUUUAAAAAUCGAAACAAUUGAAUAGGUGGAAUCGCUUCUUUAAAAAAUAUUUUUUUAUAUUUUUAUGAAAUUUUAAUUAUUUAUUUAAUCGUUGUUAGUUUAAGAGCCGAUUGAAUUAAGAAUCGAGAAUUUUAGACAUUGUGUCCUAACUUACGGGACGUGAUUCUUCUUCUGGAUUAACGUAGAAAUAUGCUUCUCUCUUUAAAGUUUAUUUUUCAAAAUUUUGAUAAAGGAUCGUAUUUUGAAUCUUUUUCAAGUUUUCAAUAUUCGACACUAAGACAUUAAUUAAUCAACUAGGUAUCAAUUUUGGGCGUUACGAGGGUGCUAAUCCUUCCUCGUGCGUAACCGACUCCCGAACUUAUUUUUCUAAAUUUCGUAGACCAAAACCGUUGUUUUAAUAAAAUCAAAUCGUUUAUUAAAAACAACUACUUUUCGAGGUGACCCGAUCACACCUCAUAAAAAAAAAGGAUUGGUGGGGACAUUUGUUUUCGUUUUCAAAAUCCAAGUCAAGCCCGUUUUAUCAAAAAAAUGGUUACUAGCUUUAGUCAAAAUUGUUAAGAUCAAUAGAAUAAGCGAAUAGCUUAGAAUGUCACUAAAUCUUUUGACGUGAAGACAAAUGACAACCUAAACACUUGACUCCAGUUACUCAGUCGAUCAGAAUUCUAAGACUUUACUCAUAAUUUAGCAAUUAGUGAGUAUUUAUUAAAUUAUUUUAUUGAUUAUUUUUCAAUUUUUUUCUUUUGUGAUCGAAUACAAGAUGAAACAUACUUUAAGAGUGUCAAUCUCGUUAAAGAUUGUGUGAGCCUAAUCGUUUUUUUUUUUUUUGUGAGUGCUUCAGCUAAGUAAUUAAUAAUUAUUAUUAUUUACUUUAAAAUAAUAAUAAAAUUCAUGUAAAAGAGUAGCAAUGGCAUAGUAUUGAAACAUGCUUAAUAGAAAAUAUUCUAUCAAUUUUUGAAUGGUUUAAACAAUAAAAUGAUAUCUAAAUUAUAUUAAUUUUUUAAAAUUGGUAUUUAAAUUUUUCUUUAGUCAAAAUGGUAUCUAAACAAUUAAUCUGUUAUCUAUUUAAUUCAGCCAAUCAUUUGCCACGUAAAAUAUUUAUUUAUUUUUUUCAAAAUAUUACUAAAAUUCGAUAAAUAAAAUUAAAAAUAGUUAAAAAUAAAACAUCAUAAAUUUAAUAAAAUUUAAACAUUAAGGGAAAACAUUUUACUGAUUGAAAAUACCCUUAAUCAGAUUUUACUAACAAUCCCUAUUUUUUUCAAACAAAUCACAAACUCUUUUAGUUCAAAAAAUUGCAAAUCAUCUUUUUACAACCUUCAUUAAUCCUUUGUGGAAUUGAUAGAAGGGUACGUUUGAAGAAUUAAUUUGUUUUUCUUGAAACCCUUGUUUGUCAAUUUCAUUGAUGAAACCUUUCUAAUUUCAUCAGUAUUUGAUUUUUAUUUUAGGUUAAUCGUAAAACUUUAAUUGAUUUGGGCAAACCGAAGGAGUUGUAAAAAGGUUGAAAGGUAUGAUUUAGGCUUAAGGGUUCUUUUAUAGUUAAUAUGUAGAAUCGAAUGUAUGUGACUUUUGGCAAGUUGUCGGUUCUUGAAAUUUUAUAUUGAGAAAGUAGAACACACCUUUUAAGGGGAAGUUCUUUGUUUGACUCGAGAUUAUUAGUCUGUUGACAAAAAGCCAAAAAAAUGUGCCAUUUGCUUUGAAGUUAUUUAUGAUUGUUUACGAUAAAUUGAGGGUUUUUAAUGGUGUUUAUAUAUGUAUUUUGUUAAGAUACAUAAUGAUACAACUAGAGUUUGUGAUAUGUUUUGAGAUGAUAGGCUUCUCGAUUAUGUGAUUUAUUGUCCUUAGCUAAUUCAAAUAUAGAUUAAUGAGGUUGGUUUAAUAUAUGUUGUAGGGAACAACGAAAAUGGGGAAAUAUUAAAUAUUACCCUAAAACAAAUUGAUAAUUAAUAUAGUUAAAUUAAAUCCAUUUUGUUUUGGCAAAUGAAAACCAUUGGUUUUUAAAGGUUUGAGAAUUGAGGAACCUUUGCAAAACAUAAUGCAAUAUCAUCACUAAAACACUGUUUAUAGGAGCUGAGUAUAAAUACUCUUUUCAUGUCUUUGUUGUUGGGUUUUUUAGGUCUUUUUGUGACAAUUAUCAGUCCUCUCAUUUCAAUAUUUAUGAUAAUAAUACCUGUAAAGCAUGUUGGUCAUGUCUUAUUUUUACUAUACUAAAAUUUGUACUAUUGUAGUACUUAUUAUUAAAGUUCUAGUCCCGUGACAAUUGGUAUUGGACUAAGAUUUGCAGCUUUCUGUUGAGAUGAGGAAAGGAGUAGAAGAGCAGAUUGAACCCAGAGAGACCCAUGGGAGGGGCAGGAACUAUUUAUAUAUUUUUGAGAUGUUGAUAUCUUCCAGAGCCUUUUAUGACCACACACGAUAAUGGGUAAGAUAGGGUCCUACCUGACUUUUGGUUUAUCUGUUUUGAAGGGGAAAAUGGUUCUGGUUUAGAGAAGAAAAAUGAAUGCGUUGAUGAAGCUUCUAAUUCUUGCUCCAUGUUGUUUCUUCUUCAUAGCUUUAAUAAAGUUACUUUAUGAUUACCUAUGGAUACCUCUCCGUAUUCAGCAUAUGCUGAAUUCACAGGGGAUCAAAGGACCUCCUUACAGAUUCAUCCAUGGCAACAACAACGAAGUUACCAAAAUGAAACAAAAUGCUUUAAGUAAAUCUGUGGGUUUGACUGAUGAUUUAUUUCCCAAAGUACAGCCACAUAUUUACACCUGGAUCAACAGAUAUGGUAAGAUCCAUGCUUGUUUUCUUCACUAAGAUUUACGACUUGUAGUUCUGAGAAAAGGUAGACCCUGUUGGUGCUGUAACUGAAACUAACAGACUCAGCACAGACUUGUCGAGCAAGUCUCGAGACUUGCUGAGCAAACAAGAGAAUUCGAGCAAAAGAAAGGAAGAAAAGCUAAGAAAAAAUGAAUAGGAAAAUUGAUGAACAAAACUGAACUAUAUUCAUAAAAUUGAAUAAUGGCAUAAUGCCAAUACAUAAAUCAAGCACUAAGCUUGUCAAAAACAGCAAGUAAUUACCUAAACAUCACCUACUCCCACUAAUUACAUGGAAACUUGAAAUUUUAGCUUGUAAACCUAUACAAAGUUGUGUUUACAGCUCAUACAUAAGCUAAUUACAUCAGUCAACAACCUAACUUAGUUAGAAAUGAACUAAGAUUACAUUUCAUUGACUAGAAAUUACAAAAUAAACAAAAUAAGCUUGCAUCAGCAGCUCCUGUAUGUCUUGGUCUUCAUGGCCUGCAUGCUGUCGAGUUUGUUGCAUGCUGAACCAACUUCAUCACUCCUCCUUGGUUUGCAUGGAGCAAACACCUAGCUUCUUUCUUAGACAUUCGAACCUUGUGACACUAAGGGCUUUGGUUAAAAUGUCUGCAAGUUGAUCCUCUGAAUUACAGUGGAUCAGCUUUACUUCCUGAGCUUGCUCCAUUUCUCGAACAACAUGCAGCUUGAUGCUGAAAUGCUUUGUUCUUCCGUAGAACACUGGAUUUUUAGCAAUUGCUACAGCAGAUUGGUUGUCACAGAAGAUCUCAGUAGCUUCCUCUUGAUGCAUAUUCAAGUCAGCUAAGAUUUUCCUUAGCCAUAUGGCUUGGUUGACAGCACUUGCUGCGGCCACAUACUCUGCUUCAGCAGUAGAUUGAGCCACUAGACUUUGCUUCUUCGAGCUCCAGCAAAACAUGGCUAAACUAAGAUUAAAAGCAUACCCUGAGGUGCUUUUCAUGUCAUCUAUCGAGCCAGCCCAGUCACUAUCAGUGUAGCCAACCAGCUUCAGAUUUCCUUCUUUGCUAUACUUCAAACCAUAGUUCAAAGUGCCUUUGACAUAUCUCAGCACUCUCUUUGCAGCUUGGAAAUGCUUCUCAUUGCAGCAAUGCAGGAAUCUUGAGAGCAAUCCUAUAGCAUACAUGAUGUCUGGUUUAGUGGCAGUCAAGUAUAGCAAACAACCAACUAGACUCCUGUAGGUUGUUUCACAUACCUUCUCAAAAACACCUUGGCUCGAUAGUUUUUCUCUAACAGCAACAGGUGUUUUAGUUGCCUUGUUGUUUUGCAUGGAAAACUUGGUCAGAAUCUUUGUGGCAAAGCUUCUCUGGCUUAGAAAUAUCUCAUUCUGUACUUGAGACACCUCCAUUCCAAGAAAAUAGGACAUCUCCCCAAGAUCAGACAUUUCAAACACUUCCUGCAUCUUGGUCUUGAAAUCAGCCAGCACUGCUCGAUCUCCUCCUGUCACCAGAAGGUCAUCAACAUACAGGGACACAAUGAGUUGUGUUUGUGUCCAUUGUUUCUUGACAUACAGUGUUGGCUCACUCUUGCUUCGAUCGAAUCCCAGAUCAGUCAAGUAGCCAUCGAUUCUGCUGUACCAGGCCCUUGGAGCCUGUUUUAAUCCAUAUAGGGCUUUCUUCAGUUUGUAGACCAUAUGCUCUUUGCCAGCUAUUUCAAACCCUUGUGGUUGUUCAACAUAGAUGUUUUCAUCUAGGAAACCAUUCAGAAAGGCUGAUUUUACAUCGAGCUGAUGGAUCUUCCACUCGAGCUGUACUGCUAAGCCAAUCAGUAGUCUGAUGGUGUCGAGCCUGGCCACUGGUGCAAAGGUCUCCAAGUAGUCCAGGCCAUAUCUCUGACUGAACCCCUUGACUACUAGCCUUGCUUUCAGCUUAUUCAAGGUACCAUCAGCAUUCUGUUUGGCUUUGUACACCCAUUUCACCCCAAUCACCUUCCUUUUGACUGGCCUUUCAACCAAUUCCCAGGUCUGGUUCUUCUCAAUCAUGUUGAUCUCCUCAGCCAUUGCCUGCUUCCACCCUUGCUGAGCCUCAGCCUCUUCAAAGUUGCUUGGUUCAGCUAUGGCUACAUGAGCCCUUUCAUAAAUCUCAGUCAAUGGCCUUGUUCCUCUGACUGGUUCAUCAUCAAUGUCCAUUUCUGGAACAUUUUGGUCUGGCUCAGCUUGGUCUGUUGCUAGUUCUUCAGAAACUUCUUCAGGUUCAUGUCUUUCCCAGUUCCAACAUGACCUUUCAUCAAAUACCACAUCCCUACUAACUGACACUUUGUUUGUUGAAGGAUCCAAGAUCCUAUAGCCCUUCUUAACAGUGCUGUAGCCCACCAGUACAGCAGGUUGAGCCCUUUCAGACAAUUUGUCCCUUUUAACAGCAGGUACAUGUGCAUAACAAAUGCAUCCAAAGACUUUCAGAUGAGCCAGUGAUGGCUUGAAGCCAAAUCAGGCCUCGAAUGGGGUCUUCUGAUCCAAGGCCUUUGUUGGUAGUCUAUUUUGAAUGUAUGUUGCAGUGUUAACUGCUUCUGCCCAUAGUAUUCUAGGCAAAUUCUUCUGAAUCAUUAAGCAUCUGGCCAUAUCCAUCAAACUCCUGUUCUUCCUUUCACUUACACUAUUCUGCUGAGGUGUAUAUGUGUUGGUAAGUUGAUGUUUGAUGCCUGCCUUAUCACAGAAGGCUUGGAACUGAGCUGAGGUGUACUCAGUCCCAUUAUCAGACCUUAUGGUCUUCAGCUUGCAGCCUAUUUCAGUCUCAGAAGCAGUCUUGAACUUCCAAAACACUGAGGCCACCUCUGAUUUUUGUUUUAAGAAGUAAAUCCAACAAUAUCUUGAAAAAUCAUCAAUGACCAGUAUAAAAUACCUAUUUCCACUUAAUGACUCAGUCUUCAUAGGGCCACACACAUCAGUAUGCACCAGUUGGAGUUUUUCAGAGGCUCUCCAGGCUUGAUUCGAGGGAAAUGGGAGUCUGGCCUGCUUUCCUAGCUGACAUACUCCACAUACAUCAUCAUGGUCCACUGAGUUGAUGAAGUUUUUAGCCAGGUCUUCUCUGACCAUUCGGGCCAUCGAUCUGAAGUUGGCAUGUCCCAGCCUUUGAUGCCACAACUUGGAUUCAUCUGAUGUGGCUGUGUAGGCAAUGUCUGACUUCUUUGUCCAGUCAACCACAAAGCUCUUAUCAGCCAUAGGGACUGCCAUCAGUUUGGAUCCACUUGGAUCACUGAUUUGGCACUGGUUGUCUUUGAACACAACAGAAUACCCUUUCUCCAGCAAUUGAGCUAUGCUAAGCAGGUUUCUGUCAAUUUCAGGCACCAAGAGCACAUUUGAAAUCACUUUGGCACCUGUAGAAGUGCAUAUCAGCACAUCACUCUUGCCUUCAGCUUGAAUGAAAUGACCAUUUCCUAUUUUGACCUUAGUUCUGCAGCUUCUGUCUAAAGACUUGAAGAUUGCAGCAUCAGGUGUCAUGUGGUUGGUGCAUCCACUGUCUAGGAGCCAACCAGAUGAGAACCUUUCCUGAGCAGCUGAGCAUGACAUAGUAAAAACUUGCUCCUCUUAGUCACUGUCCUCCUUAGCUACUCGAGCCUCAGCUUUCAUCUGUUGAAACUGAUUGUGCCUUGAUUUGGCCUUGCUCUUGCAAACUCUCUCAACAUGACCCUUCUUCUUACAAUGCUGACAUACAGUUUCUGGAUUAAACUAGCACUUUUCUUCUAGAUGACCAACCCUUCUGCAGUGCUUGCAAGUCUGACCUUCUCUCCUUGCAGCAUCAUUCUUUGGCUUGUCUCUCCAGGCCUUCUUGCCUUUAUAGGCAGUGUUUAUUCUUUCCUGAAAGGCACCUUCUUGAUGCUCCUCCAGCCUGCUUGCUCUCCUCUACUCUUGAGCAUAUAGAGCAUUGAUCAACUCUGUCAGGGAGAUGGUGGACAGAUCCCUUGAGUCCUCGAGAGAUGAGAUUUUUGCCUCAUACCUCUCAGGCAGAGUUGCUAUAACCUUCUCCACUAUCCUAGCUUCAUUGAACUGCUCUCUAAGGAGCCUGAUGCUGUUAACCACAGCCAUAAUCCUGUCAGAAUAUUGCUUGACAGUUUCUUCUUCCUUCAUCUUCAAAUUCUCGAAAUCUCUCCUCAAGUUCAACAACUGUUGCUGCCUUGUCAUCUCUGUCCCUUGAAACUCUUCCUGCAACUUGUCCCAGGUCUGUUUUGGUGAUUCACAGGCCAUAAUCCUUGUGAAAAUCACAUCAGACACUGAGUUCUAGAUGCGAGACAUGGCUUUGUGCCUCUUGGUCCUCUCAUCAGCAUGCUGCCUGAUCUGAGCCACUGUUGGAUUGCCUCUAAGUGGUUCUGGUUCAACAUCUGAGUUGACCACCUCCCACAGAUCGUAUGCCUGCAGGUAGGUCUUCAUUUUGACCACCCAUAUGUGAUAGCCUUCUCCAUUGAAUACUUGAGGUGCAGCUGGUGAAAAGCUUGAUGAAGCCAUGUAUUUGUAUAACAGAUCCCUUAAGAAAUAGGCUCUAGAUACCAAUUGUUGGUGCUGUAACUGAAACUAACAGACUCAGCACAGACUUGUCGAGCAAGUCUCGAGACUUGCUGAGCAAACAAGAGAAUUCGAGCAAAAGAAAGGAAGAAAAGCUAAGAAAAAAUGAAUAGGAAAAUUGAUGAACAAAAAAGAACUAUAUUCAUAAAAUUGAAUAAUGGCAUAAUGCCAAUACAUAAACCAAGCACUAAGCUUGUCAAAAACAGCAAGUAAUUACCUAAACAUCACCUACUCCCACUAAUUACAUGGAAACUUGAAAUUUUAGCUUGUAAACCUAUACAAAGUUGUGUUUACAGCUCAUACAUAAGCUAAUUACAUCAGUCAACAACCUAACUUAGUUAGAAAUGAACUAAGAUUACAUUUCAUUGACUAGAAAUUACAAAAUAAACAAAAUAAGCUUCCAUCAGCAGCUCCUGCAUGUCUUGGUCUUCAUGGCCUGCAUGCUGUCGAGUUUGCUGCAUGCUGAACCAACUUCAUCAGACCCUUUUUCUUUUCAUGUUAUUAGGGAAGAAUUUUGUUUAUUGGAAGGGUGCUCGAGCAGAAUUGGUGAUUUCAGAGCCUGAAUUAGUCAAAGAGGUUCUGAAAAAUAGUGAACAAAUUUUUCAGAAAAAGAAACUUUCAGAUAUUGGUAGGAAGUUCUUGGGGGAAUGGUCUUAUUUUCAUUGAGGGGGAAAAAUGGGCAAAGCAUCGAAAGCUGGCCAAUCACACUUUCCAUGGGGAAAGCCUAAAGGUAAGUCUUCUAAAUAUAUAAACUAGGUGUAAUUAAUUUACAAGAAUUAUACAUAGACUACAAUAUUUUGGUAAAAUUGUGUAUUGUUAGCUAAGGAUAAGUUUAUUAUGGGCGUUGAAAAAGUGUAGUAAAAACAUACUUUUGAAAAAUUUAACACCAUUUACUACUUAGGAGGUCAAUUUUAAACUUGAUGUUCUAAAAUAAAAGAUUGAAUCAGAAAUUUUAAAAAAAAAGUAAUUUCAUUAAAAAGCACUCUUUUAGCUUUUUGACUUGGAUUAAAAUCUAGUUUGAAAAGGUGUUUAUUUGUCAAAUUGUUUAAUUUGAAAUCAUGAUUUUGUGUUGAAAAGUGUUUUUCUGACUCCAAUUAUAUAUGUCACUACUACUUACAUAUAGGAGGAUUGUUUGGGCAGAACAUGACUCCAGCAAUAAUUGCUAGUGUUGAAACAAUGCUAGAAAAGUGGAAAGGCCAAUAAGGCAAAGAGAUUGAACUGUACCAAGAAUUUAGGUUAUUAACUUCAGAAGUGAUUUCCAGAACAACAUUUGGUAGCAAUUACAUGGAAGGGGAGAAGAUUUUUGCCAUGUUAGACAAGUCGACAAUAAUUGUGAGUCAAAAUCUUUCUAAGACUAGAAUUCCUUUGAUCAGGUAUCUUCCCUCUAAGCUUAAUUAAUCCCAACUUUUACCUUGAUUUCAACUAGCUUUUGAAUGCAACUUUUAGACUUUCAUUCCCCCUGGAUUUGGUUUUCUCCUUAUAUAUAGCUGACCCUGGUUUGCUUUUGCAGCAAGUUGUGGAAAUCUGCUGAUUUGCUAGAGUCUGAAAAACUUUCAAAAGAAAUAAAAGAUCGUCUGAUGAAGAUUGUUAAGAAAAGAGAAGACAAAGUUGUGAAUGGAGAAGUCAAUAGCUUCCGCAGUGAUUUUUUUGGAUUACUUCUAAAUACCUAUCAUGAUUCGGAUGAGAAAAACAGGAUUUCAUUGGAAGACUUGGUAGCUGAAUGCAAAACAUUCUAUUUUGCUGGACAAGAAACUGUUAAUUCCUUACUUGCAUGGAGAUUGGCAAGAAAAAGCGAGAAGAGAGGUGGUUGACAUAUUUGGUAACCAAAAUCCACAUCUCGAAGGCAUCGCCAAACUCAAAAUAGUAAGAAAACUAUCUAACUGGGAAUUCAAAUAGCCAUCGACAUGAUGUAAUCUGACAUAUUUUUCUAUUUUCCAAACAGAUGACCAUGAUCAUCAAUGAAACUCUAAGAUUGUAUGGUCCAACAGGUGUCCUCCAAAGAACAGUUACAAGAGAAAUUCAGUUGGGAAAGCUACUCUUGCCUGCUAAUAUAGAUAUUCUGCCUUUAAAUAUUGGACUUCACCGUGACCCUCACUUUUGGGGAAAUGAUGUGCACCAUUUUAAACCUGAGAGAUUCGCUGAAGGGAUUGCCAAAGCUACCAAUUACACCGCGGCUGCCUUUUUCCCCUUCGGAUUAGGACCUCGAUCUUGUGUUGGUAUGACAUUUGCAAUGAUAGAAACCAAGAUUGCUCUCUCCAUGAUUCUACAACGCUACACCAUUACCCUUUCCCCUGCCUAUGUCCACUCUCCAAUACUUAUUCUCACCCUUCGACCCCAAAAUGGAAUUCAGGUAAUACUUGAGCCGAUACAUAGUAAUGCUUGAAGUACAUAGCCGUUAAGAACUAGAGGUUUAACAUGGUUCGUGUAUUGAACUUUUAAGAGAUGGUAUUUAAUAUGUUUAAAGGUUCUAGCAUUUAUCACAAAGACAAAUGACUCGUGGCCAUGUUUAAUUUUCAUCUAUCGUGCAAUGUUGAUGAGAAGAUAUCAUUUACUCAUUAGUUGGGUUAUGAAUUUCACUAUUUUGAAUAAUGUUACAUACUAUAGAAGUUGUAUAUCCAAUGCACCAACUUUCGGUAGUUCUUUAUCUUUUUGAACUUAGCCUUUCACUUGCAUCAAAGUAUACAAGUCAUGCAUGUAUAGUCCAUCAUCCACUCAAGAUUAAGGUAUAUCACGCUAUGAGCAUCAAAAGUAAAUAGAUCCAUAAAUGGAUUUAGAAUCUAUUCUACUUGGGUCUUAUCUGAUGUACUGUUAGUCCAGUCAAUCACAUCUAUGUCUCUCUCUUUUAGGAGUCAUCUGUUCCAUUCGAGACAAAACAUUUCCACAAUUGGGCUUGAUAGACGACAUAUUAGUUUUUCAAUCGAUUUGCUCAUUUUCGAUUAGACUAAGGACAUAUUUAGGUUUAUUUACUAAUACAAGCUAUCUUUCCAUAUCUAAUUCAAAUAUAGAUGAAUGAGAUUGGUUUAAUAUAUGUUGUAGGGAACAACGAAAAUGGGGAAAAAUUAAAUAUUACCCUAAAAUAAAUUGAUAAUUAAUAUAGUUAAAUUAAAUCCAUUUUGUUUAGGCAAAUGAAAACCAUUGGUUUAAAAGGUUUGAGAAUUGAGGAACCUUUGCAAAACAUAAUGCGAUAUCAUCACUAAAACACUGUUUAUAGGAGCUGAGAAUAAAUACUCUCUUUUCAUGUCUUUGUUGCUGGGUUUUUUAGGUCUUUUUGUAAUUAUCAUUCCUCUCAUUUCAAUAUUUAUGAUAAUAAUACCUGUAAAACAUGUUCGUCAUGUCUUGUUUUUACUAUUUAUGUAAACAUGAUUCCGGUAUAAACUAUACUAAAAUUUGUACUAUUGUAGUACUUAUUAUUAAAGUUAAGAAAUUAUUUAAGGUCGUGCGAUUUGUAAAAUUAAAGUUCUAGUCCCGUAAUAAUUGGUAUUGAACUAAGAUUUGAAGCUACCAGUUGAGAUGAGGAAAGGAGUAGAAGAGCAGAUUGAACCCAGAGAGACCCAUGGGAGGGGCAGGAGCUAUUUAUAUAUUUUUGAGAUGUUGAUAUCUUCAGGAGCCUUUUAUGACCACACACGAUAAUGGGAAAGAUAGGGUCCUACCUGACUUUUGGUUUAUCUGUUUUGAAGGGGAAAAUGGUUCUGGUUUAGAGAAGAAAAAUGAAUGCGUUGAUGGAGCUUCUAAUUCUUGCUCCAUGUUGUUUCUUCUUCAUAGCUUUAAUAAAGUUACUUUAUGAUUACCUAUGGAUACCUCUCUGUAUUCAGCAUAUGCUGAAUUUAGAGGUGAUCAUGAGUUGGGCGCCCUGGCCCAGCCUGACGGCCCGCCUGAAAAAUGAGAGGGUUUGGGUAAAAAAAAGAGACCCGUUUAAAAAAUAGGCCAAGCCUCAGGUAAAAUUUUUUUGGCCCCGGCCCAGCCCGAAAUAUAUAUUAAAUAUAUUUUUUUAAUCAUAUAUAUAUAUUAAAUAUAUACUUUUUUGGUGUUGUAAAAUUUAAUAUGGGCCAGGCCGGGCAGGGCUUAGCAAUUUUUUUCAGGUCGAGCUUGGACAAAUUUUUAGGCCCAUAUCUUGGGCCGGAUCAAGCCCGGGCUUAGAAAACGGGCCUAAAAUUUUAUCUUGGGCCGGUCCUGCCUGGCCAAUGAUCAUCUCUAGCUAAAUUCACAGGGUAUCAAAGGACCUCCUUACAGAUUCAUCCAUGGCAACAACAAGGAAGUUAUACUUUAAUUAUUAUUAUUUAUUUAAUUAUUAUUGGUCUAGUAGUCGAACCGAUUGAAUAAGAAAUCAAUAGUUUUAUCUUUUAACUGAUACUGUGAGAUUGUAGCACAUCAUCACCUAAAAAUUUAUAUAAUUUUUUUAAUUUUCAAGUGAUACAUAUGAUCAUGUCACAUCAUCAAACUUUUAAAAUUUUCAUGUUCAAAGAUUAAAAUAGACCUAAUUGUUAAAUUCAAAUGACAAAGUGGGCCAAAAAAAUCCUAAUAGCCAAUAAUAGAAAAAAUAUAUUAUUUAAAAAAAUAAAAAUAUUAAAGAAGACCCACGUGGUGAUAUUUCUCUUUUUCCAUAGUUCCCGACAAUAUUGUUGCCGUCUAUAUGUCGUAAAUAUGCUGCAACCAGCAAAAUUUGUUUUCUAAUAUUUGGCAACUUUUACUUGCAAGACAACGAAGAAAAACACUUAAAUAAUUAGUUCAGUCCUCCUCAAUAAUGGGAGAAUGUUUUUCAAGGCAAAAAUAGCUUCAAAAUCUACUCUUACUAAAAAAAAAAAAUUAUUAUCUUUUGUCCAUUUAAUUCAUCCACUAUUUAUAAUUAAAUAAUUAAAUUUCAAUUGAUAAUACCAAUUCCUUCAAUUCAAUCAUGUGUUGUUUUUUUUUAAAAAAAAAAACCUUACACGAAAUUCAUAUAAGAUAUAUAUGUAUAUAUCGAUUUUCAUUCUAUCUUUUUAAAAUAGAUUUGAAGAAUCUUACAAUUCGAGAAUUAAUAUUUUCAUUUGCUUAUUUGACUUUCCACGUGUAUGUAUUAGCUAGAUGAGUAUGAUUUUUUAUUUCGUAAGUGCCAAAUAAAUAUUACUUUAACAAAGGUUUUUUUUUUAUUACAAUGUUAUGAAUUGAAUUUCAAAAGUGCAAAUGAUACAGGGAGUGAAAGCAUAGUUAGACCUAAAAGAAACUAAGAAGUCAGUUGUUAUUGAGAAACGUCCUAAAUCCACUAUAUAAAAACAAAAGGACCAUCUGGAUUCAGUGUUAAGAGAAGAAACAUGAGUGAUUUGAUGGAGCUUGUGAUACAGCAUAUGCUGAAUUCAUAGGGAAUCAAAGGACCUCUUUACACAUUCAUCCACGGCAACAACAAGCAAAUUACCUAAAUGAAAAAGAAAGCAUUAAACAAUCCUGGCGUUGCAGUGGAACAGAUUAAAGCUACAAAUUAUGGUAGUGGAGCAGAUUAGAGCUACCAGCCUUAUCUCCCUGAAGUUGUAGCGGAGCAGACUGAAGAUAGAGAAUCUUAUUUCCCUAGCGUUGCAGUGGAACAGAUUAAAACUACAAGUUAUGGCGGAUCUUAUCUUCCUAAAUUUGCAAUGGAGCAGAUUAAAGCCACCAGCCUUAUCUCAUUGAAGUUCCAGCGGAGUAGAUCAAAGCUACAAGUCUCUUCUCCCUAAAAUUACAUUGGAGCAUAUCAAAACACCAAUUCCUAUACCCCUGAAGAUGCGAUGAAAUGGAAUGAGACUACUUGAAAGAAAGAAGCACCAUAAAGUCAAGAUUCGGCAAGACCAGGCAAAAUUAGCCUCUUUAAAGUCUUUCUACCAUUCUCAUUACACGAGAAUGAGCAAAGAGGGACAGUUGUAAUAGGCCAAUUUUGGCCCAGGCUCAAAACCAAAUAAAUAAAACCAAAACCUGAGAGAUUCGCUGAAGGGAUUGCCAAAGCUACCAAUUACACCGCGGCUGCCUUUUUCCCCUUCGGAUUAGGACCUCGAUCUUGUGUUGGUAUGACAUUUGCAAUGAUAGAAACCAAGAUUGCUCUCUCCAUGAUUCUACAACGCUACACCAUUACCCUUUCCCCUGCCUAUGUCCACUCUCCAAUACUUAUUCUCACCCUUCGACCCCAAAAUGGAAUUCAAGUAAUACUUGAGGCGAUACAUAGUAAUGCUUGAAGUACAUAGCCGUUAAGAACUAGAGGUUUAACAUGGUUCGUGUAUUUUACUUUUAAGAGAUGAUAUUUAAUAUGUUUAAAGGUUCUAGCAUUUCACAAAGACAAACGACUCAUGGCCAUGUUUACUUUUUAUCUAUCAUGCAAUGUCGAUAAGAAGAUACCAUUUACCCAUUAGUUUGGCUAUGAAUUUCACUAUUUUGAAUGAUGUUACAUACUAUAGAAGUUGUAUAUCCAGUGCACCAACUUUCGGUUCUUUAUCUAUUUGAACUUAGCCUUUUACUUGCAUCAAAGUAUACGAGUCAUGCAUGCAUAGUCUAUCAUCCUCUCAAAAUUAAGGUAUAUCACACUAUGAACGUCACAAGUAAAUAGAUCCAUAAAUGGAUUUAGAAUCUAUUCUACUUGGGUCUUAUCUGAUGUACUGUCAAUCCAGUCAGUCACAUCUAUAUUUUUAUCUUUUAGGAGUCAUCUGUUCCAUUCGAGACAAAGCAUCUCCACAAUUGGGCUUGAUAGACAACAUAUUAUUUUUUAAUUGAUUUGCUCAUUUUCAAUUAGACUAAGGACAUAUUUAGGUUUAUCUUCUAAUACAAGCUAUCUUUUCAUAUCACGAUCUGACCACGUAAUACCGCUUAGUAUUAAUUUAAACAUUAGAUAACUAACGAGCCAUUAUUUGCUUCCAUUUUGCUUUGCAUGCAAAAAUAUUGAGGACAAUAUCGAAAGGGUAUUAAUGUAAUUAAUAGAUAUUAUUAAACCAAUUUGUUUGAAAAAUACAAUUAUAUAAAACGAAUAUAGUACACUUAGUGUACCAAAUCCAACAGUGGCCACUACAGCUAGCAUUGCCAUAAGCAACAUAACUUGACAUUUUUGGAGUUGAAAUCAUUUUAACAAAAUCAUUUGGGCAACGACUUAGAUGGUUUUGUGGACAUGUGCUGUCUCAUAUUUGAAGAUCCAUUUUAUGGAGCAAUCAAUCUUUGAAGACUAAAUCAAUUUGAAUCAAGCAAGUCAGAUCACUUAUUUUAUGGAGAUUGGCUUGACUUUUUGAAAAUUUGUUUUCGAAAUAUUUGAUUUAUUCUUGACUUUGAGGAUAUUUGUAAAGUUUUUUUUUACGAGGCUAUUUUUUGUGGGAUAUUGAUUCUAAUUGAUCUUUUAUCUUUGCAAACAUUAAAUUCUUAUAUAUUAGAGGCUUGUGUAAGUUAAAAUAAGGUAGAGUUUCUAUAGCACUUAUUUUUUCAUUGAGGAACUUGUAUUUGAUAGUGCAUUAAGAGUGUAAAAUAAGUUUGUUGCUUAGUUUUUCAACCAAAAUUCUCAAGGAAAGAACUUAGUGGUGAGUUGUGAUAGGACUUAAAUAACUUGUUGUCUUAGGAUUAAAAAUAAUGGAUUUACUCACUAAGUUGGGUUCCAUAGACAUAGAAAAAUCGAUAUGCGUAAAUAAUCAUUUGUGCUCUAUUUUUUUGUUGUUGUGUUCAUCAUAGUGGCAUCUAAGGUUGCCAUUACAACCAUCACUUUGGUCAUCAAUUACGCACUUUAUUUUUUUUCAGCAAUUAUCAACUUUAUGCGCCAAGAGAAUGCUUGUUUCUAGUACCAUUGAUCAAUUUUGUAGGAAACAUAAUGACCAAAAAGAAAAUGAUUACAGUCAACCCCUUCUGUAACAACUCUAUUUAUUUGUUAAGAUUUUGCAAGUUAUAAAAAGGUGGUUGUUAUAUACUAUUACAACAUGUUAUAAAAAGAUAAUUAUUGUAAACCUAAAAUAGAAUUUAUAUCGUGAAUUACUAUCAAAUAAAGAAAGUGAGAAUUAUAUUAAAAAAAGGAAAGUAGAAAUCAAAUCAACAAAAUUAAAAGAUGUAUAAUAGGUGCAUGCAUUAUUACCUUUAUAUUUUAUUUUACAUUUUUCACAUGAUUAAUUAUGAAAUUCAUCAAUCUAACAAAUAGUUAAUCGAUAUGAGUUUAAAUUAAAUUAAUUAAUUUAUCAUGUGUUAUUAAAUUCAAAAUGGUACCUAAACAAUUAAUCUGUUAUCUAUUUAAUACAGCCAAUCAUUUGCCACGUAAAAUAUCUAUUUAUUUUCUUUUAAAAUAUUACUAAAAUUCGAUAAAUAAAAUUAAAAAUAGUUAAAAAAUAAAACAUCAUAAAUUUAAUAAAAUUUAAACGUUAAGGAAAAACAUUUUACUGAUUGAAAAUACCCUUAAUCAGAUUUUACUAACAAUCCCUAUUUUUUUCAAACAAAUCACAAACUCUUUUUGUUCAAAAAAUUUCAAAUCAUCUUUUUACAACCUUUAAUCCUUUGUGGAAUUGAUAGAAGGGUACGUUUGAAGAAUUAAUUUUUUUUCUUGAAACCCUUGUUUGUCAAUUUCAUUGUUGAAACCUUUCUAAUUUCAUCAUUAUUUGAUUUUUAUUUUAGGUUAAUCGUAAAACUUCAAUUGAUUCGGGCAAAUCGAAGGAGUUGUAAAAAGGUUGAAAGGUAUGAUUUAGGCUUAAGUUAACACCAUUUGUAAAGGGUUCUUUUAUAGUUAAUAUGUAGAAUCUAAUGUAUGUGACUUUUGGCAGGUUGUGGGUUCUUGAAAUUUUAUAUUGAGAAAGUAGAACACACCUUUUAAGAGGGAAGUUCUUUGUGACUCGAGAUUAUUAGUCUGGUGACAAAAAGCCAAAAAAUGUACCAUUUGCUUUGAAGUUAUUUAUGAUUGUUAAUGAUAAACUUAGGAUUUUUAAUGGUGUUUAUAUAUGUAUUUUGUUAAGAUACAUAAUGAUAAAACUAGAGUUUGUGAUAUGUUUUGAGAUGAUAGGCUUCACGAAUAUGUGAUUUAUUGUCCUUAGCUAAUUCAAAUAUAGAUUAAUGGUGCCACUGCCACAGGCAGCACAACUCCCCUUAUAAUGGGGGGACCAUUCGGCUGGUGGGUGGAAAAGAAAAGGAGAGGGAAAGAAAUGGAAAGGAGAAGAAAGAAAGAAAAGGAAAGGAGAACACUACACCAGAACAGGCUUUUAGCGGCAUAUUUUGUGGCGUUUUGAUAACAAACGCCGCUAAAAAUCAAGCAUUAGCGGCGCAAAGAAUAAAACGCCACUAAAGAUCUAGCAUUAGUGGCGCUUCUUAUAAAACGCUGCUAAAGAACAUAAUUCGCGGCGUUUACCACACAGCGCCGCAAAAUCUCAAGACCAACACGCAGCGUUCUGGUCUUGAUGUAUAUUAGCAUUAGUGGUGCUUACGAACAAACGCCGGUAAUGUAUAGUAUUAGCGGCGCUUAGCGGAAGCGCCGCAAAAGAUGUUAACCAAAACGCAGAGUUUGGUCUUGAUGUAUAUUGCAAUUAGUGGCGCUAAUGUAUAGUAUUAGCGGCACCGAGCGUUAAACGCCGCAAGACAUCUUAAUCAAAACGCAGCGUUUUGGUAUUGAUGUAUACUAUAAUUAGUGGCUUUUAAGGAAAACGCCAGUAAAGGAUAGUUAUAGCAGUGUUUGGUGGUAAGAUCCUCAAAAUAUCUUAACCAAAACGCAGAGUUUGGUCUUGAGGUGUAUUAGAAUUAGUGGCGCUUGCUGAAAAACGCCGCUAAAGUAUAGUAUUAGUGGCGCUUGUGGAACGCGCCGCAAAGUGUCUUAACCAAAACACAGCGUUUAGUUCUUGAUGUAUACUGGAAUUAGUGGCGCACAUGGGAAAACGCCAUUGAAGCAUAGUAUUAGCGGCGCUUGUACCGAAACGCCACAAAAAACCUAAGCCAGACGGCAUCGUUUCGAAACUUUUUAGUGCUUUAGCGGCGUUUUUCCUUAAAGCGCCACAAAUCAUUUUAUAUGUUUUUUAUAUUUAAUUUGUUUAUUUAUAUUAAUUAAAAUUUAAUUUAUUUUUAAUUGAAUAUUUGUUAAAAAUGGAAAACUUGAAAUAGUAUUAUUUAAAAUAAUUUUAAAAAAUGUUAGGUACAUGACUGAUUGAUUUGUAAUUUAUAUAUUAAAUAAUUUCAUAUAUAAUUAUAAAAGAUAGUUUUUAAAAUAUUUAAUUAUUUAUCAUUAUAGUUUAGGGUUUAAUAUAUAUGCAGUUUAGGGUAUACGGUUAAUUUAAGAUUUAAGGUCGGUUUAAGAGCUACAAUUUUAACGUUUAUAUAGAUUAUGGAAUUAUGGAUUCUGGUUAAUUUAAGGGUUGUAAUUUAGGGGUUAUAGAUUAAGAGUUAGGGAUUUAAGGUUUAUGGAUUCGGUGUCAGGUUAGGCUUUAGGGUUUAGAUUAAUUAGUGUGUUUUAAUUUUUAUAAAAUAUGGUUUAAGGGUUAGGGGGUAGGGGGUAGGGAUUUGGGUUAGGAUUUAGGGUUUUGAUUAAUUAAUAUUUUUUAAUUUAUGUAUUAAAUAAGGUUUAGGGUUAGUACAAGUUAGGGUCGGGGUUAGUGGUUUAAGGGUUAGAAGAUAAGAGUUAGUGAUUUAGGGUUUAAAAAUUCGGGGUCAGGUUAGGCCUAUUGGGAACUUUAGUGGCGCUGCAAAAUUUUUAUUUUAUUUAAGGGUUUACGUUAUAGAAUAUAUGAUUUAAUGUCCAUGGUUUAGAGUUUUAGGGAUUACAGUUUAAUGUUUAUUAUUUUGGGUUAAUAGUUUAUGUGUUAGAGUUUGUGUUUAGGGUUUAAGGAUGCUGUUUAAAAAUUGAAGAACAUUUAGAUUUUACUAAAGAUUCAUGCAAUUUAAUAUAUGAAUAUAAAAUAUAUGUUUUGUACAGUAACAUUGGCCACGCAAUUACCCUAAAAUAUGGUUUAGGAAUAUUACGGUUUGGGACUUUUGGUUUUGACUUUUACUGUUUGGGGCUUUAGGGUUUGGGGUUUGAGGUUUGGGGUUUUUGGUUUGGGGUUUGGGGUUUGGUUUUUGAGGUUUAAGGUUUAGAAAUUAUAAUUUAAGCAGGUUUAAAACGCGAAUUUAUUUUCUUUAAAUGUAUUACUCUCUCAUUUUUUUAUUAUUAAUUUUUCCAUUUUAUAACUUUGGUUUUAAUUUUGGAUCAAUUUAACUUCAAUCUUGGAUGACACUAUUUUGACAACUCACGUGCUAGUAUAUUUGUAUUCUAUUCUUAGCGUAUAUAUAAUUUAAAAUAAAUUAUAAAUAUUUUUAAAUUUUGUAGAAAUUUUAAACUUUUUUUGCAAUGAAAGCCGUUAGAGGCAUUUAUCUCAAAACGCUGGAAAGAUUAUUUAACGUUAAGUAAAACUGCAUCGUUUCCUGUCACUGGGAAGGGGAACGGCGCCGUUUUGUUCAUCCGUAUUCGCGGCACUUUGAAAAAUGCCGCCAAGUUGGAUUAGGAGCUAAUGAAACUGCGUCGUUUUACGUUGCUAUUAGUGGCGCUUUCCAUGAAACGCCGCAAAAUUGUAUUUAUGUUUAUUGAAAUGUUGUCGUUUUUGUCUAUUGUAUUAGUGGCAUUUUUCGGAAACGCCACAACAUUGGGUAAACUGUUGGGGAAACGGCUUCGUUUUGACUUAUAGUUAGUGGCGCUUUACUUGAAACGCCGCAAAAUUGUUCUAACAUUUGUUGAAACGUUGCCGUUUUGUAAAUGUAAUUAGUGGCGUUUUUGAGAAAACGCCAGGGGUUUGAGGUAAGUGUUGAUGAAGCGACCGCGUUUUGAGUUAUUGUUAGUGGCGCUUAGUUUAAAACGCCGCAAAGUUUUGACCUAUAUUUUAUGGCGCUUUGCUUAAAACGCCGCAAAAAUGUUUUUCAAUGUUUGAUUCGAUGCCGUUUAUCUAUAUUAUUAGUGGCGUUUAUAGGGAAACGCCACAUUUUUCAGCUGUUUGUUGAUGAAACGACCGCUUUUCAAUUAAAUUUAGUGGCACUUUGAUGUAAACGUCGCAAAUGGAUAUUUUUUUAGAUGAGAACGGCGUCGUAUUUUUUCCAUCAGUCUGACCAAAUAUUACACCCGAUAUUUCUCCAUCACUUAUCCCCCAAAUACUCAUUCUCCCCCAAAUCCCUAAAAUUUCCCCUAAUCCCUAACAGCCCCCCAAACCCGACCACCUGCUACUCUGCCAUCUUCUGUGCUGCAUCACUCCGUCCGUCCGUUUCUGGCGCCGCAACCAUCGGUAAGUUUGAGUACUUCGUUCUUCGUUCUUUUUCUUCAUGCGUUAAUGUCUCUCUGUUGCUUCUUCAUUGCUGUUGUUUUGACUCCUUCCUCAUAGCAACCCACGCUUUCAAUCUUUCAACUUUCCCAGAAACUCCAAGACUGAAACCGAGGAGAAGACGCUGCACUUAGUAAUUUCGGAUUCCAUCUUCAGUUUUGGGCAAUACCCUUUCCAAGGUAUAACGCUGUCGGUAUUAAUUUCAUCAUUUAAAAUUAGUGGCUUUGGGUCCUUAGUUCUGAUAUGGUUACUUUUAUUGGACUCGUUGAUGCUCAAAAAUCGGUCCUUUAUGCGUAAAUGGGUCGAUGCUUUUGAUUAGUUUGAUAGUGGGUUUAGGGUACCACGUGUUUCUUUUAUGUGAAAUGCCUUUAGUUUGCUAUAUAUAUAUGGCGUGGAAAAGUUAUUGGCAUCUGUUAUAUCUAAUGAAUUUCUUUUAAAAACUUUUCAAUGGGAAUCUUUUUUGUUAAAGAAAAACCAUUCUUCUGUUUGAUUAUAAUGAAUAUAUAUAGGCUUCCUUUUAUCAUUUCUGAUUUGGUUUGAUUUUGUUGUAACUUGUUAUAACCAAACUGAAAUCCGAAUUCAAUUGCUAUAAGUGCCUAACUGUUAUUUUGUAGUAAUGGAUUUAGAGUUAAAGUGUUUUAUUUUUUUCCUGUUUAUUUGGGUGUAAUUUUCAUAUGUUUUCCUUUUUUUUUGUAGUAUUUACUCCUAUUUUAAAUUUAUUUUGCAUGCAUUCCAAUUUUAGAUGAAGUGGUUGUAUGUUUGAAAUCGAAGUCAAUAUUUACUUUCAUAUUUCUUUCAUGCCAUUCCCAUCAAUCAUUUCAGCACUAGGCAUGAAUUCAAAAUUGUUCAGGUAUCCUGCAAAUGGCAUUGUUGAUAAGGAUGCAAAAUUUGUUUUCUGAUGUUAAUAUAGCCUUGAUUUUUCUCAUGUAUAGUUGUCAGUUGUUAUGGGUAAAUUUUAUAUAAUUUUAUUUAAUUUUAUAAUUAUUCGAAUAUAUAUUCAUAAUUAUACUGUAUUUAUAAUUAUCGAUUUUCAAUUUAUCAAUUUACAAUUUUAUUUCAAUUAAUAAAUGUUUAAUAAUCAAUUAAUAAAUUGAUCGAUUAAUUGAUUGAAUGUCAAUGAAUUAUCAAUUUUGGUUAGUUAAUUGAUUGAAUGUUUAAUAAAUUCAUUAUAUAAUGAAUUCUCAAAAAAUUAUUACUUGAUUGCAUGUUUAAUAUAAAUAACUUAUUAUGAUAUAUAUUUUAAAGUUAAUAUAUAAUUUCAAUAUUUAUUAUAUUUUUAAAUAUAUUUUUACAAUUUAAUUUAACUUAUUGAUAAUAUAUAUAUUGUUAAGUAAUAUUUUUUUAAAAUUGAUAUCUUACAUUACUUAAAUAUAUAUUUUUAAGUAUAUUCUACAUGACUUACAUAUUACUUACUAAAACAUAUUUUUUACUAAAAUUUACUUUAAUAUAUUACUUGAAUAUAUUACUUAAAUAAUUUACUUAAAUACAUUACUUACUAAAAUUUUUUUAAAUUUUAAAUACAUUACUUGUUUAAUAUAUUACUUACUAAAAUUUAAGUAUAUAUUACAUUCCUUACAUAACUUGUUAAAAUAUAUUAUAAUUUCAAUAUUUAUUAUAUUUUUAAAUAUAUUUUUACAAUUUAAUUUAACUUAUUAAUAAUAUAUAUAUAUUCUUAAGUAAUAAUUUUUUAAAAUUUAUAUCUUACAUUACUUAAAUGUAUAUUUUUAAGUAUAUUUUACAUGACUUACAUUACUUACUAAAACAUAUUUUUUACUAAAAUUUACUUGAAUAUAUUACUUAAAUAAUUUACUUAAAUACAUUACUUACUAAAAUUUGUUUAAAUUUUAAAUACAUUACUUAAAUAUAUAUUACUUACUAAAAUUUAAGUAUAUAUUACAUUACUUACAUAACUUGUUAAAAUAUAUUAUAAUUUCAAUAUUUAUUAUAAAUAAGAUACAUAAAAGUGACUGACUAUUAAUAUUUACUUACAUAAUUUAAUUUUGUAUUUACAAGAACUUACAUAACUUAUUAAUAUUCAAUAAACUUAUAUAACUAUCACACAUACACUUAUUAAACUUACAUAAUACAUGACUUAUAUAAAAUUCUCAAAUAAACUUACAUAAUACAUUAGUUAUAUAAUAACUUAUAUAAACUUACAUAAUACACAUUACUUACAUAGCAUACAUAACUUACAUAAUACACAACUUAAAUAGCUUACUUAAUACAUAACUUACAUAACUUAGACACGUACAUAACUUACAUAAUUUACUUAAUACAUAAAUAUAUAUCAUAUGAUAUAUAUUUAAAAAAACUCAUUUGUAGUUACCACUGAACAACUUACCCUUGUAAUUUCUGGUGAAAAUCAAACAUCAAGAAAUAAGAAAUGGACCGGUCUUGGAUGAAUUUGUCAAGGGUAAGCGACGGUUAUCGAAAUGGAGUACAGACUUUUCUAAAUUUUGCAUUUCAAUAUGCAAGCCAGGAGAACAUGAUUCUUUGCCCAUGUAAGAAGUGUGUCAACAUAAACUGGCAUUAUCGUGAAGUUGUAUACGAGUAUCUAAUUGUUGAUGGGUUUGUUCGGGGUUAUAAACAAUGGCUUUUUCAUGGAGAAUGCCCGCCUAGUACUUCCUCUUCAAGGAUGGAUGUAUCUUAUGACAGUACUACUUACCACCAGUCUGUUAGAGGGGAUGACAUGGAAGGGAUGUUGCGGGAAGCAUUUAAUAUUCACAAUCAUGGUUUACAGUCGUUCCCAGCCGACUUUGUUGCAUCUGAUGAUUGUAAUAUUGGUGGAAAUGCUUUUACCGAACCUGGAAGAAGUGUACAUCAUGAAGAGCCGAAUGGAGAAGCGGUGAAGUUCUACGCGCUACUUAAUGACAUGAAUGAAGAACUGUUUGAGGGAUCAAAAUUCUCAAAAUUAUCUUUUUGUAUUCGUCUUUUCCAGUUAAAGUGUUUGGGAGGGUGGACCGGGAACUCUUUAACAAUGCUGUUAGAGUUUUUGAGAGAGAUGUUUCCGUUUGCAAAAAUCCCUUAAUCAUGCAAAGAUAUGAAGACUAUGAUAAAAGACUUAGGUCUUGGGUACACCAAAAUCCAUAGUUGCCUGAAUGACUGCAUGUUGUAUUGGGGCGAUCGAAGAAACCAGUAGUGCUGUCACAUAUACGGCCAAUCACGUUGGAUAAAUAGAAACACAGAAGAUAGGAACGACGAUGAAAAUGAUGCACAGCCAAGAAAGAAGCCGGUCAAGAUUUUACGGUAUUUUUCGCUCAUACCAAGGGUUCAAAGGCUUUUCAUGUCGUCGAAGAUAGCGGAGUCUAUGACGUAGCACCAUGAUGGACGAACCGAUGAUGGGAAGAUGAGGCAUCCGGCAGAUUCUUUAGCUUGGAAAUCAUUUGACAAUAAAUUUCCAAGCUUUGCAAGUGAUCCUAGGAGUGUAAGGCUUGGCUUAGCAUCUGAUGGAUUUAAUCCGUACAAGAUCAUGAGUACUGCGUACAGUACUUGGCCAGUAGUGCUUGUUCCUUACAAUCUGCCUCCGUGGAUUUGCAUGAAGCAAUCUUCCCUUAUCUUAUCUAUGAUUAUCCCUGGAGAGAAAGGGCCCGGGAAUGAUAUCGACAUUUAUCUACAGCCACUUAUUGAAGAGUUAAAACAAUUGUGGACUGGUGUCGAGACAUACGAUGUGCUGAGAAAGGAGAACUUUAAUUUACGUGCAGCUUUGAUGUAGACCAUUAAUGACUUUCCCGCUUAUGCCAAUUUAUCUGGUUGGAGUACCAAGGGUCGUUAUGCGUGUCCUUGUUGUGCUGCACAAACAUGUUCGCAAUGGUUGUACAAUGGGAAGAAGUUCUCUUACAUGGGGCACCGUUGGUGGUUACCGAAAAAUCAUAGAUUUAGAUUUCAGAGUUCUGUAUUUGACGGCACUGAAGAGUUCAGAGAAGCUCAUUCGCAGACCAGUGGCUCUGAAAUCUUGUUCAUGUUGGAAUAUAUGAAUUUCAUUUAUGGGAAGAUGAACCAACCGUCAGACACGCAAAGAAAUAGAAGAUCCAAUGAUGAAGCUGAUGAUGACUCUGAUGAAGAGGACGAUCCUAAUGAGGCGGACUUGUGGAAAAAAAGAAGUAUUUUUUUUGAGUUGCCUUAUUGGGAGCAUCACCUUCUACGACACAAUCUUGAUGUUAUGCACCUUGAGAAAAAUGUCUGCGAGAACAUUGUGGGUACAGUUUUGAAUGUCGACGGAAAAUCAAAAGACAAUCUUCAAAGUCGACUUGAUUUAGUCCAAAUGGGAAUCUGACCUGAUCUUCAUCCCAAUCCACUUCCGAAUGGGAAAUAUCGGUUGUCACCUUCUAUAUUUUCAAUGUCCAAGACGGAAAAAGAAGUGUUCUGCAAGGUGUUGAAGGAUAUAAAGGUUCCAGAUGCGUAUGCAUCGAAUAUAUCUCGAUGUGUUAGUGUUAAAGAUCGAAGAUUAUAUUCGCUAAAAUCACAUGACUAUCACAUCUUGAUGCAAGAUUUACUGCCAGUGGCUCUACGAUGUUGUAUGUCCAAGAAGGUGACGUCUUGUAUAAUUGAACUAUCCAACAUAAUGAAAGCCAUUUGUGGUAAAGUUUUGGACGUUCAAGAACUUCAGAAGGUACAGGAUCGAGCCGCUUUGACUUUAUGCAACCUGGAGAAAAUCUUCCCACCUUCCUUCUUCACUGUUAUGGUUCACUUGAUAAUCCAUCUCCCGCACGAAGCAAUUCUUGGCGGACCCGUUUUCUAUCGAUGGAUGUAUCCCAUAGAAAGGUGUUAAUUAAAAAAGUAUAAGUUUUCCUUCAUUCACCUCUAUGCCUUUACUUUCAAUAAUUAAGAAAUGUUGUAUAUUCUGUUUAGGUUUCUAUCCAAAUUAAAGUNNNNNNNNNNNNNNNNNNNNNNNNNNNNNNNNNNNNNNNNNNNNNNNNNNNNNNNNNNNNNNNNNNNNNNNNNNNNNNNNNNNNNNNNNNNNNNNNNNNNNNNNNNNNNNNNNNNNNNNNNNNNNNNNNNNNNNNNNNNNNNNNNNNNNNNNNNNNNNNNNNNNNNNNNNNNNNNNNNNNNNNNNNNNNNNNNNNNNNNNNNNNNNNNNNNNNNNNNNNNNNNNNNNNNNNNNNNNNNNNNNNNNNNNNNNNNNNNNNNNNNNNNNNNNNNNNNNNNNNNNNNNNNNNNNNNNNNNNNNNNNNNNNNNNNNNNNNNNNNNNNNNNNNNNNNNNNNNNNNNNNNNNNNNNNNNNNNNNNNNNNNNNNNNNNNNNNNNNNNNNNNNNNNNNNNNNNNNNNNNNNNNNNNNNNNNNNNNNNNNNNNNNNNNNNNNNNNNNNNNNNNNNNNNNNNNAUCUUUUUAUGAAUGGUUAAGCCAAACGGUAUGCAGUUCGAGCUUCCGCUUACAAAUAAUAAUGUUUUCUCAUAACAUUUUUAAUUACUCAGUUUACUUUCCAUUCAAUAGGUUUGGAGUGGGAAGAACGUAAACGACGAUGUUAAAUGGCUCUCCCAAGGUCCAAAUCGAGUGGUUAAAAGAUAUAGUGCGUUCCUCAUCAACGGAUUCAGAUUUCAUACAAAAUAUCACGAGAGGUUGAGGAGAACGCAAAAUUGUGGAAUAGUUGUCAAUUCUGCAAUUACAAGUUAUGCUAGUGCUAGGGACAAUAAUCUUGUCGAGGGAAAUGUGGAAUAUUUCAGACAUCUUACUGACAUAAUUGAGUUGGAUUACUACGGCAAAUGGAAAGUUGUCUUAUUUCGUGGUGAUUGGGCCGAUGUUAAUACAGCUCGUGGAAUUAAGCAAGAUCAAUUUGGUUUUACAAUGGUGAACUUUGACCUAUUGAUUCACACAGGACAACAACUGAUAAAUGAGCCGUAUGUAUUCCCAUCUCAAGUCAAACAAGGUUUUUACUCAAAAGAUCCAACUGAUGAGGGUUGGUACGUUGUACUCUAUAACAUCCCUAGAGACUUGUUUGACAUGGGCAGUGGAACUAGAGAUAACAUCGACAACAGAUCAGUAACUUUGCCCUUUCCAGAACAAAACUUAAACGAUAAUAUCCCUAGUACUAGUGCACAAUUUCAAUGGGUUCGUCAGGAUACCGAUGCAGAUAUUUACGAAUAAUGAUGUAGUAAGAUUUUACGAUUGUUUAAUUAUAUGUAAUAUCAUAAUUUAAAUCUUGGUCUUAUUAUAUAUUUCAACUAUUUUAUAUGUGCUGUUAUUGUUGUAAUUAGUUAUCCCGUUGUCAACUAUUUUAUGUGUAUUGCAGAUAAAAUGCCUAGAAGAAAAAUUCUAAGGGGAAGCAUUGUUCAAAAUAAUCCAAACUCGACAGAAACAAAUAGUACUGAACAACAGACAGCAGUUGGAUCUUCGAAUGCUCCGAUUACAGCUGAGGAUCCUACAGAAGUUCAAAGUAAGUUUACAUUUAAUUUACAUGCGUGUUGACUUAUAGUUGAUUUAUUUUUCAAAUUCUUAUGUUAUAAUAUACCAUUUGUAGCUGAAAAUGGUGGGACGCGCAGAGGUCGAGGACAUACGCUACUUAGAGAGUUAUAUGAGUUAGAUCCAGUCGAGCGUGUCAAAGUUGGACGAAACAGUUUUGGUCAACCUGUUGGAUCAGAAGCUCGACUUUUAGCAGGAUACAUGGGCAUUUUAGCACGAAAUCCGAAUAUGUUGCCUAUCAACUACGAGUCAUGGCAUCAAAUGCCCGAUAGCAACAAAAACCAAGCCCUCGAUAAUAUUAAGGUAACAAAAUAUUAAUGCCAUCUGUAAUGCUUGGGAAAUAGUUUCAUUUAUAUUUACUUUAUUAACUUGUGUUUUUUGUUUUUUGUAGGUGAGGUUUGCUUUAGAGGUCUCGGAUGAUUACGUAAAGAAGGCAUUGGGAAAAAUAUGGAGAGACAAUAAAAGUACUUUGAAGAAAAAUUAUUAUAAAACAAAAACAACCCUCGAUGAGAAAUUGCAAAAUGUCCCGCCGGGUAUGUUGAGGUACCAAUGGGAAGAUGCGGUUAGAUUUUGGCAUUCGAAGAAAGGCGAGGUAUGACGUACUUCCAAACUAUUGUAAUUAUUUUGGUUUAUAGUAUUUUCUAUUUACGUACUAAAAUUUUGAUAAUGUAGGAUCAUGAAAAAGUUGGAAAAAGCAGCAGGCAGAAACAAAAAUUCACCCACACAGCCGGGUCAAGAAGUUUUGCAUGUGUAGCUGAGGCGGAGGUAUUUUUAAUUUAUUUAAUAUUGUCGAAUAUGUAUAACAUUCUAUUAAAUAAUAUUUAUACUACCAUAUUGUAGGAACUGUCGUCCGGUCAAAAAGUUGGACGCCUUCAACUUUUUGAAAUUACACAUAGGAAGAAAGAUGGAUCUCCCAUGACUCCUGAAGCCGGUGAAAUAAUGGUACGUUUACUUAAUACGAUUUGACUUAUUUUAGUUAUUUUUAGUGUUUAUUUUCUAAUGGUUUAAUUCAUUGCUUGUAAUGCGACUAUUGUUAUGUUGCAUAUGUUUUUUAAUAUAUAAUAUUGCGUUCCUAACUAUGUGAUUUAUUUAUUAGGAAAAACUAAAGGAUAAAAAGGCGGAGUACGAAGCGAUUGCUUCUAGUGAUAGUUCUAUUCAUCUUGAAGACAUUGAUAACCGAAUUAUUACUGAAGUUUUGGGUCCUGAAAGGUAUGGUCGGGUUCGAUUUCAAGGAUCUUUUGUUAGCCCAACCCAAUAUUUUGGAUCCAGCUCCCACCAAUACAUGGCUUCGGGGAGUCAGGCUCAAGCUGAAGUUCAGAGGUUGAAAGACCAGAUGGCUGAGAUGCAAGCGACCACAGUUGAGGUUCAAAGGAAAUAUGAAGAACUCCAGCUACAACUUAAAGCAGAGGCGGCAGCGAGGGAAGCAGAGGCCGCAGCGAGGGAAGCAGAGGCUGCAGCCAGACAAGCAGAGCAGACCAAAAAGUACGACGAACUCCAGCAACAGCUUCAGACUGUGAUGAAGAUGUUUCAGUCGUAACUUCCGCCUUCAUAGUGUAUGACAUAAAUAUUUUUAUCAUUUUAACAUUUAAAAUUUUUGCAAAAAUACUAUGAAUUCACUUUUAUUUAUUGAUAUUAAUAUUAUAUAAAUUCACUGUGAUGAAUUCACUUUUAGCGGCGUUUUUUUUCUAAGCGCUGCUAAAGAACAUGGUCUUUACCGGCGUUUUUGUUUGUAAACGCUGCAAACGUUUGCGACGUUUUCGUUAGCGGCCUUUUUUGCGGCGCUUAGUGGCGUUAAAAAGCGCCGCUAAAGGCCUAAAAAAACGCCGCUAAAGACCUGUUUUGGUGUAGUGGAAGAAAGAAAAAGAAAGAAAGAAAAGGAAAGGAGAAGAAAGAAAAAAAAAAAGGAGAAGAAGAGGGAAGGAAGGAAAAAGAAAGGAAAAAAGAAGUAAAGGUAAUUUUUUUGUAUUAAUUUUUUUUUGUAAUAUUUGUGUAAAAAAUGUAUGUGUUUUAUUAUUUUAUUUAGAAUAUAUAUUUUAUGAAAUUUAUUUAGCAUGAAAAAAUCCAUGUUAUAUACAUUCUAUGUUGAUUAGAAUUUUUUUUGUGAAAUUUAUUUAGGAUGUUGUAAUUAGUUUUUUUUAGGAAAAUAGCAUUAAAAAUAAAAUUAUAAAAAAAUAUGUUUAAGAAAACAUAAAAUACGAAAAGAAAAAAAACGGAAAUUGUAUAUUCAACGAAAGUAAUAAAAUCCGAAAAAAAUUGUAUAUUUAAAAAACACACUAAAUUAAUAAAUUUCAAACAUAAUGUACUAAAAUAAUGUAAAAUAAUAAAAUUAAAAAAUAUGAUUUUUUUAAAGUAAUAAAACACGGGAGAAAAAUACGAACAAAGGGCCGAAGUAGGGGUUUUUUACUAAAUUUUAAAAAAAUAAAAAAAAAAUUAAUACAUUUCAAACAUAAUGUACUAAAAUAAUGUAAAAAAUAAAAUACAAAAAUAAUAUAUUUUAUUAAAAGUAAAAAUAGGGAAAAAAAAUACGAGCAAAUGGCCGAAAUAAGGUUUUUUUUAAAUUUAUUUAAAAACACAUUAAAUUUAUUUAAAUUUCAAACAUAAUGUACUAAAAUAAUUUAAAAUAAUAAAAUUAGAAAAUAUGAUAUAUUUUAAAGUAAUAAAAUUCGGGAAAAAAUACGAACAAAGGGCUAAAAUAAGGGUUUUUUAUUAAAUUAAAAAAAGAAAUAAUUAAUACAUUUCAAGCAUAAUGUACUAAGAUAAAUUAAAAUAAUAAAAUAUGAAAAUAAUAUAUUUUUAUUGAAAGUAAUAAAAAUCGGGAAAAAAUAUGAGCAAAGGGCCGAAAUAAGGGUUUUUUAAUUUAUUUAAGAAACACACUAAAUUUAUUUAAAUUUAAAACAUAAUGUACUAAAAUAAUAUAAAAUAAUAAAAUUAUAAAAUAUAAUAUUUUUUUAAAGUAAUCAAAUUCGGGAAAAAAAUACGAACAAAGGGCCGAAAUAAGGAUUUUUUACUAAAUUUUUUUAAAAAAGAAUUAAUUAAUACAUUUAAAACAUAAUGUACUAAGAUAAAGUAAAAUAAUAAAAUACAAAAAUAAUAUAUUUUUAUUUAAAGUAAUAAAAUUCGGGAAAAAGUUCCGAGCAAAGGGCCAAAAUAACGGUUUUUUUUAAAUUUAUUUAAAAAACACACUAAAUUUAUUUAAAUUUCAAACAUAAUGUACUAAAAUAAUGUAAAAUAAUAAAAUUAGAAAAUAUGAUAUUUUUUUUAAAGUAAUAAAAUUCGAGCAAAAAAUACGAACAAAGGGCCGAAAUAAGGGUUUUUUUAAAUUUAUUUAAAAAACACACUAAAUUUAUUUAAAUUUCAAACAUAAUGUACUAAAAUAAUUUAAAAUAAUAAAAUUAGAAAAUAUGAUAUUUUUUAAAGUAACAAAAUUCGGGAAAAAAUACGAACAAAUGGCCGAAAUAAGGUUCGUUUACUAAUUUUUUUUUGAAGUUGCAGGCAUCGCAAUGGCUUCAUUGAUUAGCAGGGAUACACACAUCUGAUGCGGCUAAUGAGAUGGUAAUAUAUUAUUAUUUGUUAAUCACGGGUUCUAUUAAAAAAGGAUAUAAGUAAUAUAUAGAAAUAAAUCAUGGUAUCCUAAUUGUUUCUGUAAUUUAACACUAUCAGGACUCGUAUCGAGUAAUAAGGGGUCGGGUGAAUGGUUUAAAGCAUCCCCCGAAUUCACUAUUGAUGUCGUACUUGGAGCAAGCCUGAUUUGGGUCAGCAGCAUUGAUCCGGACGUUCGACUUGCGGUAUGAUUUAUUAUCUGCGAUAGUGGAGCGGUGGCGCCCGGACACCCACACUUUUCAUUUUCUGUGUGGGGAGUGCACGGUGACCUUAGAGGAUGUUACGCUGCAGCUUGGACUCCCAAUCGACGGAAGUCCCGUAAAGAGAGUAAGUUCAUUUACUGAUCCAGCUGCACUAUGUAAUCAGCUAAUAGAAGACUCGCCAAACGACGAUGACGAAAAUUUUACGAGCUUGAAAUUUACAUGGCUGAAAGCCAAAUUUGGACAGUUAUCAACGAAUGCCACUGAAGGUGAGUUGAUGUGCACUGCUCGAGCGUACAUCAUGCAUAUCCUAGGGGGAGUACUGAUGCCCGAUGCAAACAACAACAAGGUGCAUAUGAUGUACUUGCCCCUAUUAGCUGAUUUGUCCAAUGUUCGCUCGUAUAGCUGGGGCUCCGCCGUUCUAGCAGUGUUAUAUCGGAAGCUUUGUCGGACGACAAAGCCUUCUGUUGUAGACAUGGGCGGAUGCCUUACAUUGCUGCUGUCCUGAGCGCUCCAUCGGAUGCCAUUUUUGGCAUCGGUUACUCACCAACCGUAUGUUUAUCCACUAGUGAACAGGUGAUAAAAUAUAGCUUGUCAUUAUUUGUAGUCAUAGUAUAUUGAAUGAUGUUACCAACCCUAAACCCUAUAUUUCUUUUUGUAGGUGAAGUAUUUAUCCGGGUAUUGGGAGGUCGCACACUAUCCCGAUAUACCGACUCAUGAUCAAAUAGCAUGCCGGGAAAGGGGUAAGCUAUUCUAAUAUUAGUCUAUUUACCUUACUCACACCGUGUUAAAUUUAUAUGGAUGCCAUAUAUGGAUGCAGUUUAUAUGGAUGCCAUAUCGUCGCCCGAAAAUUACAGCUGUGAUACCCUCGUCUGCACACGUUCAUUCUGAAAUGUGGUGCACUAAUGCACCAAUUAUAAAUUUCAAUGUAGUCGAGUGGUAUCACGGGGAUCGGGUGCUACGACAGUUUGGUUGCAUCCAAUAUAUAUCCUGGAUCCACCAUGCGAGGUGGGGGCGGUUCACGGCAUGAAUAGGAGAGGAAAACCACAGUUGGAUUGGGGGUUAAGCACUAAAAAUUUAUUGCGCUGUGGAACGAUCGGAUAGUUCGAAGACCUCAGAUGGUUUUGGCAUAUUCAUUGCAACCAUUAUUAGAGUACAUACAAUGGUACUAUAAUUGCGGAAAGCAAUAUAUACUUGGAGGCCAGUCGACUGUAGCCCCCCGCACAUGCAGCUACCUGGGGGAUCGUGAUCCUGAACCAGAUCCCGAGCCGUAGCCCGAGCCAGAUCCCGAGCAGUCACAUUCACAUAGGGAUUCACAAUCCUAUCAUCCGAAUUUGGUGGGCGAUGAGUAUAUUCCGAGCUUCUUAGGGGGUGAAUACGCAUACGAGUUUGAUCUCUUUGGAUCCUACCCGCCGCAGUACGACACUCCCAGCCCGUACCUACAGCAUCAUGGGACUUCUUUAGGUUCAAGUUCAUCGAUGCCGAUUGAGCCACAUGAUUUUUCUUCUAUGUUUACCAUACCCCCUGCGCCAAAUGAGGACGUUGGUCGUCGCCAACACCCAGAACGUGACCGUCGACCUCCGCAUAGGUAUACCCCUAGGACCACACCAUCAAACCCUCAGUUCUAAGGGUUUAUUGCACUUUUUUGUACAUUACAAAGUUUGUACUUAUUGUAUAAAUUUAAUUACUUAAUUUAUUACACUUUUUAUAACUUAAAUUGGAUACAAUUUAAGCAUAAGCAUAAGCUGAAUAAUUUUAAUUAUUCCAAAUGAAUCAUGUUUUUAAUACCUUAAUUUGGAUACAAUUUAAGCAUAAGUAUAAGUUGAAUAAUUUUAAUUAUUCCAAAUGAAUUAUACUUUUUACAACAUUAGGUCAAUUCUGACCCGAUCCUGAUGACUGUCCGACAUGAUAGUUUCGCUGAGGGCAUUUAUUUUGACUAUGACCACUUAACCUGCAUAAUCCACAACGCUUACCGUCGAAUUUCUCCCUAAUGUCCAUUUCAUUAUGGAUUCUGGUUGAUUGCGAACGACCUCUUGGAUUCCUGCGUAGCCCUCUGUCUAGGAUAAACUUGAAAGUCGUUAGAGGCAACUCUCACGUAGACAGGUCAGGCAAGACGGGGAACUCAUUUUCCUAGACACGUAAUGUGCGCUCGAGCGUGUACACAUCAUCGACAUAUUUUUCAACAUUAAGGUUCACUUUAGCACACGCUGCCACGACAUGCGCACAUGGAUAAUGAAGUGUUUCGAACUCCUGCACUCGCACCUUCUGUUCCAGAUAUCAACUCCAUAAGACCUAGGUGGUAUACCAGGUCGACGACCGAUGGUCUCAGUAACUCGAAACGUUUCCAGACGUCGUGAAUAUAUUUCUACAUUCAUGGACCUCGCCAUCCGACGGUUUGCAACCAUUGCAUCCCUGACAUCUUCGACAAACACAUGUCCUGCCUCCAUCUAGUCAACUUGUUGCUGACUCAUUCUUGGCAUCAAGGUAGCCAACCUGUAGAAUAUAGCAGAGAAGACAGAUGCAAUCGGAUGAUGACGUGUUUUUAACAAUACAUCGUUUACCCCCUCCACUAAGUUUGUGGUCAUUUUUCCAUAACGAAAGCCCUCGUCAAAACAUUAAGCCCAUUGCCAACCCAGAAAGAUGUGUUUAUUUGCCCCUCUAUGUCACUCUCAAGUCGAAUCAUGCUUUGGCGGAAAAUAUGUGGCUCUAACUCGUACGCUGUAUAUAGGGGUGAGCAUUCGAUCGAAUCAAAUCGAAUCGAAUCGAAAAUUUUCGAGUUAAUCGAGUUUUCGAAUAUCAUUUUAUCAUCCUAACUUUAUUUGAAGUUUUAUCGAAUCGAAUCGAGUGAGAUGGAGAUCGAAUCGAAUCGAAUUAUUUGUUCGAGUUAAGUUUAAAAAUAAAAUAAAAUUAUUGUUGUUUAUUUUUAUGUAAUUUUUUAAAAAAUAAUUUUCUUUAAAGUUUUUAAACAUAAUCAUACAACAAAAAAUUGAAGUAAAUAAGUGAAUAAAUAAAAGUAACACAACAUCAACCCAAAUAAACAACAUGAUUCCAAAUAAACAACAAAAAUAAUACAAAAAGAUUAUAAUAAAAAACAUACGUAAAAAUCCAAGUAAAUAGCAUGAGUCAAAAUAAACUAAAUUAGAAAGAACAACAAUAAAUCUGCAGCUUCAAAAUGAUGGCUAUAGUUUGAUGAUGAUUGGUGCAUACAAAAAUAAUUGACUGCAAACUUAAGAACUAAAAGAUUCUUAUUUUUUGUGUUGGUUAUGUUUAGUACCAGAGAUGAUAUCAGUUCUUUCUCACCACCCCCACAAGAAAAGCUUAAGAACUAAACAAUAAGUAGUGAAAAUAAAAGGGAAUUCCACUCUCUCCCUGCAAACUUAAAGAAAACUCAAGCCUGCUCUGCUUUGAUAUACCUUAGAAAUCAAAAAAAUGGAAAAACAGUAGCUCUACUGAACUUUGUAACUAGUUGUUAAAACAGUGUUUUAAUGUUCAAAUAGUUAUUUAUAAGCACUUGAUUAGGUAAAAAAUGCCAAAUACAAAGAUGUGAAAUAUGUAUAGAAAUGAUAUUAAAUACACAAUUGAAAACUGCUCCCACUUUCCAUUACGUGUGGCCUAAGUUCUCAAAUUCCACAGAUAAUAUAGAUGGUAUUGCCCUAGGGUUUAUGAAUUAAAAUUGAAAAACAACCUAUCACAAAAUGAAGAUGAAAAUCAUGAACACACACACAUAUACAAACCUCCUAAAUUCAAUCACUAAAAUAGUAAAGUCCAUAGCUAGAAUGAACUAAAGAAAAAAAGAUUAAAAAAGAACCCUCUGAUAUCUACUUAAAAUCCCAUUUUUUCAUGGAAAGAAGUAACAAAUAAUAAUUAUUAAAAAUAACCCUUCAAUAUCUAUUUAAAUCCCAUUUUCCCCCAUGAAACAAAACACCCAAUGAUCAUUCAAUCAAAAGAAAUACGAAAUAAAACAAGAAUUAACACCAAGAGAGAAACAAAAAAAGGGGUAUAGAGGUAUACCUUAUGUGAAGAAUCUCAGAUCCUGAAAGCCUGAAUCCAAAAACAAACAGCAAAAAANNNNNNNNNNNNNNNNNNNNNNNNNNNNNNNNNNNNNNNNNNNNNNNNNNNNNNNNNNNNNNNNNNNNNNNNNNNNNNNNNNNNNNNNNNNNNNNNNNNNAAUAGGUUUAAGUUCAGGAAAGAAGAAACCUGUGGCAAAAGAAAGGUAUUUUGGGUGAUGGGUUUAAAGGAACUGAUUUUGCUUUGUUAAGUAGAGCUACUGUUUUUCCAUUUUCUUAAGAUUAUACUUGGGUUGUUUUCAGGCUUUGGUUUAUUUUUGUAUUGUUAUGGGGAAGAAAAGAUAUUACCAAACUGAACAUGUUAAAGAAAAUACAGUGUAAGGAAAGGAAUAAAAGUUAAUAUACCUUAGAAAUCCAAGGUAGAAGACGUAAAAGCACUGGCGGUGGAGCAGUCAGCCGUGGAGGACCCUGGACUGGAGGUGGAUCGGUGGAGAAGGGUGGACGGAGGUGAAGAUUUUUGAAUUGGGAAAAAAGGGAGGAGGGAGGGCACGAGCUUAGUUAGGGAUUUUGGAAGUGAUUUUGUUUUAAAUGUAGUGUAUUUUAAAAAUAAAAAAUAUAUGUAGUAUAUUUUAAAAAUAAAAAAUAUAGUUUUUAUUCGAAUUAUUCGAAUUAUUCGAGUUAUUCGAAUUCGAAAAUUCAACUCGAUUCGAACUCGAAAUUCGAAAGAAAAAAUUUGAAUUGAUUCGAUUAAUUCGAUUAACUCGAUUCGAAUAAUUCGAAAUUCGAAUUUUUUUCGAUUUUUUCGAAUCGAAUCGAAUUUUGCUCACCCCUAGCUGUAUACGUAUUAAGAAAAAAUAAGUUCCAGUAACUCGAUAACAUAAAACAUUACAACUUAUAUUGAAAAGAUAAGUUUAUCAUUUAGCCAUUGCCACGACUUGUCUCUUCCAGUCUGCAUUCUUAUAAUCUUUAUGGAAGUUGGACGCAAUGUGAUGGAUGCCGUAAAUGGAUCUCUAUGGCACACCUAAACGCCUAAUUGCUACAAUUAAACCUUUCCCUCUAUCGGAGAUGAUGCAAAUGUUAUCGUUGCUAAUAACAUACCUCCACAGGUUAGUGAGGAAGAAUUCCCAAGAUUUCAAGUUCUCCUUAUCUACGAUGGCAAAUGCUAUUGGGAGCAUGUUUCUAUUACCGUCCUGAGCAACUGCAAGAAGUAGGAUCUGUGUAUAUUUUCCAUAUAGCCUGGUCCCAUCCACCUGCACAAGUAGCUUGUAGUAGGGAAAUGCCCGCACACAUGAAUCAAAUGUCUAGAACAUCUGAUGGAAAAUCUUUUUUCCCUACUGUAACUGGUCGUCCGGGCCGUAAUAAGGCUUUGUCUGUAACUCAAUCACAGUCCCCAGUACGUACUCCCGCAUAGUAGCUAUCCAUCCUUGUAGCUCGUUAUACGACGAAUCAUAAUUCCCAUACAAUUGCUCCAAUGCCAUCUGUUUAGCUAUCCACGUCUUUCGAUAUGAUACUCGAUAUUGGAAUCGUGCUUGCAUUUUGGCAAUCAGCACCGAAACUUUAAUGGUCAGCAUGUCCUUCACCAUUGGCAUGAUACACAUAUAGAUAGUUUUCGAAUCAAGUUUUCCAUGAUCUUCUGUCAUACGUGUUGAUGUGCAUGUAUGAGGACCAACAAAUUAAGAAAUUGAAAGGAAUUUUCAAAAUGAAAGAAACUGGGGGAGGUGAGGAAGGAAGAAACAUAGAAAUAAAAAUUGUUUCCAAAGGGGAGGGGCUAACCAGAAAUAGGGGAUCGAAGAAAAUACUUCUUCUUCCCUUUUUUCGGAGGAAAAGGUGGGUCCAAGUAAAAUCGAUGAAACAGAAAAACUACGAGUAACUAGAAAGAAAAAAAAUAAAAUUAAGAGUGAACUCAACUUUCGUUUUAAAGAGACAUACUAUAAAAAUAGACCAGUUUAUGAAACUUUUUAUCUGGAUGAGAAUUAAAAAAAAUUGAAGUUAGAAAUAAAAAAAAGAUAAAUAUUUAUAGUAUGGGAUUAUGUGAAUACAAAAUUUGAAAUUAUUUAAUUUUUCAAGAUUCAUGAUUCUCCGUCUCAACAACAUCGUUUUUAAAAAUUCAUGUAUAAAUUCUCUCUCAAAAUGUGAUAUAACUUAUCACGGCAUCCCGUAUUUAUUAGUAUCUUUAAUUAAUAUUUAAUAUUUAUAAACACUAUUUAAGAAAAAAACCAAAUAAUAAUAAUAAUAAUAAUAAUAGUAAUAAUAAUAAUAAUAAGGGUCUCAAUCAUACCAUUUGUGGAAUGACUGUCUUUUUACUAGUAGACAGUGGCACAUUAAGCCUCUCCCAUCAUUCAUGGCAAUGCACUAACUAGCUUAAAAGCUAAAAAACCAAGAGCAGUCACAUUAUUAAAAUUUCAUUUAAUAAUUUAAUUGAUUUAUUGAGUCACUUAUAAAAAUUAUAUAAUUUUCUUUCAUUUUCAAACUAAAGACUCUUUUAAAUAAAAGAAAUAAUUGAUUUUUUAUUUGAAUAAUGAAAAUUUUUAAAUGAGAAAAAUAUAUCAAUUAUUUGAUUUUAUUGUUCUAGAAAGCAUGUAAAAUAAUUUGUGUUUAACAAUUCAAUUUUUCUUUUUAUAUAAUACUUGAAACUAUCCAUAAUUUCUUCUCAAUCGUAAAUAAGAGGACAAAUGCGCUUAAACUCACGUCCUCCUAUUCUGACAAUAAUACCAGUACCAAAUGGACAAUUCAAUUUAAAGACGAAAAUAAAUUUUAAUAAUUCACGUACUUGAAUAAUUUUUUUUAACAUUUCCAUAUUUAAAAUAUUAUAUAUAUAUAUUAAUCAUGUUAAUUAAUAGUUCAUAUUUUAUGCUAUACUUUAAUUAUUUAUGCAAGGUUUAUAUAGUAUAAUUGUAUCUAUCGAGGUGGAUUCUCGUUAGGGCCUAGAAGUUUCUAAAAAUUUUAUUUAAAUCUAUUAAAAUUUUUGAAGAUUUUCACUAAAAUUUGUUGUUCCUCAUACAUGCACAUCAACACGUAUGACAGAAGAUCAUGGAAAACUUGAUUCGAAAACUAUCUAUACGUGUAUCAUGCCAAUGGUGAAGGACAUGCCGACCAUUAAAGUUUCGGUACAGAUUGCCGAAAUGCAAGCACGAUUCCAGUAUCGAAUAUCAUAUCGAAAGGCGUGGAUAGCUAAACAGAUGACAUUGGAGUAAUUGUAUGGGGAUUAUGAUUCGUCGUAUAAGGAGAUUGUAAUAAGCCCAAUUUACCCGGGCCCUUACAAAACAAAAAAUAAGCAGUCUAAGUUUUUACAGGCCCAAACCCCAACAGCCCACUAACUAAAUUCCAACAGGAACCCUAGCAGCAUACAACCUUCAACCCUAGCCGCCGCACAUCAGCCCCGCACCACCACCCUUUGCGCACGUACGUGUCCCACGUACAUCUCCAGUUGGCCGAAUCUGCGCAACAAACGGCAAAACAGACGCAAAGAACAAGUAAACGAAAGAGAAAAACGCAAAAAAAAGAGAGAAUAACGGAAAUACAACUGCGUUGUGUUAUUUCUUUGAUUUUUCUUCAUCUUUCGACUAUAAAAAGUCGAGGAAAAUCUGUAAAAAGGAGGGGGAUUUCACGAAUCAAAUAAAAAACAGAAAAGAAAUUGAUAUCAAGAAGAGAUUUUAGAUUGAAGAUAGAUAUUUGUUUUUUUUUUCUCUUUUUUUUUGUUUUGACUUUUUUUAAAAAAAACUAGUAAGUAAUAAGAAAAAGAAAGGAAAGGACUUACCGGAGGUCCGUGGUCUUCUCGUUGGCCAAAGAUUGCCGUCCUUGGCGGAGCAGUGGCGAAGGAGCGGCGGCACGGCGACAUAAAGAUGCUAGGGUCAAAACCCUAGCAGAGAGAAAGGGGGCAACGGUUUUUUUGUUGUUUUAGAAAGUGGGCUGUCAAAUGAUUUUUAAAACAGAAAAUUUUGUUUAAAUAAUAAGGCAAUACGGUGUCGUUUCAUUAGGCCCCCUAGACGCCCAAAACGGCGUCGUUUUGGGGGCCAACCCAUGCACCGACCCGAUCUGGUCCCAAAUCCGCGUGUUUUGUAGCAUGGGGGAAUUUGCGCAAUUGGUCCCCCUAUUUUUGCAGUGUGUUUAAAUUAAAUUUCUGAUUUCUUUUAAAUUUCACUGCACAUUCUAUUUUUACUUCAAAUCAGUCCCUAUUACUGUGCAGCGUUUUAGGGAGGCGGAUUAUUUCUCUUUUGGUCCUCCACCCUUGCGCGCGCAUUCAAUGUGAUCCUGUUUUCAAAUUUACUUCGAAUUUAGUUUUUUUUAAGUUCAAUUUAACCCUUUUAUAAACUAUUUUAUUCAUUUUUUAUAAUUAUGUUAUACUAUGACAUUAUUAUUAUUAUUAUUAUUAUUAUUAUUAUUAUUAUUAUUAUUAUAUACGCUUGUUUUAAAAUAAUACAUAUACAUUUUUUUUAAAAAGCUUUUAAUACAUACAUAUAUUUUUGUAUAUACAAACAUUUUUUUUUACUUUUUUAAAUAUGAAUAUACGUAUUUUUUAUAUUAUCCUUCAUAGAUUUUUUUACAAACGUAUGUAUAUAUGUAUACCUACAUAUUUUAAUACAUAUUUUAAUACAUUCAUUUUCUAUAGUAUAAAUAUAUAUGUUUUUUGUUUUAAAUUAUUAUAAACAUUUUUAUUAUUUUAUAUAUGCUCCAUUAUUUUAUAUACAUAUUGUACAUAUUUUUAUAUUUUUACUUUAUUUACACAAUUCUCAUAUACAUAUAUGCAUGCAUUUUUAGAAAUUAUUAUAAGUUUUUAUGUAUUUCAUUCCCUUUUUAUAUGUAUACUUAUAUAUGUGUUUUAUAUAUGCAUUAACAUUUUAGCAUGUUUUUAAAGAAAAUAUAUUUUGGUUUCGUCAAAGCAUUAAAAUCGUUUUAUUUUUCUUAAUUUUUUUUAAAUAUUUGGCAAUCGUGAUUCUCGAGAAAGAUCGUGUCCUAACUUACUGGAUUGCGAUUAUUUUUUUUGAUGAAUUUAGAAAACCAAGUAUUUAUUUUGCAAUAAAUUCAUGAAAUUUUCAAAUAAAAGCUUAUUCUCAAGAAUCCAAAAAUGUCGGGUCCUAACUUACUGGUCAUGACAUUCUGGCAUCUCGAAAUAAGAAUUUUCAAAAGCAAAAGGCAAUAUUCUGGUAUUUUGAAGAUUUAAAAAUAUUGUGCCCUAACUCAUUGGGUGUGGUGUUUUAUUUCUUUGAAAUAAGAAUGUCUUAUUAUUUUGAUUCAUUCAUGAGAUAAAAAGUUUCCUUUUAAAAUCUUUUCAAUUUUUCAACACCAAGACAUUAAAGAAUCAAUUUGGUACCAAUUUUGGGGAGUUACGAGGGUGCUAAUCCUUCCUCAUGCGUAACUGACUCCCGGACUCAUUUUCUUAAAUUUCGUAGACCAGAAUCAUUUUAAGGUGAGCCGAUCACACCUUAAUAAAGGAUCGAUGGCGUCUCCAGUUUUUGUUUUUUUUAAGUCGACAACUAAAAUUUUUGUUUACAAAAAAUGGUUUCGACAGCUUGGCGACUCCGCUGGGGACACUAGAGAGUCGAGCUAGAAAUUGAUUCAUUUUUGUCUUGUGAUCAAAAAAUUAAAUUUGGGUUUUAAAAUCAUGAUUUCCCUUCGCAUUCAUUGAUUUUCAUCAUGAUAUGUUUGUUCGAUUGGCCUAAGUCUGUUCGUAUUUGCAUUUUGCAUUGCAUAAGUUGGUCAAAUUUACCCUCUAAGUGGGAGCGAGAAACUAGUCCUUCGUGAGGUUUUCACCUCCGUGCAGGGUAGUGGACCGCUUCCGGGAUACAUCUGUACCUAUGUCUUCGUGAGAUUUUCAUCUCCAUGCAGCCAUAGGGAAAUGUAUCCCCCUGAACUGAACUCGAUUCAUAUGAGCCUAUAAUGGGCGAGGAUCGAGGAAUCUGCUGGUUCGGGUACCCUUACUCUAGAAACUAAACCUCAUAUAGUGAGCUUUAGGAACUUGCCCUAGGUAGAACUAUUCCAAAACCCUAGUGGAUUCUGAAAUAAGUGUUCUUGCUAUUUCAUGUUUGUAUUGGAUUAUAUCUUUAUGUGUGAUACUAACUUGGGUUUGUUUUUGUUUUGACUGCAUGGCAUUUCAUUAUAGAAAAGAGAUGUUGAUUCACGUUUGGUUGUUAAUAGAGAACUUGCCAUGAAAAACGGGUUUCUUGAUAAGGUGGAAGAUAAUAUGGUUGUUCGAGUAUAGUCUAAGAAAAUGUGACACGAAAGGUAAUAGCCUAACAAGAGGAGUAUACGACUUUGCUGCAUGACCUGAGGAUUCAAAUUGUCAAAGUUUAUUCAAAAGUCAUCAAAGGUCCUAAUCUUUUAAAGAAGCUAAUGAACGUGAGUGAGCAAGGAGUUACGACCUAGAUCAAACAAAAAGGAGCUCAAAUUCGCGAGAUGCAUCUUAAAAUCCGAAUGAUCGAUGACUUCUCUUGGAGUACGAGGGUGAAGCCGUAUAGAUAUAGCCGCUUUAUGUAAAGAGAUUUGUUUUCUAGUGAAGUUUUCUAGUAAAGAAUUGAACAUGAAUCAACGUCUCUUUUCGCAUUCAUUUCAUGCAUUUGCAUUACAUUACAUCAUAUGCAUCAAACACCUCUAAAUGAUCCUAAUUAAUUAAAAUCACUGCUCAGUUAACCUGGAAACCAACCAACCAAUCAAACACCAUUAUGGCACUCGAGCAAAGAUUAAAGACAUGGAUCAGAGAUUGGAAAAGCUCGAACAGCACCAGAAAGAAAUGCAAGACCAACUCCAGUUACAAGUGCAGGAGCGGUUAGACAAGAUGCAACAGGAUAUGUCAGAGAAGAUACAGGAAUCCCAAAAUAAUAUGAUGGCAAAGUUAACCCAACUGUUGAAUGGAGGAGGUGAUAAGGGAAAGGGUCCCAUGGCUGAUGUCGAAGAGGGAAAAGAGGAUGAAUCACUCUAUCCUCCAGGCUUUACUCCUUCACAUGUGCGAAGUCAAGCUGAAUAUCUGCACAAAUCUACUGUCACAAUCAGGCCUCAGCAGUUUCGGGCUAGUGUUUCAAACUUCUAAGCUGGAUCGGGUUUUAAUCCCGGAAAUAACCCUAUUAACUCUGCCAUUCCUGACUUUGAUGAAGUGGCUAAAAAAGAAAGAAUAAAGGAAGAGUUACCAAAGCAGUUAGAAGAAAGGUGCAAAUGGCUCGAGGAGAAAUUAAAGGUGAUGGAGGUCACUGAAAGUUAUCGAGGAAUUGAUGCUAAAUAGCUGAGUUUAGUUCCGAAUUUGGUACUCCCUCAGGGUUUUUUACCCAAAUAGGAUAGAAAAAAAAUACUGAAAUGGGAUGUCAGAAAAAAAAUUUACCAANNNNNNNNNNNNNNNNNNNNNNNNNNNNNNNNNNNNNNNNNNNNNNNNNNNNNNNNNNNNNNNNNNNNNNNNNNNNNNNNNNNNNNNNNNNNNNNNNNNNUAUUGUAAUAUUGUAAUUUUGUAUGAAUAUUAUAAUUUUUUAUGAAUAUUGUAAUGUUGUAUGAAUAUUGUAAUAUUAUAAUUUUGUAUGAAUAUUGCAAUUUUUUUGUAUGAAUAUUGUAAUAUUGUAAUUUUGUAUGAAUAUUAUAAUGUGGGGAUAUAUUGUAAUAUUGUAAUUUUUUGUAUGAAUAUUGUAAUUAUUUUAUAAUUAAUUUGUUAGUAAUUUGGGAAAAAUUCACAAUAUUUUGUUCACCAUUGGCGCCUCCCAAAUAGGCACCACCAUUGGCGCCUCCCAAAUAGGCACCACCAUUGGCGCCUUCCAGAUAGGCGCCAAUACUAUGUAUUAUACGGGUUAUAUACUAACCCGGAAAAGUAUAAAUUAUAUUUUAAUCAAAAAAAUUAUUAUUAUUAUUUUAUUCAUUGGCGCCUACCAAAUAGGCUCCAAUGAAAAAGUAACCUAUUUUGGUAAAAAAAUUUUCUGACAUACUAUUUCACUAAAUUUUUUUUUCUAUCCUAAUUAGGUAAAAAACCCAACUCCCUCAUAAGUUUAAGAUGCCAGAAUUCGAGAAGUACAAUGGGACGACUUGCCCAGAGGCUCAUAUCACCAUGUUCUGCAGGCGAAUGGCUGGAUACAUUAACAAUGACCAGCUAUUAAUACACUGUUUCCAAGAUAGCCUAGCAGGGGCAGCAUCUAAGUGGUACAAUCAGCUGAGCCGUACCACAAUUGGUUCAUGAAGGGACUUGGCACAAGCAUUCAUGAAACAGUAUAGUCAUGUGACAGACAUAGCUCCUGAUAGAAUUACCCUUCAAAACAUGGAGAAGAAGUCGAGCGAAAGCUUUAGGCAGUACACACAAAGUUGGAGGGAAGUCGUAGUCCAAGUUCAACCACCGCUCUUAGAGAAAGAAAUGACGAUGCUUUUUAUAAAUACAUUGAAAGCCCCGUUCAUCACACAUAUGUUAGGAAGUGCCACAAAAAGCUUUUCUGACAUAGUCAUGAAUGGUGAAAUGAUUGAAAGCGUCAUAAGGAGCGGGAAAAUUGAUGCAGAGGAGAGUAACAAGAGGUCAAUCUCAAGGAAAGAGAAAAUGAGGUGAACAACACGAGUUACUCUAAACCAGUUAUUGUGAGUCAGCCAAGAAAGGUGGCUACUAACCAACAAAGUUUAUUAAGACAAUAAUCUAGAGUGAAACCAGGUACUGAGAAGCUCCAAUUCACACCAAUUCCGAUGUCAUAUAAGGAUCUGUAUCAAAGCUUGUUUGAUGCGCAUGUUGUUGCUCCUCAUUACUUAAAACCUCCACAACCUCCGUAUCCUAAGUGGUAUGAUGCGAACGCGCAAUGUGACUACCACGCGAGAAUUAUGGGGAACUCAAUAGAGAAUUGCAUUACCUUCAAAAAGCUAGUUGAAAAAUUCAUCAACAUGGGUAUUGUCAAGUUGGGUGACUCAUCAACUGCAGAAAAUCCUUUACCCAAUCAUGAUUGAGGAUGGAGGGACUGCAAUGUAUGAAGAGGUGGUGAGGUUUUCAUAUCGAUGCCAUAUAUGCAGCCACAAAUAAAAAGGUCCUUGUUAGAUAUUCGCCUGGGAGGUGUUAUAAGUAAUGGGACUGCAGAGGAAACCCCUAUAUUAUUUAGAGUUUGUUAGAGUAAUGUUCAGAACACACUUGUUGCUUUUAGCCUAGAAGCAAUAAGAACUUCUUUGUGAAAUAGGCUCAUGUCUGAACAUUAUUAUUUUAAUAAAAUACAUCAGUGCAAUCAUCUUUGAGCAAAUGUUCUUUCAUUCUUUACGAUUCUUUCAUUCUUUUGGAUUUUCUGCCAAACUAUUCUUUCAUUCAUUCAUAAUCAUAUUAUCUAUAAAUCCAUACAUUCUUUGUGUAUUCUUUAACACCUACAAUAGGUCCCUGGAUAUCAAUGACAUGAGUGACGCUGCUACAGACUCAAAAUCUCCUUUUUGAGUGAGCCAUGUGUUUAGAGAGAUCUCACAACUUUGAAGAGGACAUGGAUUGUAGCUUAUCUCCAGACUUGAUGAGGAUGGUAAAAUAAGAGGAUAGACAAAUCCAACCUCACAAAGAAUCAUUAAAAGUUGUGAGCUUGGUAUAGAUUGGAAUUGACAUGACCGAAAAAACAAAGCAAUACGUUGUUGGGUUACUUCAAGCAUUCAAAGAUGCCUUCGCAUGGUCAUACUAGGAUGUGCCCGGUUUAAGUGUUGUCACUGCAAUCUAAACAACAGCACGAUACCAAAAUUUUACAGUAUGGUCAAGGUGAAUAUCAUGAAUGGUGCAAUGAAAACUCUACCAGGGCAAUGCCACUUUUUUCAGUUUAUCACAUUUUUUUCAUUGAAGUUGAAAUUCUUUCUCUUCGAGUUUUGGCUAAGCUGAAGUAGGAUGAAGAUCCAAUCCCGAUACAAUUAGUUGAACCUAGUUGAAGAAAAAGGCUAGAAACUAUUCAUCAGGGGCAGAUGUACCAAGAAAUGAAUGAUGCGAGCCUAUAGCAAAAGGUUUGUCCCAGAGAAUUCCACGAUGGCGACCUAAUGCUGAAGAAGAUCCUCACUCUACAAAAAAUAUAACGGAUGCCAAAUUGGGAAGAACCUUAUGUUAUAGAGAAGGUCAUUUCCAGAGGAGCUUUGAUUUUGAGGGAGAUGGAUGAUAAACCUGCAAAGUCCUGUAAACUCAGGUUCAGUCAGGAAAUACUCAGCUUAAAGAAUGAGAUGACCAAGGUAAAAACCCGUAAAUGGCACUUUGAGUUGUAAAAAAUGACGAGAUGGAAAAUGAAAAAGUGAAAAUGAAAUUUGAAAAUGGAAAAGUAAAAUGGAGAGGCUAAGGUGAAAAUCCGCAAAGGGCGCCUUAGACCAAAGGGGAUUUGAGUUGAAAACCCGAAAAGGGCGGCUCAAAUAUUGAUCAGAAUGUGGCAUGAGAUUAUCAGAGUAGCUCAAAUACUAAUCAGCAUGGGGCAUGCAGUGGUCUUGCUAUACCUGAAUCAGCAGGAAAGGGUAGGCGACAUCUUGGGGCAUCAACAAAGUACUGUAGAUCUCCUAAACACAUGUUAAACUCAGAAUGGUCUUCAGAAAGUUUGUACAGAGAAGUUCAAGCUGAGAUAUCUGGGGCGCCUAAUCCUUAUACUCUUUCUUGUUAUUCUUGGAACACUUCAUUCAUUUCCAAGAUAUGCAUUCCUAAAUCAAUUUCUUUAUUAUCCAUCUUUACUAUCUUUGAUAUUUUAUUCAUUUCGAGCUAUGCUCAGAACCAACUUUCUUCUUAUCCAUGAUCUUUUUGCAAGUAUGUUGCAUUAGAAUAAUGAUUAAUAGACUAAUAAAAUUUUCACAAGGGAAGUUAUGCUUAUUACUCUAGAAUUUUUUAAAUAAUAUAGGAACCUCAAACAGGACUAUUGUUUAGAACGCACCAGGUUGGAAAUCCGAUAAAGAAGAGUCUAAAUUAAGACUAUCCCUUUGAAUUUUCUUGUCUAAAGUAUUAAUUAAACAAAAUGGCAAGAUGUCGUGUUGGUGUCAAAGCUUCAAUGAACAAGCAAGCAAUGAUCACCGAAUAAUAAGAAGAAGUUGUUCUUGGACAAGAUUUAUUCAUUUGUGUAUGAGCAUUUCGUACAACACCUUGGGAAUGGUGUAAGAGACCAAAAAGUUUCACAUCCUGUAUCCUUGAAUUGUGAUAACAAAGGAUUGAGAAAAGGCCAAAUCUUUUACUCUUGGGUUACAACGGGAAAAGAUGAUACAAAUUUUGCAUCCCAGUGGAUCAAACUUGGAGGUUUACAGUGGGGGCAAUCUGGUCAAGUGCUUAUUGGGAUCGCCAGUUGAGCAUAAAGGCGCUAUAGUACAUUAAGUGAUAAGACCUUAAUAAACUUGGAGUAAUGAUAACUCAGGCGUUAAAAUAUCAUUUUCAUGACAUUCUACAUUCAUUCAAAUGUCAUUCAUACAUGUCUAGUUAGGAGCAUUUGAUUCAUUUUGAUCAUGCCAUCCUAAUCAUUAGGCAUAAUUAGGUUCAUUAUACAGGUUCUGUUCUCCAGAGAACAGAUCAGCGAAAAUAGCAGAUCUUGCCUUCCUGCAUUGACAGCGAAGCAGAUCGAAGAUACCAGCCUUGCCUCCCUCGAUUGCAGUGGAGCAGGUUGAUGGUGGAUUUUACCUCCCUGAGGUUACAGUGGAGUACAUUGAAACCAGUAAUUCUAUCUCCCUGGGCAAUAGUGGAAUAGAUCAAAGAUUACAGGUCUUAUCUCCCUAAGCAGUAGUGGAGCAGAUCAAAGAUGGUGGAUUUUACCUCCCUGAGGUUACAAUGGAGUACAUUGAAACCAGUAAUUCUAUCUCCCUGGGCAGCAGUGGAAUAGAUCGAAGAUUACAGGUCUUAUCUCCCUAAGCAGUAGUGGAGCAGAUCAAAGAUGGUGGAUUUUACCUCCCUGAGGUUAUAGUGGAGUACAUUGAAACCAGUAAUUCUAUCUCUCUGGGCAACAGUGGAAUAGAUUGAAGAUUACAGAUCUUAUCUCCCUAAGCAAUAGUGGAGCAGAUCAAAGCUGGCAAAAUCUACCUCCCUGAGGUUGCAGUGGAGUAUAUUGAAGCCAGUAAUUCUAUCUCCCUGGUCGGCGGUGGAAUCAAUUGAAGAAAUCAGAUCUUGUCUUCAUGUAUUGGCGUGAAGUAGAUCAAAGAUAGCAGAUCUUGUCUCCCCAUACUAGUGGCAAAGUAGAUCGAAGAAAGUAGAUCUUGUCUUCAUGUAUUACCGUGAAGUAGAUCGAAGAUAGCAGAUCUUAUCUUCCUAUACUGGUGGCGAAGUAGAUCGAAGAAAGCAGAUCUUGUCUUCAUGCACUGGCGUGAAGUAGAUCAAAGAUAGCAGAUUUUGUCUUCCCAUACUGGUGGCGAAGUAGAUUGAAGAAAGCAGAUCUUGUCUUCAUGUAUUGGCGUGAAGUAGAUCAAAGAAAGCAGAUCUUGUCUUCAUGUACUAGCGUGAAGUAGAUCAAAGAAAGCAGAUCUUGUCUUCAUGUACUGGCGUGAAGUAGAUCAAAGAUAGCAGAUCUUGUCUUCCCAUACUGGUGGCGAAGUAGAUCGAAGAAAGCAGAUCUUGUCUUCAUGUACUGGCGUGAAGUAGAUCAAAGAUAGCAGAUCUUGUCUUCCCAUACUAGUGGCGAAGUAGAUUGAAGAAAGCAGAUCUUGUCUUCAUGUAUUGGCGUGAAGUAGAUCAAAGAUAGCAGAUCUUGUCUUCCCAUACUGGUGGCGAAGUAGAUCGAAGAAAGCAGAUCUUGUCUUCCCAUACUGGUGGCGAAGUAGAUCGAAGAUACAAGUCUUAUCUCCCUGAAGUUGCAGUGGAGUAGACAGAAGAAAAUAAUCCUAUCUCCCUGAAGUUGCAGUGGAGCGGAUUAAAACCAUAGAUCUUAUCUCCCUGAAGUUACAGUGGAGUAGACAGAAGAAAAUAAUCCUAUCUCCCUGAAGUUGCAGUGGAGCAGAUUAAAACCAUAGAUCUUAUCUCCCUGAGUUGCAGUGGAGUAGACAGAAGAAAAUAAUCCUAUCUCCCUGAAGUUGCAGUGGAACAGAUUAAAACCACAGAUCUUAUCUCUCUGAAGUUGCAGUAGAGCAGAUCGCAUCAGAUUUAUCUUUAAGUUGUAGCAGAACAAGUUGAAGCUCUAAGUCUUAUCUCCCUGAAGUUGUAGUGGAGCAGAUUAAAGAUAGCAAAUUUUGUUCUUUUGAGAAGCUACAACGUAUGAAUUCUAUCUCCCCGAUAUUGCAGUAGAGUAGAUUGAAGCACCAGUUCCUAUACCUCUGAAGAUGCAGCAGGAAGGAUUGAGGCUACUUGAAAAAGAAAAGCACCGAAGAAGCCGAGGCUUAGUAAGACUGGGUACAAUUGGGCUUUUCAGUCUUUGCUCUGUUCUCGUUACACGACAACAAGCAAAAAGGGGCAACUGUAAUAAGCCAAAUUUACCCGGGCCCUUACAAAACAAAAAAUAAGCAGUCCAAGUUUUUACAGGCCCAAACCCCAACAGCCCACUAACUAAAUUCCAACAGCAACCCUAGCAGCAUACAACCUUCAACCCUACCCGCCGCACAUCAGCCCCGCACCACCACCCUUUGCGCACGUACGUGUCCCACGUACAUCUCCAGUUGGCCGAAUCUGCGCAGCAAACGGCAAAACAGACGCAAAGAACAAGUAAACGGAAGAGAAAAACACAAAAAAAAAGAGAGAAUAACAAAAAUACAACUGUGUUGUGUUAUUUCUUUGAUUUUUCUUCAUCUUUCGACUAUAAAAAGUCGAGGAAAAUUUGUAAAAAGGAGGGGGAUUUCACGAAUCAAAUAAAAAACAGAAAAGAAAUUGAUAUCAAGAAGAGAUUUUAGAUUGAAGGUAGAUAUUUGUUUUUUUUUUCUCUUUUUUUGUUUUGACUUUUUUUAAAAAAAAUAGUAAGUAAUAAGAAAAAGAAAGGAAAGGGCUUACCGGAGGUCCGUGGUCUUCUCAUUGGCCAAAGAUCGCCGUCCUUGGCGGAGCAGUGGCGAAGGAGCGGCAGCACGACGACAUAAAGAUGCUAGGGUCAAAACCCUAGCAGAGCAAAAGGGGGCAACAGUUUUUUUUUUUUGUUGUUUUAGAAAGUGGGCUGUCAAAUGAUUUUUAAAACAGAAAAUUUUGUUUAAAUAAUAAGGCAAUACGGCGCCAUUUCAUUAGGCCCCCUGGACGCCCAAAACGGCGUCGUUUUGGGGGCCAACCCGUGCACCGACCCGAUCUGGUCCCAAAUCCGCGUGUUUUGUAGCAUGGGGGAAUUUGCGCAAUUGGUCCCCCUAUUUUUGCAGUGUGUUUAAAUUAAAUUUCUGAUUUCUUUUAAAUUUCACUGCACAUUCUAUUUUUACUUUAAAUCAGUCCCUAUUACUGUGCAGCGUUUUAGGGAGGCGGAUUAUUUCUCUUUUGGUCCUCCACCCUUGCGCGCGCAUUCAAUGUGAUCCUGUUUUCAAAUUUACUUCGAAUUUAGUUUUUUUUAAGUUCAAUUUAACCCUUUUAUUAACUAUUUUAUUCAUUUUUUUUAUAAUUAUGUUAUAUUAUUAUUAUUAUUAUUAUUAUUAUUAUUAUUAUUAUUAUCAUCAUCAUCAUUAUUAUUAUUAUUCCUACUAUAUAUAUAUACGCAUGUUUUAAAAUAAUACAUAUACAUACAUUUUUUUUAAAAAGCUUUUAAUACAUACAUAUAUUUUUGCAUAUACAAACAUUUUUUUUUACUUUUGUAAAUAUGAAUAUACGUAUUUUUUAUAUUAUCCUUCAUAGAUUUUUUUACAAACGUAUGUAUAUAUGUAUACCUACAUAUUUUAAUACAUAUUUUAAUACAUUCAUUUUCUAUAGUAUAAAUAUAUAUGUUUUUUGUUUUAAAUUAUUAUAAACAUUUUAUUAUUUUAUAUAUGCUCCAUUAUUUUAUAUACAUAUUGCACAUAUUUUUUUUAUAUUUUUACUUUAUUUACACAAUUCUCAUAUACAUAUAUACAUGCAUUUUUAGAAAUUAUUAUAAGUUUUUAUGUAUUUCAUUCCCUUUUUAUAUGUAUACUUAUAUAUGUGUUUUAUAUAUGCAUUAACAUUUUAUCAUAUUUUUAAAGAAAAUAUAUUUUGGUUUCGUCAAAGCAUUAAAAUCGUUUUAUUUUUUUAAAAUUUUUUUUAAAUAUUUGGCAAUUAUGAUUCUCGAGAAAGAUCGUGUCCUAACUUACUGGAUUGCGAUUAUUUUUUUUGAUGAAUUUAGAAAACCAAGUAUUUAUUUUGCAAUAAAUUCAUGAAAUUUUCAAAUAAAAGCUUAUUCUCAAGAAUCUAAAAAUGUCGGGUCCUAACUUACUGGUCAUGACAUUUUGGCAUCUCGAAAUAAGAAUUUUCAAAAGCAAAAGGCAAUAUUCUGGUAUUUUGAAGAUUUAAAAAUAUUGUGCCCUAACUCACUGGGUGUGGUGUUUUAUUUCUUUGAAAUAAGAAUGUCUUAUUAUUUUGAUUCAUUCAUGAGAUAAAAAGUUUCCUUUUAAAAUCUUUUCAAUUUUUCAACACCAAGACAUUAACGAAUCAAUUUGGUACCGAUUUUGGGGCGUUACGAGGGUGCUAAUCCUUCCUCGUGCGUAACUGACUCCCGGACUCAUUUUCUCAAAUUUUGUAGACCAAAAUCAUUUUAAGGUGAGCCGAUCACACCUUAAUAAAGGAUCGGUGGUGACUCCAAUUUUUGUUUUUUUUUAAGUCGACAACUAAAAUUUUUGUUUACAAAAAAUGGUUUCGACAGAGCUACAAGGAUGGAUAGCUGCUAUGCGGGAGUACGUACCGUGGACUGUGAUUGAGUUAUAGACAAAACCUUAUUACGGCCUGGACGACCAGUUACAGCCAGGAAAAAGGAUUUUCCAUCGGAUGUUCUGGACGUUUGAUCCAUCUAGAGCCAAACACAUAUUUUCGACAAUGGUUGGGUACAAUAGAGCCGUGGCAAUGUGCUCAAAGUUUUGACGAGGGCUUUCGUUAUGGACAAAUGACCACAAACUUAAUGGAGGGGGUAAAUGCUGUAUUGUUGAAAACAUGUUAUCUUCCAAUUGCAUCUGUCUUCUCUACUACAUUCUACAGGUUGGCUACCUUGAUACCAAGAAUGAGUCAGCAACAAGUCGACCAGAUGGAGGCGGGACACGUGUUUGUCGAAGAUGUCAGGGAUGUAAUCAAACCGUCGGAUGGCGAUGUCCAUGAAUGUAGAAAUAUAUUCACGACGUCUGGAAACAUUUUGAGUUACUGAGACCAUCGGUCGUCGACCUAGUAUACCACCUACGUCUUAUGGAGUUGAUCUCCGAAAUAGACGGUACGAGUGUAGGAGGUUCAAAACACUUCAUUAACUAUGUGCGCAUGUCGUGGCAGCGUGUGCUAAAGUGAACCUUAAUGUUGAACAAUAUGUCGAUGAUGUGUACACGCUCGAGCGCACAUUGCGUAUCUGGGAAAAUGAGUUCCCUAUCCUACCUGACCUGUCUACGUGAGAUGUGCCUCCGAAGACUUUUGAGCUUUUCCCAGACAAAGGGCUACGCAAUAAUUCAAGAGGUCGUCAGCAAUCAACUAGAAUCCGUAAUGAAAUGGACAUUAGGGAGAAAUUCGACGGUAAGUAUUGUGGAUUAUGCAGGUUAAGUGGUCAUAGUCGGAAUAAAUGCCCUCAGCGAAACUAUCAUGUCUGACAGUCAUCAGGAUCGGGUCGAAAUUGACCUAAUGCUGUCAAAUUGUUAUGUGUAAUGUUGUAAAAAGUAUAAUUCAUUUGGAAUAAUUAAAAUUAUUCAGCUUAUGCUUAUGCUUAAAUUGCAUCCAAAUUAAGGUAUUAAAAACAUGAUUCAUUUGGAAUAAUUAAAAUUAUUCUGCUUAUGCUUAUGCUUAAAUUGUAUCCAAAUUAAGGUAUUAAAAACAUGAUUCAUUUGGAAUAAUUAAAAUUAUUCAGCUUAUGCUUAUGCUUAAAUUGUAUCCAAAUUAAGGUAUUAAAAACAUGAUUCAUUUGGAAUAAUUAAAAUUAUUCUGCUUAUGCUUAUGCUUAAAUUGUAUCCAAAUUAAGGUAUUAAAAACAUGAUUCAUUUGGAAUAAUUAAAAUUAUUCAGCUUAUGCUUAUGCUUAAGUUGUAUCCAAAUUAAGGUAUUAAAAACAUGAUUCAUUUGGAAUAAUUAAAAUUGUAUCCAAUUUAAGUUAUAAAAGGUGCAACAAAUUAAGUAAUUAAAUUUAUACAAUAAGUACAAACUUUGUAAUGUACAAAAAUAUGCAAUAAACCCCUAAAAAUGAUGGUUCGAUGGUGUGGUCCUAGGGGUAUACCUAUGCGGAGGUCGACGGUCACGUUCUGGGUGUUGGCGACGACCAACUUCCUUAUUUGGCGCAGGUGGGGGUGUGGUAAACAUAGAGGAAAAAAUCAUGUGACUCAAUCGGCAUCAUGAACUUGAACCUGAAGGGGUCCCAUGAUGCUGUAGGUACGAGCCGAGAGUGUCGUACUGCGGCGGGUAUGAUCCAAAGAGAUCAAACUCGUUUGCGUAUUCGCCCGCUGAGAAGCUUGGAAUAUAGUCAUCGCCUGCCAAAUCCGAAUGAUAGGAUUAUGAAUCCCAUGUGAAUGUAACUGCUUAGGAUCUAGCUCAGGCUCCGGGUCGGGUUUCGGCUUGGGCUCUGGUUCGGGAUCAUGAUCUGUUGCAGGCUCUACCUCUAUCGGGGUCGCUGGGUACAAUCCCCCAGAUAGCUGCAUGUGCGGGGGGAAUACAGUCGACUGGCCUCCAAGUAUAUAUGGUUUUCCGCAACUAUAGUACCAUUGUAUGUACUCUAAUGAUGGUUGCAAUGAUUAUGUCAUAACCAUCUGAGGUUUGCGACCCAUCUGAUCGUUCCAUAGCGUAACAAAUUUUCGAUGCUUAACCCGCUAAUCCAACUACAGUUUUCCCCUCCUAUUCAUGCCGUGAACCGCCCCCACUUCGCGUGGUGGAUCCGGGAUAUAUUGGAUGUAACCAAACUGUCUGCACCCGAUCCCCGUGAUACCACUCGACUACAUUGAAAUUUAUAAUUGGUGCGUUAGUGCACCACAUUUCAAAAUGAACAUAUGCAGACGAAGGUAUCACAGCUAUAAUUUUCAGGCGACGAUAUGGCAUCCAUAUAAACUGCAUGAUUAAUAACAUGGUUAUAAUUUAACACGGUGUGAGUAAGAUAUAGAAAGUAAAUGAACUAAUAUUAGAAUAGCUUACCCCUUAUCCGGCAUGUUGUUCGAUCAUGAGUCAGUAUAUUGGGACAGUGUACGACCUCUCGAUACCCGGAUAAAUACUCCACCUACAAAAAGAAAUAUAGGGUUUAUGGUUGGUAACAUCAGUCAAUAUACUAUGACUACAAAUAAUGACAAGUUAUAUUUUAUCACCUGUUCACUAGUGGAUAAACAUACGGUUGGUGAGUAGCCGAUGCCAAAAAUAACAUCCGAUAGAGCGCCCAGGACUACAGCAAUGUAAGGCAUCUGCCCAUGUCUACAACAGAAGGUUUUGUCGUCCGAUAAAGCUCCCGAUAUAACACUGCUAGAAUGGCGAAGCCCCAGCUAUAGGAGCGGACAUUGGACAAAUCAGCUAAUAGGGGCAAGUACAUCAUAUGCACAUUGUUGUUGUUUGCAACGGGCACCAGUACUCUCCCUAGGAUAUGUAUGAUGUACGCUUGAGCAGCGCACAUCAAUUCACCUUCAGUGGCAUUUGCUGAUAACUGUCCAAAUUUGGCUUUCAGCCAUGUAAAUUUCAAGCUCGUAAAAUUUUUCUCAUCGUCAUUUGGCGAGUCUUCUAGUAGCUGAUUACAUAGUGCAGCCGGAUCAGUAAAUGAACUUACUCCCGUUAUAGGACUUGCGUCGAUUGGGAGCUCAAGCUACAGGGCAACAUCCUUUAAAGUCACCAUGCACUCCCCACACGAAAAAUGAAAAGUGUGGGUCUCUGGGCGCCACCGCUUCACUAGCGCAGAUAAUAAAUCAUACCGCAAGUCGAACGUCUGGAUCAAUACUGCUGACCCAAAUCUGACUUGCUCCAAGUAUGGCAUCAAUCGUGAAUUCGGGGGAUGCUUUAAACCAUUCACCCGGCCCCUUAUUACUCAGUACGAGUCCUGAUAGUGUUAAAUUACAGAAAAAAAUUAGGAUAACAUGAUUUAUUUCUAUAUAUUACGUAUAUCCUUUUUUAAUAGAACCCGUGAUUAACAAAUAAUAAUAUAUUACCAUCUCAUUAGCCGCAUCAGAUAUGUGUGUAUCCCUACUAAUCAAUGAAGCCAUUGCGAUGCCUGCAACUUCAAAAAAAAUUUAGUAAAAAACUCUUAUUUCGGCCCUGUGUUCGUAUUUUUUUCUGAAUUUUAUUACUUUAAAAAUUAUCAUAUUUUCUAAUUUUAUUAUUUUACAUUAUUUUAGUACAUUAUGUUUGAAAUUUAAAUAAAUUUAGUGUGUUUUUUAAAUAAAUUUAAAAAAAACCCUUAUUUGGUCAUUUGCUCGUAUUUUUUUCUCGAAUUUUUUUACUUUCAAUAAAAAUAUAUUAUUUUGGUAUUUUAUUAUUUAACUUUAUCUUAGUACAGUAUGUUUUAAAUGUAUUAAUUAAUUCUGUUUUUUUUAAAUUUAGUAAAAAAACCCUUAUUUCGGCCCUUUCUUAGUAUUUUUUACUUUAAAAAAAAUCAUAUUUUCUAAUUUUAUUAUUUUACAUUAUUUUAGUACAUUAUGCUUGAAAUUUAAAUAAAUUUAGUGUGUUUUUUAAAUAAAUUAAAAAAACCCUUAUUUCGGCCCUUUGCUUGUAUUUUUUCCCGAUUUUUAUUACUUUCAAUAAAAAUAUAUUAUUUUUGUAUUUUAUUAUUUUACUUUAUCUUAGUACAUUAUGCUUGAAAUGUAUUAAUUAUUUCUGUUUUUUUUUAAUUUAGUAAAAAACCCUUAUUUCGGCCCUUAGUUCGUAUUUUUUUCCCAAAUUUUAUUACUUUAAAAAAUAUCAUAUUUUGUAAUUUUAUUAUUUUACAUUAUUUUAGUACAUUAUGUUUGAAAUUUAAAUAAAUUUAGUGUGUUUUUAAAAUAAAUUUAAAAAAACCCUUAUUUCGGCCCUUUACUCGUAUUUUUUCCAAUUUUUAUUACUUGCAAUAAAAAUAUAUUAUUUUCGUAUUUUAUUUUUUACAUUAUUUUAGUACAUCAUGUUUGAAAUGUAUUAAUUUUUUCUUUUUUUAAAUUUAGUAAAAAACUCUUACUUCAGCCCUUUGUUCGUAUUUUUUUUCUCUGCAUUUUAUUACUUUAAAAAAUAUAAUGUUUUCUAAUUUUAUUAUUUUACAUUAUUUUAUUUCAUUAUGUUUGAAAUUUAUUAAUUUAGUGUGUUUUUUAAAUAUACAAUUUUUUGAAUUUUAUUACUUUCAGUGAAUAUACAAUUUCCUUUUUUUUCUUUUCGUAUUUUAUGUUUUCUUAAACAUGUUUUUUUAUAAUUUUUUUAAUGUUAGUUUCCUAAAAAAAUAAUUACAACAUCCUAAAUUAAUUUCAUAAAAAAAAUUUUAAUCAACAUAGAAUGUACAUAACAUGAAUUUUUUCAUGCUAAAUAAAUUUCAUAAAAUAUAUAUACUAAAUAAAAUAAUAAAACACAUACAAUAUACAUAACAUAAAUUUUUUACACAAAUAUUACAAAAAAAAUUAAAUUAAUACAAAAAAAUUACCUUUACUUCUUUUUUUCCUUUCUUUUUCCUUCCUUCCCUUUUCUUCUUCUCCUUUUUUUUUCUCUUUCUUCUCCUUCCUUUUCUUUCUUUCUUUCCUCUCCUUUCCUUCUCCUUUUCUUCUCCACCCACCGGGCUGAAUGGUCCCCCCAUUAUAAGGGAAGUGGUGCCGCCUGUGGUAGUGGCACCAUCGGUGCCGCCUCUGCCAUUGGCACCAAUGGUGCCGCCUAUGGCAGCCCCUUCACCAGGGUGCUAUCACAUCCCUGUAGCUUUUUUUUAAAACUUUUUUUUGUAUUAUUUUGAUAAAUAAAAAAAGUUAAUAUUAUUUUAAUAUUUUUUUAUUUUAUUUUUAAUAUUUUAGUAAAAUACCCCAUGUUGCUUAUCCAACCUACUCUGACGUAUGACGCACCCAUUGCGUCACUGCAAACGCAAUUUUGGUCCUUCUACAUGCUAUAAUAAAGGGGGCAAUGGUUCUGGUUUAGACAAGAAAACUGAAUGCGUUGAUGAAGCUUCUAAUUCUUGCUCCAUGUUGUUUGUUCUUCAUAGCUUUAAUAAAAUUACUUUAUGAUUACCUAUGGAUACCUCUCCGUAUUCAGCAUAUGCUGAAUUCACAGGGGAUCAAAGGACCUCCUUACAGAUUCAUCCAUGGCAACAACAAGGAAGUUACCAAAAUGAAACAAAAAGCUUUAAGUAAAUCUGUGGGCUUGACGGAUGAUUUAUUUCCCAAAGUACAGCCACAUGUUUACACCUGGACCAACAGAUAUGGUAAGAUCCAUGCUUGUUUUUUUCACUAUGAUUUAUAACUUGUAGUUCUAAGAAAAGGUAGACCCUUUUUCUUUUCACGUUAUUAGGGAAGAAUUUUGUUUAUUGGAACGGUGCUCGAGCUGAAUUGGUGAUUUCAGAGCCUGAAUUAAUCAAAGAGGUUCUGAAAAAUAGUGAACAAAUUUUUCAGAAAAAGGAACUUUCAGAUAUUGGUAGAAAGUUCUUGGGGAAUGGUCUUAUAUUCAUUGAGGGGGAAAAAUGGGCAAAGCAUCGAAAGCUGGCCAAUCACACUUUCCAUGGGGAAAGUCUAAAGGUAAGGCUUCCAAAUAUAUAAACCAGGUGUAAUUAAUUUACAAGAAUUAUACAUAGACUACAAUAUUUUGGUAAAAUUUUGUAUUGUUAGCUAAAGAUAAGUUUAUUAUGGACGUUGAAAAAGUGUAGUAAAAACAUACUUUCGAAAAUUUUAACACCAUUUACUACUUAGGAGGUCAAUUUUAAACUUGAUGCUGCAAAAUAAAAGAUUGAAUCAGAGAUUUAAAAAAAGUAAUUUCAUUAAAAAGCACUCUUUUAGCUUUUAGACUUGGAUUAAAAUCUAGUUUGAAAUAAGAUUUAAUUUGAAAAGGUGUUUAUUUGUCAAAUUUUUUAAUUUGAAAUCAUGAUUUUGUGUUGAAAAGUGUUUUCCAGACUCCAAUUAUAUAUGUCACUACUACUUACAUAUUGGAGGAUUGUUUGGGCAGAACAUGACUCCAGCAAUAAUUGCUAGUGUUGAAACAAUGCUAGAAAAGUGGAAAGGCCAAGAAGGCAAAGAGAUUGAAGUGUACCAAGAAUUUAGGUUAUUAACUUCAGAAGUGAUUUCCAGAACAGCAUUUGGUAGCAAUUACAUGGAAGGGGAGAAGAUAUUUGCCAUCUUGAGAAAGUUGACAGUAAUUAUGAGUCGAAAUCUUUCCAAGACUAGAAUUCCUUUGAUCAGGUAUCUUCCCUCUAAGCUUAAUUAAUCCCAACUUUUUCCUUGAUUUCAUGUAGCUUUUGAAUGCAACUUUUAGACUUUCAUUCCCCAUGGAUUUGGUUUUCUCAUAUAUAGCUGACCCUGGUUUGCUUUUGCAGCAAGUUGUGGAAAUCUGCUGAUUUGCUAGAGUCUGAAAAACUUUCAAAAGAAAUAAAAGAUCGUGUGAUGAAGAUUGUUAAGAAAAGAGAAGACAAAGUUGUGAAUGGAGAAGUCAAUAGCUUCCGCAGUGAUUUUCUUGGAUUACUUCUAAAUGCCUAUCAUGAUUCGGAUGCGAAAAACAGGCUUUCAUUGGAAGACGUGGUAGCUGAAUGCAAAACAUUCUAUUUUGCUGGACAAGAAACUGUUAAUUCCUUACUUGCAUGGAUAGUCUUGCAUUUGGCAAUCCAUGGAGAUUGGCAAGAAAAAGCGAGAAGAGAGGUGGUUGACAUAUUUGGUAACCAAAAUCCACAUCUCGAAGGCAUCGCCAAACUCAAAAUAGUAAGAAAACUAUCUAACUGGGAAUUCAAAUAGCCAUCGACAUGAUGUAAUCUGACAUAUUUUUCUAUUUUCCAAACAGAUGACUAUGAUCAUCAAUGAAACUCUAAGAUUGUAUGGUCCAACAAGUGUCCUCCAAAGAACAGGUACAAGAGAAAUUCAGUUGGGAAAGCUACUCUUGCCCGCUAAUAUAGAUAUUCUGCCUUUAAAUAUUGGACUUCACCGGGACCCUCACUUUUGGGGAAAUGAUGUGCAUCAUUUUAAACCUGAGAGAUUCGCUGAAGGGAUUGCCAAAGCUACCAAUUACACCGCGGCUGCCUUUUUCCCCUUCGGAUUAGGACCUCGAUCUUGUGUUGGUAUGACAUUUGCAAUGAUAGAAACCAAGAUUGCUCUCUCCAUGGUUCUACAACGCUACACCAUUACCCUUUCCCCUGCCUAUGUCCACUCUCCAAUACUUAUUCUUACCCUUCAACCCCAAAAUGGAAUUCAAGUAAUACUUGAGCCGAUACAUAGUAAUGCAUGAAGUACAUAGCCGUUAAGAACUAGAGGUUUAACAUGGUUCGUGAAUUCUACUUUUAAGAGAUGAUAUUUAAUAUGUUUAAAGGUUCUAGCAUUUAUCACAAAGACAAACGACUUGUGAUAAUGUUUACUUUUCAUCUAUCAUGCAAUGUCGAUGAGAAGAUACCAUUUACCAAUUAGUUGGGUUAUGAAUUCCACUAUUUUGAAUGAUGUUACAUACUAUAGAAGUUGUGUAUCCAGUGCACCAACUUUUGGUUCUUUAUCUUAGCCUUUUACUUGCAUCAAAGUAUACGAGCCAUGCAUGCAUAGUCCAUCAUCUACUCAAGAUUAAGGUAUAUCACACUAUGAACGUCACAAGUAAAUAGAUCCAUAAAUGGAUUUAGAAUCUAUUCUCCUUAGGUCUUAUCUAAUGUACUGUCAGUCUAAUCAAUCACAUCUAUGUUUUUAUCUUUUAAGAGUCAUCUGUUCCAUUCAAGACAAAGUUUCUCCACAAUUGGGCUUGAUAGAUGACAUAUUAGUUUCUCAAUCGAUUUGCUCAUUUUCAAUUAGACUAAGGACAUAUUAUGGUUUAUCUACUAAUACAAGCUAUUUUUUCAUAUCACGAUCUGACCACGUGAUACCGCUUAGUAUUAAUUUAAACAUUAGAUAACCAAUGAGUCAACAUUUGCUUCCAUUUUGCUUUGCAUGCAAAAACAUUGAGGACAAUAUCCAAAGGGUAUUAAUUUAAUUAAUAGAUAUUAUUAAACCAAUUUGUUUAAAAAAUAUAAUUAUAUAAAACGAACAUAGUACACUUAGUGUACCAGAUCCAACAGUGGUCACUACAGCUAGCAUUGCUAUAAGCAACAUAACUUGACAUUUUUGGAGUUGAAAUCUUUUCAGCAAAAUCAGUUGGGCAACGACUUAGAUGAUUUUGUGGACAUGUGUUGGCUUAUAUUUGAAGAUCCAUUUUGUGGAAUCAAUCUUUGAAGAUUAAAUCAAUUUGAAUCAAGCAAAUCGGAUCACUUAUUUUGUGGAGAUUGGCUUGACUUAUUUGAAAAUUUAUUUUCGAAAUCUUUGAUUUAUUCUUGACUUUGAGGAUAUUUGUAAAGGUUUUUUUUACAAGGCUAUUUUUUGUGGGAUAUUGAUUCUAAUUGAUCUUUUAUCUUUGCAAACAUUAAAUUCUUAUAUAUUAGAGGCUUGUGUAAGUUAAAAAAAGAUAGAGUUUUUAUAGCACUUAUUUUUUUCAUUGAGGAACUUGUAUUUGAUAGUGCAUUAAGAGUGUAAAAUAAGUUUGCUGCUUGGUUUUACAACCAAAAUUCUCAAGGGAAGAACUUAGUGGUGAGUGAUUUGGAUAUUUAGAUACAAAAGUGAGGUUGCUAUACCGAGUUGUGAUAGGACUUUAAUAACUUGUUGUCUUGGGAUUAAAAAUAAUGGAUUUACUCACUAAGUUAAGUUCCGUAGACAUAGAAAAAUCGAUAUGCAUAAACAAUCAUUUGUGUUCUAUUUUUUGUUGUUGUGUUCAUCAUAGUGGCAUCAAAGGUUGCCACUACAACCAUCACUUUGGUCAUCAAUUACGCACUUUAUUUUAGCAAUUAUCAACUUUAUGCGCCAAGAGAAUGCUUGUUUCUAGUACUAUUGGUCAAUUUUGUAGGAAGCAUAAUGACAAAAAAGAAAAUGAUUACAAUCAACCCCUUCUAACAACUCUAUUUGUAUCUUUGCAUAUUAUAAAAAGGUGGUUGUUAUAAAAAGAUAAUUAUUGUAAACCUAAAAUAGAAUUUAUAUUGUGAAUUACUAUCAAAUCAAGAAAGUGGAAAUUAUAUUAAAAAAAGGAAAGUAGAAAUCAAAUCAACAAAAUUAAAAUAUGCAUGCAUUAUUACCUUUAUAUUUUAUUUUACAUUUUUCACAUGAUUAAUUAUGAAAUUCAUCAAUCUAACAAAUAAUUAAUCGAUAUGAGUUUAAAUUAAAUUAAAUUAAUUAAUUUAUCAUAUGUUAUUAAAUUCAAGUAAUUAAUUUAUAAGAUUAUGAUGUUCUAAAUUCAUAGUAGAAUAUUUAAUUAGAGAACUUAAUAGUUUAUUGAAUUGAUAUCUUUAAUUCCACGAAGAUUUUUUCAUGUGAAAUUUAAACAUUUUAUUAAAAUAAUAUUUUAAUUAAGAUCAUUUUUAUUUAAUAAAUUAUAAUUAAUAGGCUUGUAUAUCGGUCCAGUGUAAUUAAUAGACUUGCUUAAAUGAGUUUUAAAAUAUAUUUUUAAAUUUGAAUCUGAAUUUAAAAUUCUAUUAUUUGUUUUCAGUUUUUUUGAAUAAUGAAUUGUUACCUGCUUAAUUUAUGAAAUAUCUUUAUUGACUUAUUUGAUUGAUAGUUUAUAUUUAUGUCCGUAUUUAGUAUUUUAAAAUUUUAUAUAUAUAAUAUUUUAAAAAAAUAAUAAUAAAUCUAAAAUCACACAUCGAAACAGCUGAAUUUUGGUACAUGCGAAUACCAAUAAAAAAAAUCAACAUCCACCGAUUUACCCAUUACUUUUUGGUAUUAGGUAGUGGGAGAAUUGGUUUUUGCUUUUGUUUUUGAGAUGUUGAUAUCUUUCACAUCAUCCAUAAGAUGGGCUCUACCUGACCUUUUGUUUGUCUGUUUCCCAUGCUUUCCCAUUUCUUCUACCAUAAAAAUCACUAAAAGAAUGGGCUAAAAUGUCAAAUAAAGGCUAUUUUACCAAAAAACACUUUUUUUUUAAUAUUUACUGAAAUGGGCCGAUUUUUUUAAUUAUUUACUGGAAUUGGUCAUUUUCCGCCAAAUCGCGUCCACGUCAGCGCGAUGUUAGGGUACGCGUCAGAAAAUCGCGUCCACGUCAACGCGAUUUGCUUACGUGGACACAAAUCGCGCCUACGAGGACGCGAUUUGCUGACGUGGCAUGAACAGUUUAUGUUUCUAAGCUUGGAAAACUUUGAAAGGCCAUAACUUUUGGCUCGAUUGUCCGAUUGAGACGAUUUUUUUAUUUCGAAUAACUUUUCGAGAUCUACGCGCUGACAAACAGCCGAAGGCGGUUUGCAGCAGUUUUCAUCGAAAAAGAUCCUUUUUUGCCCCUAAAUUUUGAUUUUUUCAGUUUAAAAUUGAAUUUUGAAACAUUCAAAUCAUUAUUUCUCUUAUUUAUUUGAAGUAAACACCGGAUCUUUUUUUACAGAAUUGUCUUAUAUCAUCCUGUUAUAGGUAUAAGUAAGCUCAUUCCACUUUUGAGAAGUUCCCUAAAAUUUUUCAUUUUAUUCAAUUUAGUCCCUAAAACCUAAAUAGUCAUAUUUUCAAAUAUAAGCUUCGUUUUUCAAUUCAAAUUCAAUUUCGUCCUUCCAUAACAUCCAAAUAUUCUUAAAUACAAAAAUUUCAUGUUAAUUUUGAAAUAAUUACACUUUAGUCCCUAUACUCGUAACUAACAAAUUAUACUUUACAAAUUAGUCCCUAUUCAUCUCUAACCAGUUUGUCAGCGCGUAGAUCUCGAAAAUUUAUUCGAAAUAAAAAAAAUCGUCUCAAUCGGACAAUCGAGCCAAAAGUUAUGGCCUUUCAAAGUUUUCUAAGCUUAAAAACAUAAACUGUUCAUGCCACGUCAGCAAAUCGCGUCCUCUUAGGCGUGAUUUGUGUCCACGUAAGCAAAUCGCGCUGACGUGGAUGCGAUUUUCUGACGCGUACCCUGACAUCGCGCUGACGUGGACACGAUUUCGUGGAAAAUGACCCAUUCCGGUAAAUAAUCAAAAAAUCGGCCCAUUUCGGUAAAUUUUGAAAAAAAAGGGCUUUUUUUGGUCAUUUGCCUUCAAAUAAACUCUUCAAAAAUAAUUUUUUAAAAAAUUAAUUAAGUCCCUUAUAAUAAAGUGCACCAAAUUGAGCUUUUUAAAUCACAAUUUGCACUUAAUUAAUCCCCUUGAAUUCAUUUUCCCAUUGAAUCCCUUUACGGUCAGGUAACUGCUGACGGGGCAGGUGAUGUGGAAAAAUGAUGGUGUGUUAGUUUAUAUGGCAAGCUAACAUGGAGGGCUUAAAUGAUUUUUUAUUAUUUUACAAGGGUUUAAUUAAUUAUUUACAUAAAAAAUUAUUAAAAUUUUAAAAAUCUAAUUUUAAAAUAUAAAUUAUAAAAAUCAUAAAAAAUAUUUUAAAAAUAUUAAAAAUGAUAGAAAUUUUUUAAAUGUUAUAAAAAGUUUAUAAAAAUACAGGAAAUACAUUAUUAUAAAAAUAGCAUAAAAUUUUAGAAAUUAUUAAAAAAUACAAAGAAAUACGAAUAAGUUAGAGAAAAUUAUUAAAAAUACAAAAAAUAUUAAAAAUUAGUAGUAACUUUUAUAAAAAUUAUUAAAAUGUUAUAAAAAUUAUAGAUUUUUUUAUUGGUUUGGAGUGUUUGGCAUUUUUAAUUUUAUUUUUUUGGACCUCAUACCAAAUGCCUCCGUUUCCACUAAAGACCCUACUUACAAAAAGGGAGAGAAACAAUGAAGCACGAGACAGAGUCGAGCGUCCUUAAUCACCCACUAGAAGACACUGUAAGAGAGCAGAGGUUCAGAGCCACCUUAGACAAAUCAAAAUUAACCACCAGCGACAUUCCCAAAACAAUACUCAAACAAUGACUAAAUCGUUAAAGGUUUUGGAUCUGACAAAUAAACAGAAAAAUAAGAAAAGUAGCAUAUGGAGGCUUUAGGCACCACCACCCAUCCACCAUCUGGGAGUAGCAGUAAAACACUCACAAAAAAAGGAACACUAGCGUCAAAACACAUCAGUCCUCCUCAACAAUGGUUUGCUUGUGAGAAGAGAAAAAAAAAUAUAUAAAUAAAAGAGCCACGAAAGCUCAAACAAGGCCCCCAAAAAGGGUUUUUAAAUUGAGAGAAGGAUAUCAAAAAAUAGAGCAGAAGACAAGACCCCAAAAGAGAUUAUUAAAUCGAGAGGAUGACAUUAAAAAAUAGAGCAAAACAAGGAGGACGACGACCAAUAUCCGACAACAAGUGUUUGGCCAUCUAAAUCGAGAAACAAAAAUAUGACCUGGAGCAACAGGCAACCAAAGCAAGAGAAACAGGAAAUUGAGAAUACAAUGAUACAAAGCAACAUAGCCUCUAAUCCCUUGCUCCAUUAGCUUAAAACAAGGUCCCAAUAACACGAAAUAAACCAUUAAAACGUGGGAAUCCACAUUCUCUUGACUUUUUACAACAUGAAAAUUAGGGGUGAGUAUUCGAUCUAGUCGAGUCAAAAAAUUUUGAGUUGGUCGAGUUGAUGAACCCUAUUUUAGCAACCGAACUCAAUUUGAAUUUUUUCGAUUCGAAUCGAGUCAACAAAUUUGGAGUCAAGUUAACGAAUCCUAUUAUUUAUGCUCAAUAUUGUGUUUAUAUGGACCUAUUAUUUAACUAGUAGACGAAAUAUAAGAUUAUUUAACUAUGUAAACAAUAUAAUAGUUUUGCCUUUUAACCUAAUGAGUAAACAUUUAUCAAAAUGACAUAGCCUUAUCUUUUCUUAUUCGGAUUUUCGAAUAAUUCGAAUAUGAAUUACACAAUUCAUAUUUAAGUUAAACCGAAAAACUUAAUUUUUUUAUUUGAGUUUAUCCCAAUAAUUUGAUAAACUCAAAUAACUUGAAUCAUUAAUAACUAUUAUUUAAUGACUGAAAUCUUAAUUUUUUCUAUUUAAAAACAAUACUUGAAGUCCUCAUCUCACGUUAUGUUAUUGACAAAAAUAUUUAAAAAGUUUUAAGUCCAAAACCUAGUUUGAAUUACAAUCAUUUAAUAAUUAUUAUCAUAUUUAAAAUUAGUAGUAACUUUUAUAAAAAUUAUUAAAAUGUUAUAAAAAUUAUAAAUUUUUUUAUUGGUUUGGAGUGUUAGGCAUUUUUAAUUUUAUUUUAUUUGGACAUUAGAGUCUUUGUUUUAGUAAUAAGGAAAUGGGGAGAUUGAAGUGCGAUGAUCAAACUUGUGAGGGGUUUGAGAAACCAUGGGUUUAGUACUUGAUGGCUUAAAGUGAGCGAUCAAUAGAGGUGUUCAUGGACCUAUACUGUUCAAAAAAUAAAAAAAUGUUAAAAAAAGUUUUUCUAAAUAUUAUAUAUAUAUUAUAAUUAAAUUAAAAAUAUAUUUUUAUUAUUUUUAAAAUGGUGAAACGAAUCAUUUUGGCGAGCUAAGUCUAGUUGGGCUCAAGUCUAAAAAGUUUUAUGAAAUUAAGCUUAAGUUAUACUCAACCCAUGAACACAUCUAGUGAUAAAUAAUGAUGUUGUAUUUGAGGAAAGAUGAUGCAAAAGACAUUGAUAAGGAAGGGUUGAUAUAUGAUGUAUGACAAUGCGUGAGAGAAAACAAAAAUGUGUAAAAAUUUUAAAUUUUUUUAUAACUUUUUCUUUAAUUUUAUAUUUCUUUAUAGUAUUUGAAUAGUUUUAAUAAAUUUUAUAUAUUUUUUCUAAAAAAAUUUAUAACAUUUUAUAUUUUUCUAUAUUUUUAAUGUCUUAUAAUUGUUUAUAAAUUUAUAAUAAUUUUUAUGAAUUUUUAAUUUAUAUUUAAAAACUAGAUUUUUUUAGAAUUUAAAAAUCGAAACAAUUGAAUAGGUGGAAUCGCUUCUUUAAAAAAUAUUUUUUUAUAUUUUUAUAAUCUUUAAUUAUUUAUUUGAUCGUUGUUAGUUUAGUUGUCGAACCGAUUGAAUUAACUGGUUCAUCAAAAAGUGUCACAUCAUCAAAUUUUUAUAUUUCUCAAGUGUUUGUAUCAAAAUAGAUUAAAUUGCUAAGUUUAAGAGGCAAAAGUUAUAUUAUCCGAAAAAAUAUAGAUUAAAUUAAAAAUAAAUAUGUGUCUUUCUAUAUGUCGUUAAUAUGCUGCAACGGUAAAGAUUAAGGUAUUCUGUUUUGUAAUAUUUGUCAAUUACUACUUGGAAGACAAGGCUGAAAAUUACUUAAACAAUCACUAAAUAAUUAUUUCAGUCCUCCUCAUUAAUUGUAAGGCGGCUUAUAAUAAUAUGUUAAUUUUGAAGGCUUCAGAAAGAAAGACGACAGUCAUUUCUAUUAAAUUAUCACUUAACUCCAAAUUUAAAGUAAAACAAAAGCUGCAGAAUGGAUUCAAUAAUGGGGAACUUUUUUCAAUUUUAGAAGUAAAACCUAUCCAAUGCAUAAUAGAUUUUUUAGAAUCAGAAUUAAAUUGACACAGUAUAUAAAUAUUAAGGAUUAAAGUUGCUAUUAUAUAAAUUUUAAAAGUUGUUAUUGUUAGCCAAUCGGUGAUUAAAAAGAUAAAAUUAAAUAAUUGGGUGAUCAAAAAAAAAUUUAUUAAUAAUUGGAUGAUUACUAAUGUAGUUUACCCUAACAUUAAAAUGUAUAAAAAUAUUAAAAUAAAAUUUUGAUUCAACUGAUAAAUUUAAUAUAUUUAUCAUUUCAAUUAAAACUUUAUUAUUUUUAAUACUUUUAUUGUAUAUAUUUGUUUCAACCGCAUAAUAUAAUAUAAUAUUAAUUUAAAUUUAAAUUAAAAAAUAAAUAUCUUAAAGCCGACCCACCUGGUAAAGUUCCUCAUCAUAAUGUUUCAGGACUGCAAUCGGACAAAGGUUAUUUGCCCAAUUUUUUACUUGUCACAAUCAACGUGUUACAAGCGAAGUGAUUGUAUUUUGGCAAUAAUACUUAAAUAAUCACUGCAUAAUUACGACAUAAAAAAAUAAUAUUUAAUAUCUACAUCUUUCAUUAAUUUAAUUAAUUUUUUUAAUUUUAAAAAAUUAGUUUAUUUGUUGGAUAUGGAAAUUAUAAUAUAUAAAUACAAAUGAAAUAUCUGGAUUCAGUGGUAAGAGAAGAAAACAAGAGUGGCUUGAUGGAGCUUGUAAUUCUUGUCCCAUGGUGUUUCUUCCUCAUAGCUUUAACAAAGUUCCUUUAUCAUUACCUGUGGGUACCUCUUCGCAUACAGCAUAUGAUGAAUUCACAGGGAAUCAAAGGACCUCCUUACAGAUUCAUCCAUGGCAACAACAAAGAAGUUACCAAAAUGAGAAAGGAAGCAUUAAGCAAAGCUGUGGGCUUGACAGAUGAUUUAUUUCCCAGAUUACAACCGCAUAUUUAUUCCUGGAUCAAUACAUAUGGUGAAGUGGAUGCUUGUUUUUUCACCAUGAUUUAUUAUAACUUCUGCUUAUCUAGCUUUAAGAAAAAGAUGGACACUUUUUGUUUUUUGUUGUGUGAUUAGGGAAGAAUUUUGUCUAUUGGAAUGGCGUUCGAGCUGAAGUGGUGAUUUCAGAACCUGAAUUGAUCAAAGAGGUUAUGAAAAAUAGUGAGAACAUUUUUCAGAAAAGGAAGCUUACGGAUGUUGGUGCGAAGCUACUGGGAAAUGGGCUUGUGUUCAUUGAGGGAGAAAAAUGGGCAAAGCAUCGAAAGCUGGCCAAUCAUGCUUUUCAUGGGGAAAGCCUAAAGGUAAAUCCUCCAAAUCUAUAAAUUAGUUGUAAUUAAUUUAUAAGAAUUAUACAUAGAUUUCGUCAUUAAUCUUUAUCAUAUGUAGAAGCCCAAUUUCGCCCGGGCCCAUUUACAAAAUAAACAAACCAUUCAGACCCAAAAAUAACUAAACCCCAAACAGCCCAAAUACAAGCCCAAUUACCCAAACCCAUUUCCAGCAGCCCAAAACAAACAAAACAAAAAAUCAGAAAACCCUACCCCUAGGUGCGCCGCACCUAGGGUCUUCUGACCCUUCUGUCCACCUGCCGCCACCUGCACCGCCGCUGCCUCCAACCACCACCUGCAAAAUCAAAAAGCAAGAAGUGACAGCAUAUAGAAUAGAUUAAAAAAAUAUGUAAAAAUCGGUUAUAAAGACCGAAAAAUGAAACCUUUGUAGCUUCUUCACAAACAGUUAAUAAAAAACAACAAUAGUGAAUACAAAAAGCAGAUCAAAAGAAAAAGGUUAACUACAUCAUCUUCUUCUUCCUUUUUUUUACGUUUUUUAUUUCAUUUUUUUUAUUUUCUACAAACCUUUUUAAACAAAAACAAAAACCUUACCUACGCCGCGCCGGAGAGAGGGGAAGGUGAGCGGAUACCUCCUUUUCUUUUCGGUUUUGGCUCAACUUUCAAAGGAUUUGGCUUUGAAUACGAGUUCUAGGGGAGUUUGGCUUCAAACGGGGCUAAAAAGAGGUCUAUUUUGCACCUCCGGCCGCCGCUUGCGGCGGGGAUACGGCGGAGGUGUGCUAGCUCCUUUUGCCAGACCUAGGCCGGAGCUCAGAGGGCUGGGGAGCCUAGGAGUAUUCUCAGUUUUUUUUAGAAGCUGUUAAAAAAAUGAACUUUUAGGGGUUUUUUUUUAGGUUUUAUAAGUAUUUUAAAACGGCGCCGUUUUGAUAUUAAGGGUCAGGUGUCGUUUUGGCCCUGACUCGCGCGGUGACCCGACCCUGGGGGAGGAUCCGCGCGUUUUCACCUGGGGGGCUAUUUGUGCAAUAGAUCCCUCCACCUUUGCGGUUUGCUUCAAUGCGGUCUUUUGUUUUUUUUAUUAUUUUGGCCUGAGAAUUUUACUUCUAUUUCGAUUUGGUCCUUAGACCAUGUGCUGCCCCUAGUUGAAGCUCAGCGUUUCAGGACUGGGAAAUAUUUCCCCACAAGUCCCUCACGCUUUAAUCGCAUUUUACUUCAGUCCUGCACUAUUCCUUUUGUUUAUUUACAUAUUUAAACCCGAAGUUCGUUUGAAGUUUUAAUUUAGUCCUUUUGUAUUUUUUUAAUUUCUUAUUAAGUAAUAAAUUUGAUGUUAUACUGUUAUUAUUAAUUAUUAUUGCUGUUAUUUGCUCAUUUAUACCUUUAAAAUUUUAAAUUUUAUCAUAUAUAUAUGUAUAUACUUAUUUUUAUUUUUUAUAUUAUAUAAUUUAUAUCUAUAUAUCUAUAUACAUAUUUUUAUUCCUAAAAAUACAUACACAUACCUAUAUGUUUUUAUGUUUUCAUAUAGUUUUUAUAUACAUACAUAUUCUUAUAUACACAUACAUAUAUUUUUAUACUUUAUAAUUCUAACAUACAUAUAUAUAUAUUAUAAUUUUAUUCAUUACUAUUGUUUCAUUUGGUGUUUAUUUAUUUAUUUACAUGCUCAUUAUUAUUAUUAUUUACUUAAGUGUUUUAGUUUUUAUUUGUUUAUUUACUUUUAUUUGUGUAUACAUUGUUGAUUUCUUUUUAUUAUAUAUUUGUCAUCUUAUAUUUAUUUAUCUUUUCUUAUUUUGCUUGUAUUAUUUUAUUUGCAUUAUCAUCAUUAUUAUUAUUUUACAUUCAUUUUUUACUCGGAUUCGUCAAAAUACAGAAAAUUUUAAAAUAAAAAUCAUAUUUGAUAUUUAGGAUCCUUUAGAGAAUCGAGCCUUAACGUAUUAGGUUUUGAUUUCCUUCGUUGAAUCUAAAUAAUCAAAACUAUUUUUUUAAAACAUCUCUAAAAGCUCGUUAUUGGGAAUUCAAUAUGUCGUGUUCUAAUACAUUGAAUAUGACACGUUUUCUCGAGACGAUGAUUUUUCUUAUAAAUAUAAUAUUCAAUGUUUAAUAUUUUGAGAAAUUGUAUCCUAACGUAUUGGUUUGUAAUUUUUUCACAUGACUUAAACAAUUGAAUACCAUUUUAAAUUUUAUUCUGUAAGUUUUUAGAUAAGUUCAUUUCGGAAGAGGUAAAAUAUCGUGCCUUAACUCAUUUGGUGUGACAUUUUUUCUUUCUGAAACGAGAGGGUCUUAAUGAGUAACUUGAUCUAUAUAAGUUUUUUUUAAAUAAUAAUAAAUAAAAGAUCCUAUUUUGGAUCUCUUUAAAUUAUUUAAUUUUCGACAUUAAGAUAUUAAUUAAUUAACUAGGUAUUAAUUUUUUGAGCAUUACGAGAGUGUUAAUCCUUUGCCGUACGUAAUUGGCUUCCGAAUUUGUUUUUUUGAAUUUCGUGGACUAAAAUCGUUGUUUUAAUAAAAUCAAAUUAUUUAUUAAAAACAAUCACUUUUCGAGGUGAUUUAAUCACACUUCAUUAAAAAAGAUUGGUGGCAAUUCUUGUUUUCGUUUUCGUUUUUUUAAAAAAAAAUUUAAGUUGAUCCUGUUUUCAUUCAAAAAUGGUGUAAACAUCCUAUUAAUUAAAUUUGUUGAUUGCUCUUUUAAAGAAAAGUCAAAUCACUUUUUUAAAUUAGGAUACUAAUAAAAAACCUUAAAUUUCUUUUAGAGAUGCUGGCAUGAUAACUCAUGUGACAGUUUACAUAUAUUUCAUACUAACAUAACGUUAUUUGUUUUAUAUGUUACACUAACAAAUAAUUUAAAAGUUAUAAAAAUAUUUAAAAUUCAAAAAAUAUAUGAUAAAAAAAUUCAUAAAUAUUCAAAAAAUUAACAUGGAGUACCUAUAAAUUGUUUACAGGGUUGCAAUAUAUAAAAAUUUAACAUUUCAAUUAGUAUUUUAAUUAAAAAAACAACAAUUCAAUUUUUUUUUAAAUGUUAAAAGAUCAAAUUCGACUUUUUUUUUUAAAAAAAUUGAAGCCUAAAUUAGCUUUUUUAUGAUUUUACUACUUAAAUAUUGUUGACUAAAUCUUAUGUUGCUACUACUUAAUUUUGGAGGGUUGUUUGGGCAGAACAUGACUCCAGCAAUAAUUGUUAGUGUUGAAACAAUGCUAGAAAGGUGGAAAGGCCAAGAAGGCAAAGAGAUUGAAGUGUAUAAUGAAUUUAGAUUAUUGACUUCGGAAGUGAUUUCAAGAACAGCUUUUGGUAGCAAUUACUUGGAAGGGGAGAAGAUUUUUGCCAUGUUGAGCAAGUUGACAAUACUCGUGAGUCAAAAUAUUUCCAAGACUAAGAUUCCUUUCAUCAAGUAUGUUCCCUCUAACCUUAGUUAAUCCCUAUGGCUUUAAUUUUUUUUUUUUUUAUAUAGAGAGCUGACCUUUGUUUGCUUAUACAGCAAGUUAUGGAAAUCUGCUGAAAUGCUAGAGUCUGAAAAACUCGAAAAAGGAAUACAAGAUUAUGUGAUGGAGAUGAUUAAGAAAAGAGAAGAUAAAGUCGUGAGUGGAGAAGCUGAUAGCUUUGGCAAUGAUUUUCUGGGAUUACUAGUAAAUGCUUAUAAUGAUUUGGACGAUAAAAACAGGGUUUCAUUGGAAGACUUGGUAGGUGAAUGCAAAACAAUCUACUUUGCUGGACAAGAAACUGUCAAUUCAUUGCUUGCAUGGAUAGUCUUGCAUUUGGCAAUCCAUGGAGAUUGGCAAGAGAAAGCAAGGAGAGAGGUGAUUGACAUAUUUGGUAACCAAAAUCCGCAUCUCGAAGGCAUUGCCAAACUCAAAAUAGUAAGCAAACUAUCUAACUGGAAAUUCAAAUUGCCAUCAACAUGAUGUAAUCUGACAUGUUUUUCUAUUUUCCAAACAGAUGACCAUGAUCAUCAAUGAAACUCUAAGAUUGUAUGGUCCGUCAAAUGGCCUGCCAAGAACAGUCGCAAGAGAAGUACAGUUGGGAAAGUUAGUCUUGCCUGCUAAUAUAGAUGUUCUGUCUUUAAAUAUUGGACUUCACCGUGACCCUCACUUGUGGGGGGAUGAUGUGCAUCUUUUUAAACCAGAGAGAUUCGCCGAAGGGAUUGCCAAAGCUACCAAUUACACCGCAGCUGCAUUUUUCCCCUUUGGAUUCGGACCUCGAUCUUGUGUUGGUAUGACCCUUGCAACCAUAGAAACCAAAAUUGCUCUGUCCAUGAUUCUACAACGUUACACCAUCACCAUUUCCCCUGCCUAUGUCCACUCUCCAAUACCUAUUCUCACCAUUCGACC